AAGGAAGUGUUAAAUAUAAAAUUUUAAAAAUACCAUUCUCGAAUUAAUGGUUAUUUUUAAAAAAAGUAGGAAUAUAUUGGAUAUUUAUAAAGUUUUGAGGGAUAUACAAACAAUUAUCCCAAAUCAAAAAGUAGGGACCCACCUAACCCUAGGGGACCACUAUCAAUUUAACCGGGAACCACUAACAUUCUAACCGCGCAUUCUUUCAUCCAACGGCCGAAAACUCAAUAGUACCAAAGACUUGAUAUUAUUGAUAGUAUAGUAGCAUAAUUCUAUAUAUAUAUAUAUAUAUAUAUAUAUAUAUAUAUAGAAUUAGGCUGGAAUAUUAUUGAUAGUAUUUGGCCUAGACCUGGCAAUCUCGAUCCAUACCCAUAUAUUUAAUUAUAAAAUAUAUUUUUUUAAUUAAAAUACACAUAUAUUUAUUUAUCCUUCCUAAAAAUUCUAACUAUAAUUUCUUAUCGCGUUUUUUAUAUUGCGAAUUUAAGUUCUAAGACUUUAAAUAUUUUUAUUAUAUGUUAUGAUAUUUUAAGUAAUGAGUUAUGUCAUACUUUUAAAACUUAUAUAUAUAUAUUUUGCAUUUAAAAAAUAUAAGAAAAAAAAAGAAAAAAAAAAUUUGCGGGUAAUCCGCAUACCCACCCGCCCACCCGCGGGUGGGUAUGGGUAAUGAUGUUGGUUACCCAAAAAUUUGUGGGUAAAUUUUACCCAUGCCCAAGUAACCCGCGGGUACAAUGACCCGCCCGCAGGUUACCCAACCCUCCCGUUUGCCAGGUCUAAUUUGGCCCUUUAAACUAUUAAGUUUUUAACCUUUGGAUGAAAAAUUAUAAGGUUAGUAUGAUAUUAGUCCUUUAGAAUUGAGUGGUUCCAUUAGAGUUGAGUGGUCCUCACAGAGUUAUAAUAUAUAUUUUUUGAGAGACAGGUAGCAUGCUACCCGCUUCAUUUAUUUCAUUUAGAAAUAAACUUAGUUAGAAAUGUGAAUCAAUUAGGAUUCGAACUUGGAAUUUCGGGUAUCAACCAUCAAGCCCUUUGCCACUAGGUUAUAAUAUUUAAUCCAAUAGUUAGAAAUGAUCAAAAAAAUUGAUCCAAAAGCUUAAAACUUGAUAGCAAAAGAGGGCAAAUACUACUAAGAGUAUUUUAGUUAUAUAUAUAUAUAUAUAUAUAGAGUGAGGCUACUAUGCUAUCGGAAGCACGGAGCCUUCCGUGCUUCCAGCUCGUUUUCGAUGUUACGACUUUCGAAUCGUCGAUCGGCUCUGUUAAACUUGAUCUAGAGUAUUUAAAGUAUCUAGAAAAUAAAAUAAAUUUUAUGAUUUUACGAUAUCAUUUGCCUAGUGAACGAAGGGGCUCAAAAUCAACGGCUGAAAAUAAAAAUCUUACAAAAUGUAAUAAUAUGACAUUAAAAUUUUAAAUCAAAGAUAUUGAUCUUGUUUUAUAUAGUAUAAAGAAUUUUCUAUCAAAAUUUCACGUGAUUUGGAUAUUUCUACACCGUUAAACUUGCAAACGGCUCACUACGGCCAUUGAAAUUUGUUGAUUUUGAGCCCAUUCGAUCACUAGGCAAAUGAUAUCGAAAAAUAAUAAAAUUUAUUUUCUAGGUACUCCAAAUACUCUAGAUCAAGUUUAACGGAGCCGAUCGACGAUUCGAAAACCGCAACAUCGAAAACAAGCUGGAAGCACGGAAGGCUCCAUACUUCCGAUAGCAUAAUAGCCUCACUAUAUAUAUAUAUAUAUAUAUAGAGGCUAGGCUCUCCCAUAAGUUUUUGACGGUUAGAUGAAGGGAUGUGCGGUUAAGAUGAUAAUGAUUCCCGGUUAAGAUUAUAAUGGUUCUCUAUAUUUGACUGUGUGGUUGGUCGAAUAGUAUGAUCUAACAGAUAAAAAUGGUGAAAGAUAUAGAUCUAACAGCCACAAACUUAUGAAUACAAAAAAAGAUCUAUACUUAUUUAUAGUUUUGUUAGCUAUUUGUCCAUUCAUAGUUUAAAAAAAAUUAUAGUAUUCAAAAUAGUAAAUUUUAACAUAACCACUAAUUAACAAACCAAGAGUAGAACAACAGUAAAGAGGUCCAUUAAUUUAAAAAGUUGUACACAGUGCAGGGGCUUUUAUACAAUUUCACCUUCAUAGGACCGGAUCAAAUACCAAGUAAAAUUAAACCUUAUACCCUGCACACCUUUUAAUGAUAUUUCUACCCACUCUUAUUGCUUGGUCGGUUGACAUGCACUGACUAAGCUGACCAAAAGCGACAAGCUCUUUUUUUUUUUCUUUUUUUUUGUUUUUUUUGACCCUCUUAUGAAAAACAAACAAAUAAACAAAUAAAUAUAUAAAAUAAAGUAUAUUUAAUAAUAUCUAAGGAACCCAUCACUUAAUAAUAAUAAUAAUAUAUAUAUUUAUUGUUACACAUGUACACUCCUCGGAACAGAUUCCUGUUAGGUGCUGGGUAUUACUAAAUAGUAGGCACUGGCUAAGGACCCGUGCGAUGCGCGCGGUGAAAAGAUAAUAUUUUUAUUAUUUUUUAAAAAUAUUUAUUUUCUAAUAUUUGUAUAAUUUUAUAAUGCAACGUUUGGUUCAGAUAUAAGUAAGAACUAGCUAUUACAGAGAUAUGUACAAGUAUCAUCAGGAUAAAAAAAAUAACGUUUAGAUGAAAAUUAGGUUGUUCCCGAAAUAAAAAAAAUAACGUUUGGAUAGAUAAUAUGGAAUAAAAAAAAUAGUGGAUAGUUAUAUAUAAAAAAUGGAGGUGUUGAUGGAAAUAGUUAAAUCUGGUUAUUAUAGACAACCGAGAAUUACUAUUUUUGGAUAAAAAAUUAGCGUUUGGGUAUAAAGGGUAUAUGAUUUAUAACUUCUUGGCAAAUAAUAUGAAAAUAUUUAAAACGGUAACGUGAAAUGUCUAAAAACAGAAUUAUCUAUUAUUUGAUUUGGGGUACUAAUCACGCAGCACAUAUAUGAUACGGAUUCUAAAAUAUUAGCUAAAAUUAUAAUUAUAUAAUUUAUCAUCUAACAAAAGCGCACAGAACAUGAAAUAAGACAAUUUGUUGAAAAAUAAAAAAUUUAAUGCUAACUACCUAUUACAAAAGUUAAGGCACUCUUAGAAAAACACAUUUGGUUUGUAAAAGCUAUUUUUUUCCCAUCAUUUUUAUUUUAUUUUUCGGUAUCUAAUGCCGAACUUUCGAUGCAGCUACAAAGAACAAAAAAAAAAUCACAUAUAUUUUUAAAUUAAAAAGAACAAAUUAUAGUAGUCAUAUACUUCUUGUUAUCUGAAAGAUCUUUUUUUUCUUUUUUUACCAAAGAGAUUUUUGAAUUUACUCGAGAAGAUCUGAGAUAAAAUUUUUAAAAAAUUUGGUUUGCAGCAGAUGAUAGUAUUUCAACCAAUUAACAUGUAUAUAUUUAUUAAAAUUUUAAAACAAAAAAUUUAUAGCUAAAGAAAAAAAAUUAUAAAGUAGAUUUAUGUACAUUACAGAAAUUAACUUUUUUUAUUAAUUUUUGUAUCUUUUAGUAUAUAUAGUUAAACUAUUCUAAUAAUUUUAUUUAAAAAUUUAAUAAAUUUAAUAGUUUUAAUAGUUAUUUAUAAAAAAAAAUUUAACUAAAAAGUUAAAGUUGAAGACUUAUAUUAGAUGACUUGAUAUUGUUAAAGUAGACUUUAUUAUUUUAAAGUUCAAUUGAAGAAUAUAGAGCAUGUCUUAUAUAUCGGGUGUAUAAUCGUUUCGCUUUUCGGGUUCCCAGUUUAGUAUUUAUAUAGUUAAAUUAUUCUAUUUAAUUAAAUUUAAUAUUUUGAUAGUUAUUUUAUAAUAAUUUUUAACUAAAAAGUUAAAAUUUGGAGGACUUAUAUUAGAUGACUUGAUUUGUUAAAAUGAAACUUUAUUUAUAUGUUAAAGUUAAAUUGAAGAAUAUGUGAAGAUAUCUAUAAUUUGUUUUUUACACUGUAUUUAUAAAAUUUUAUUUAUAAAUAAAAAUUUAUAAUUUUUGUAUCUGUUCAUAUAUAUAUAUAUAUAUAUAUUUAUAUAUGAGUCCGGCUAUUAUGCUAUUAAUAGUACGAAGCACUUGGUUCUACCAAGUUUUCCACCGUUAGAUCUAUUUUUGAUUUUUUCACCCAUUAGAUCAUACUAUUCAACCAACCAUCCACUUACCCUAGGGGCACAUCAUCCUAACUGCGCAUCUUUUAAUCCAAUGGCCAAAAACAUGAUAACACCAAUGACUUGGUGCUAUUAAUUGGCACAGUAACCUAUUCUAUAUAUAUAUAUAUAUAUAUAUAUUGUAUUUAUCCGUAAAAAUUUUAUUUAUUAUAUUAAUCAUUAAAAAUAGAUUGAUUCAUAUGAUGAAGUUUUAGACAUGAUAUAGCCACAAAAAAAAAAAAGAAAAAUUGUUGACUGAGAGAAUGAAAAAGUGGGCCCACUUUUUGCCCCCCCAAAUCGGAGAGCGCACGCCAUACGCUUCCAAGAUACCCCUUUCAUGUAUGGUAUAUAAAUAGCCAUUUUUUAUAUUUUUAAUUUAUAUAUUGCUUUUUGGUUGAGAAUUGAGCUAUUUUAUUUUAAAGUGGUGCCCAUGUGUAGAGUUUUGAAGUUGUUUUAUCUUCUUAAAUUUUACACUCAUUUUAGGCGAGAAUGAAUUAGUUCUUCCAGUUUGGUGCGUGCGUAAAAAAAAAAAAAAUUCUGUACAUAAUUGAUGUAAUAUGUAUUUGAUUUUUUAUAUGAUUUAUGAUGUAAUUUAUCUGAUGUGAUAAUAAUUUUCAAAUCAUGAAUGCCAUUAGUCUUUUAUACUAAUCAUUGAACUUGAGCCACAACAAUAUUGUGCAAAAAAAAAUUUACUCUUGUGGAUUAUAGAAAAUUUACUAGCCCUAAAAUCUUACUUGAAAUCAAAUUUCUAUUGUAGUAUGAUUUAUAAUAUUAUAUAUACUGGAAUAUAUAUCUUUAAUAACUUGUAGUCAUUUGCCACAAGCAAAACUCUCAAUUUUUAAGUUUAAUAAAUUCUACUUCAUACUGACCGUUUCUAACGCAAGCGGCAAAGGACUUACUGAUUGAUAACCGAAGUCCCAAAUUCGAACGAUAGUUGCUUUAUAUUUUUCAACUAAAUUUAUUUUUUUAAAAAAACAAAAAUCAGGCAUGCUGUGCGAUCCCCAAAAGUGUUUAAUUAGAUGGUCAAAAAAUAAAUGUCUCUUAGAUCAAAAUGGUUUGAAUUUGCAAAACCAAAAUUUUAAAAGAAAAUUUAAUACAAUACAUACAUACAUAUAUAUAUAUAUAUAUAGAGAGAGAGAGAGAGAGAGAGAGAGGAGAGAGAGAGAGAGAGAGUUUUGCUAGAAUACUAUCGGUAGUAAACGGCUCAGUUUACUACCGAUUUGUUUUCGAUGAUAGAGCUUCCAAAUUGAUGAUCGGCACCGUUAAACAUGAUCUAAACUAUUUAAACUAUUUGGAAAUUAAAUUUCACACAUUUUCGAUAUUGUUCUCUUGUCGAUCAAGUGAUAAGAAAAAUGAAUGGCUGGAAAUGAAUAUCCUUUAAAAAGUGAUGAUACAAUUUUUAUAUUUGAGAUCUAGAGUCUAGAUCUUAUUUUAAAUAGUUUAAAGAAUUUUUUAACAAAAAUUUAGUUAAUUUGAACUCUUCUAUACCGUUAAACGAGCAAACGCACCAUAUCGGCCGUUAAAAUUAUAGAUUUUGUGACUCUUUGAUCGUUCAGUUAGUGAUGCCAAAAAAUCAUGAAAUUUGAUUUCUAGAUAAUUUCAAUGGCCUAGAUCAUGUUCAACGGUGCCGAUCGUCGAUUUGGAAGCUCUAUCAUCAAAAACAAAUCAGUAGUAAACCGAACAGUUUACUACCGAUAGUAGCCCAGUCAAACUCUAUAUAUAUAUAUAUAGAGUCCGGCUGGGAUACUAUCAAUAGCACGAAGUAUUUGGUGCUAUCAAGUUUUCUGCCGUUAGAUUUACCUUUUUUAUCAUUUUCAUCCGUUCGAUUGUACNUCAUAUAUAUAUAUAUAUAUAUAUAUAUAUAUGAGUCCGGCUAUUAUGCUAUUAAUAGUACGAAGCACUUGGUGCUACCAAGUUUUCCACCGUUAGAUCUACCUUUUUGAUUUUUUUCACCCAUUAGAUCAUACUAUUCAACCAACCAUCCACUUAACCCUAGGGGGCCCACAUCAUCCUAACUGCGCAUCUUUUAAUCCAAUGGCCAAAAACAUGAUAACACCAAUGACUUGGUGCUAUUAAUAGCACAGUAACCUAGUUCUAUAUAUAUAUAUAUAUAUAUAUAUUGUAUUUAUCAGAUAAAAUUUUAAUUUUAUUAUAUUAAUCAUUAAAAAAUAGAUUUGAUUCAUAUGAUGAAGUUUUAGACAUGAUAUAGCCACAAAAAAAAAAAAAGAAAAAAUUGGUUUGACUGAGAGGAAUGAAAAAGUGGGCCCCACUUUUUUGCCCCCCCCAAAUCCGGAGAGCGCAGCCAUACGCUUCCCAGAUACCCCUUUCAUGUAUGGUAUAUAAAUAGCCAUGUUUUAUAUUUUUAAUUUAUAUAUUGCUAUUUUAAAGUGGUGCCCAUGUGUAGAGUUUUGAAGUUGUUUUAUCUUCUUAAAUUUUACACUCAUUUUAGGCGAGAAUGAAUUAGUUCUUCCAGUUUGGUGCGUGCGUAAAAAAAAAAAAAAUUCUGUACAUAAUUGAUGUAAUAUGUAUUUGAUUUUUUAUAUGAUUUAUGAUGUAAUUUAUCUGAUGUGAUAAUAAUUUUCAAAUCAUGAAUGCCAUUAGUCUUUUAUACUAAUCAUUGAACUUGAGCCACAACAAUAUUGUGCAAAAAAAAUUUACUCUUGUGGAUUAUAGAAAAUUUACUAGCCCUAAAAUCUUACUUGAAAUCAAAUUUCUAUUGUACUAUGAUUUAUAAUACUAUAUAUACUGGAAUAUAUAUCUUUAAUAACUUGUAGUCAUUAGCCACAAGCAAAACUCUCAAUUUUUAAGUUUAAUAAAUUCUACUUCAUACUGGCCGUUUCUAGCGCAAGUGAGAAAGGGCUUACUGAUUGAUACCCGAAGUCUCAAAUUCGAAGGAUAGUUGCUUUAUAUUUUUAACUAAAUUUAUUUAAAAAAAAAACAAAAAUCAGGCACGCUGUGCGAUCCCCAAAAGUGUUUAAUUAGAUGGUCAAAAAAUAAAUGUCUCUUAGAUCAAAAUGGUUUGCAUUUGCAAAACCAAAAUUUUAAAAGAAAAUUUAAUUUUAUACAUACAUACAUACAUACAUACAUAUAUAUAUAUAUAUAUAUAUAUAUAGAGAGAGAGAGAGAGAGAGAGAGAGAGUUUUGCUAGAAUACUAUCGGUAGUAAACGGCUCGGUUUACUACCGAUUUAUUUUCGAUGAUAGAGCUUUCAAAUUGAUGAUCGGCACCGUUAAACAUGAUCUAAACUAUUAAAACUAUCUGGAAAUCAAAUUUCACACAUUUUCGAUAUUGUUUUCUUGUCCAUCAAGUGAACAGAAAAAUGAAUGACUGGAAAUGAAUAUCCUUUAAAAAGUGAUGAUACAAUUUUUAUAUUUGAGAUCUAGAGUCUAGAUCUUAUUUUAAAUAGUUUAAAAAAAAUUUUAAGAAAAAUUUAGUUGAUUUGAACUCUUCUAUACCGUUAAACGAGUAAACGCACCAUAUCAGCCAUUAAAAUUAUAGAUUUUGUGACCCUUUGAUCGUUCAAUUAGUGAUGCCAAAAAAUUAUGAAAUUUGAUUUCUCGAUAAUUUAAAUGGUCUAGAUCAUAUUCAACGAUGCCGAUCAUCGAUUUGGAAGCUCUAUCAUCAAAAACAAAUCGGUAGUAAACCGAGGAGUUUACUACCGAUAGUAGCCCGGUCAAACUCAUAUAUAGUCCGGCUGGGGUACUAUCGAUAGCACCAAGGAUUUGGUGCUAUCAAGUUUUCCACCGUUAGAUUUAACCCUCUGAUUAUUUUUACCCGUUAGAUUAUACUAUUCAACCAACUACUCACUUAACCCUAGAAGACCCACAUCAUUCUAACCAUCCAUUUCUCAAUCUAAGGGCUAAAAAAUCAAUAGCACCAAUAGCUUGGUGCUAUUAAUAGUAUUCCAGCCUAAUUAUAUAUAUAUAUAUAUAAUUGAGCUAGAAUACUUUUAAAAGCACCAUCUCCUUGGUGCUUCUAAGUUUUUAACUCUUGAAUCUACUCCUUGAUUAUUAAUAACCUUUGGAUCAAACAUUAUUCCACCUACCACCGUCAUCCCAACCCUACAUCCUCUAUCCAAAGGCUGAAAACUCAAAAACACAAUCUCUUUGGUUCUUUUGGAAGUAUUCUAGCUCAACUCUCUCUCUCUCUCUCUCUCUAUAUAUAUAUAUAUAUAGUAGAACUACUAUGCUAUUGAAAUUAUAGAGAAUCUGAUACUUCCAACAUUUUGGCCAUUAAAUCAUUCCCAUUUUUAAUCUUUGGAUUAAUACUAUUAUCCCGUGAAAGCUAUUCAAUCCUAGAGAUACUACUUAAUCCUAGGGAGGACCGCAAUCAUCCCAACCGUACAAUUCUUGGUCCAAAGGAUAAAAUAUCAAAAUCAUCAAUUUUUUUAUACUUCCGAUUAUACAGUAACUCUACACGCAUGUCCGGAUAGAAAGUCAGAGCCAGAGCCAAUGGUUUGUUCACAAAAACAUCCAAAGAUAACGAAAUCACACAAAACAAAACAACGGGCGUGGAUUUAUCAAACUACUGAGGGUGGAAAUAUCAACACCCAAUUCCCCUCCUCAUCAUUUUCGUUAUAUAUACACCCUCUAUUCCCCUCGUCUCGUUAUCACCCCCUCUUUCUCUCUCUUAUUCAGGUGCUCUCAAUGUUCGAUUCUUUUCUUUUUAUAGAUCUCUAGGGUUAGGGUUUCGAUCUCUUCUCUUCUUCUCUAUUGAAUUUUAUCUUAUUUUUCGAGGAUUUUGCACAUCUUCGUCACGAUCGUGCUCAUCCGAUUCUCUCUCUGAUCCAAAAUCUAGAGAUCCAUGAUUCCACUUACAUUAUUAUUCCUCCUCCUUUAUUUUUUUUGAAAUUUAUUUUACUUUUCUGAGUUGGCUCCUGCAGCUUUUGCUACGGCACCACAAUCUUGUUCUUGAUGAUACUUUUCUCCUUUUGUGAUCUGAGUUUUUUUUUUUUUUUUUCCUUUUGUGGUUUAAUCGAUCUCAAAUUCGCGUCGUACGCGCUUUUUCCGUACAACGGUUUCGCAUAUUUUGAGGGGGCAAAUUGCGCCGGUUUUGAUGAUAAACUUGAAGGAUGUAUUGAUCAGUCGGUGUUCGCUGGUGUGGCAUCAUCAAGAUUCACAUAAAUCUUCGGGCGGCUUAAUUAUUAUUAUUAUUUUUCCUCUUGCUGCUUUAUAGAUUAUAGAUGAGAAUCUUGAUGAUGCUGCAUCGGCAAACACGCGACUAUAAUGUGUGCACGGAAAGAGAAGCUUUUGUUUCCGCUUCGCUCUAUCCAACUGAGCUAGCUCAAGGUAAUGUUGUGAGCUCUUUCUCAUAUGCUUAUUAUGUUAUUAUUUGCGUACACCAGUUGAGUAGUUUAUCUUGAUUUGAUCCAUACGAAUAAUAUUUCUUCAUACAUGUAUAUGAAAUCCGUAGUGCUUUUAGUGCAUAAAUGUAAACCUCUUUUAGAUUAAUUUUUCAUCUUUCAGUAGUUAAAUAUCUUACAUGCGGUUAAUUUUUUUAUUGCUGCAUUUGUUAGUCUAAUGAGAAGUUUCUGAUGAUAGUUUUUUUAUCAUUUUUCAGUAGUUAAGUGUACUUGUGCUUAAUCAUUUGGUGCAUCCUUAAUUUGGUAGUUAGGUUGGAUGCUAGUGAGUUGGGAAUCUAGGAAAAUAAUCAUCAAAGGAUGUGUGUAUGAUUCCAUGAGAAUAAGAUGCCUUGGAUACAACUAAUUAAGGAGCUCUCAAUAGCGUCCAUUUCAUAGUUUCAGUUGUCGCCUUUCGCCCCCUUGUUUUUGUUUUUGUUUUUGCUCUUUUUUAAGAGGCUCAUAAAGCUGAUGAAAUGGAAAGAUCGAGCGUAACAAAAAGGAUGAUGGGUUUUUCACUUAAUUUCGUGAAUAUUCUUCUGGAGAUUUAUGCAUUUGAUUGAUAGUAAAAUGCUUCAUAACCAUAGGGCUCUUUAUGAUUGUUGAGAUGAAUAUAUGAAAGAAUCAUCUUCAAAGAGAAAACGCUACUCUUACUCCUGUUUCUAACAUUCUAUUGUCUUCUUUUUAUCUCCUUUUAGCUUCUCAGAUCCUUUUUUUCUUUAUAUCACCGCUAUAAACUGUAUGCUAAAGUUCAUACUCUUGUGUUUCUCAUAAGUUUCUUUUUCAAGGUCAGUAUUUCGUGUUGUUUUAUCAGAACUUUUGAUUUGCUCUUUUCUCUUGAUGCUAGUUUUGAAUGUUGAUUGACAAUCUAUCAAUUAGUAUAGUCACUGUCCUAUUCAGAUAUCAUUUGUGAUAAUCACUUUUGCUGAAGAUAGUUUGGAUUUCAUUGAAGAGAUUAUUUUAAUGCUCAGAUCAAUUUAAUCAGUUUUGCUGACCUCUAAGCAUUUCUUAAUUUCUUCUGGCCAUGAAUACAAUAAAAACAAAUUAAUACUUCUCACACAGUAACUUCCCAGAAAAAGGGAGAGACUAGGAAGGUACUUAAUGUAAGUUAAGAAAGCGAUGCGACACUAAUUCAAAGAGAGAAAAAUUCUAGUAGUUGGAACAUUUAAUUAUUUAAUUCAAAAUCUUAGCUAUUUAUGAAAGUACAUGACCUCCUUUCACUUUAAAGGUAGUUAUUUGAAUUUGAAUGGAAAGACACUUCUCUUACCGACCGUCCCUAGCGCAAGCGGCAAAGAGCUUGGUGGUGGAUACCCGAGAUCCCAAGUUCGAAUCCUAGUUGAUUCACAUUUUCAGCUAAAUUUAUUUCUAAAUAAAAUAAACGAAGCGGGUAGCAUGCUUCCUAUCUCUCUAAAAAAAAACAACACUUCUCUUCAUAUUUGAAGAGACACUUUUUAAUCCUUUUUACUCUCUACAUAUAGGCUUUGGAUUAGGCAUGCGGGAUGAGGUGAGAGAGAUAGUGAUUACUAUCUAAUAUCUGAGUAAUAUUCCAUUAAUAUAUUGUUAAUAUUUCUAAUUUGUUUGAGUAAGAGUCAUGGCUGACUAGAGGUUGUCGGUUCAAAGCUCUCCGAUAAAUCUGCGCAUGGUUCGUCUGGCGAGGAUGGGUAUGAUUGUAUCUCAAGAGUAGCUAGCGACAAGUACUCUUGCGCACGAAAGCACUCAAAACUACUCUUAGAAAACCGUCUUAGACGUGCCUGUAUAAACCAGGAUCCUCAAUAUGUAUUAGGGCUGUCUCGAACUCAAUCUCUAUUUAUUAUUCUUGUUCAUGCUAAUUAUGUUGUUGUUUCUUGUUUACUGAUUAUAAUAAAUCCUACUUGUGCCUGUUUUGCAGAUUUAUUUCUAACUAGCACUAGUAAUAUUUUGAGGUAACAUUUUUUUACUGGAAAAUACUGUUGUAAUUUCUUUUGAUUUGGUGAAAAAUCUUCAAAGUUGGUUAUGUUUGCCAGUUUGCUUUAGUGAGUGACUUCGAGUUUGCCCUUGGAGGGAUAGAAAUAUAUAUGAGACAUAGAAUGCUCUUAAAUGGAGUGAUGAGCCAAAGUUGCAAGGUAGUGUAAGGUAUCAACACUCCAUUAAUCACUUAAGAGUGGACCAUGCAAAAACGUACAUCUUUGCUGUAAUUUGAAGGGGGACCAACUUCUCAGGACAUUUUUCUUUUUAUAGUGGCAGUGUCCACCUCUUGUACCAACUAGUAUAUUUUCAUCUGAACAUACAUUAACUUUUAGUUGCACUCUUGCGUUUUCUAGUAUUCACAACUUCUCACUCUAAAUAUAUAUUAAUAUUUGAAAUGAUAUUCAUUUAAAGAGUAUAUAUAUAUAUAUAUAGCAUGCAUAAUUAAUACUCCUCUACUUUGAACAUUUAAAUAUCUUCCCAACAUUAUAUUCCCUUUUACAUCAUGUAUAUGUCUGCCAUUAUCAGUUAAUUAAUAUAUAUCCUUUUGCCCCUUCGGCCCUUCCUUUAGAGCUUUUCUUUUUUGUGUGGAACUCUUGCCGGUGUAUAUAGUAUAGCCUUGUAUCCGUUUCAGAUAUGUAUCAGAUACCGAUACUUCUCUCAUUUAAUAUGUUCCAGAUACUUUUUACGAAUAUUAGUCACAGUCGUACGCUUUUCUGUUCCCACCAAUUAAUUUUGAAAUUUUUGAAAAUUGCUUUCCUAUUCGAAUCGUAUGGCAGAUAUACACGUUUUGAUAUAUCAUUUCGAGGCAGUAUAUUGCAAAAUCUUAUAUGUUUGGAAAAACAUUUGCAUGUCCAAGGAAAUAUUAUGUGGAGGCGAUCGAUAUCCACGCGUGCGUACGGGAGGAAUAGCUGCAAGAUAUGGGAGGCCUUCUGCGUUACAUUUCAUGCACAAUCAUUCCUAGAUAAGUUGAUUAGUACUCGAGCAUAAAUGAGUUUCAACAUGCAACACUCUUGGAUCUUGAGUUUAUAAUCAAUAAAAUUUCAGAUUUUAAACGGUUCGCAUUAAUUUGCCAUAGAUGCUCUAAUAUAUUUUGAAGAAUUGGACAUAUUAACAUGUCUAUAUCGCUCAUGUCAUAAUAUUUCAUGUUGUAUUCACAUUUUGUAUUGAAGUAACUGAAAGAGAUGUAUUGUUACCCAUGAAACCAACUAAUGGCUUCUUCCUUUUGAACAUCUGCAUCAUGUAAAUUAUUAUGUGAUUUUCAAAAAGAAACGAAUGCACAUAUGAUUUCUUUAUUAUUAUUAUUAUUAUUCUUAUUAUUAUUAUUAUCAUCUUUGGCAAAAAUGUAAAGACCCACCCCAUAAAUUAUAGCCCAUACGUACAUUUCAAAAUAGACCUUUCAACGAUUAUGCUUUUUUGAUUGGCGACUUCUCAACUCUUUCGUUGCGAUUUGCGUCAUCUGAAUACUUUCUUUUCGAGUGAAGGAUUUGAAAAUUUUUCUAACUGUUAGGUACUAAUUCAGAAUUAAUAACCAGCACACAUUUUAAACUUCUUUACUACUACUAUUAUUUUUUUUAUUAUUAUUUUCUCUCUUUUUUUUUUUUUUGAUAAAAAGGUAGCGGACUACCUGCUUCAUUCAUUGGGUCAAACGAACUAGGCUUACAAAGUGGAAGCAGCCAGGGCCUCCGAUAGGCAAAAGGUAAGCAGAAAGUAAAGAAAGUAAAUAGAUAGGGAAAAAACAAAAAGCAAGACAAGACGGGCAUAAAUAGUCUUAGAGGGCGCCGGAUAGCUUGUUCCACGCAGUGAUUAGACGUUCGACCCCUUCCAACAAGAGGGAAGGGACUGGUGAAAUGUCGUUGAAGAUAAAGUUGUUCCGUGCGUUCCAGACCACCCACCAGGUAGCAGUCAGGUUGAUUGAGCAUUUAAUACUCCUCUCGACCUCGCCAAGACAGUUGGCCAUCUUCCAAAGACCAAUAACCCCCUCCGUGGACUCUGAAAAGGUCAAUCAUUCCGCACUGAGGAGAAGGUAUUUUACAAAGACGCAGUGACCAAAGAGGUGAUCACAGGUUUCCAUGUUGAGGGCGCAGAAAAUACACUGCUGGUCCACCGUUAAGCCGCGUUUAUGCAGCCGAUCUAUGGCUGGAAGUCUCUUGCGUAGUAGCAGCCAUAUAAAAACUUUGAUUUUAACAGGAAUACACAUUCUCCAAAUGAGGUGACUUGUAAUGUGCUGCUUCAUAUAUACAUAUACACAUACAUACUGCAGCAGUGGAAGUGGGGCUACAGGGGCUACGGAGAUAACCAAACCAUGUGAUCACUUGACUCACUUAUGCCCCCACAGGAGAUCACGAGAUGAUACCAUGCAGGUACGUGUGCCAAGAUCUGUAGUAAUGCUGUAUAUGUACCAUCCAUAUAUACACUUUUGCUUCUAUAUAUAGCUAUUGGAGAUGUGUUUGCUCAGUACAAAGCUAAUAGGGAAGUUAUAAGCUUAGUUACGCUUUGAAUUUUAUGCGCGUUUUCACAUUCUAUGUUGUUUUUAUUUCUUAACUUCAUAUUAUGCUUUAGAUUUUAUGGUAAUUUCUGCACUUUAUUAGUUGAUCAUAAAAUUUCACAUAAGCAGAGACCGUCCCUAUCCCAAGUUGCUUUAUAUUUUCAGCUAAGUUCAUUUCUCUUUAAAAAAAAAAAAAACACAAAGCGGGUAGCGUCUACCUUUCUCUCCGAAGAAAAAAUUAAAUUCAUAUAGGUCCUGUAUGGAUGGAUGAACAUUUUAUUUUAUAUAAUUUUUGAUUUACCAAAACAACUUAAUUGUAAUAUAUGAUUGAUGAGUGUGAUCAAAUAAAUGCGUAAAAUAAUAUAUCAAACUAUUCAGCCUUCCAAGUCAUUUUAUCGAAUUAAGAUAAAUCACCUUAUAGGUAAAAUAUAUGCCCGAAUGCUUGCAUUAAAGAUCACCUGUAUAACCAGUGUACAACCAAGUUUUCUCAGGAUUAGUGAUUUUUCAUGGAUUUCCACCACCAUUGCUUAGAGCAACUGCAAUCAUCCAGGUAGGCGGUCAAUUUGAAUUUGAAUUCGACUCCUUUGCGCGGUAAUUAUCAUAUGCAUGUGUUGUGACCUACAGACAUCCUUGGGGAAAAAUAUUAUGAAUUUUCUAAGAUAGUCCCCCAUUAAAUAUCAUGUAUACUGAGGAUGAGAUUUCUGCAGAAAAAAAUCCUACGCCAUAGACAUGUUUCUUUUCACUUUAAUGCUUCUUCAAUAGUACUAACUAUUGUAAACUUAUUUAAUUUUCUGAAAUCUCCUUUGAGGUACGACAAUCGGGGAUUUGAACGACUGCGAACCACCGUGAUGCAACAUACCUUGCACUUCUUUGAGCAUUCUUUGUUCUUAGUUACUUGGAUUAAAAGUUUGAAAUGAAAACAGUGAGAAAUUUGGGGCUGUAAUUUGGCACCAGCAAAGAUGUAAUCAAUCAGACACUACUAACUAAUACACACACAAAGGUAGGGCUCCAUGAGAAAGUUGUCAUUAAUUACAAAUCUGAAAUAAAAAUAAAUUUACCAUAAACAAGAAUAGCAAAUUAAAGAUUAUCAAGAGUCAAACACGCGGUUCUAAAGCAAAUAAAAUCAACUCUGCAAAAUAACAUGCUCAUUUCUUCGACUAUCGGAGCAGGCACGGAGUCAUGCGUAGUGAUAAUUUGCCGAUAGAUGCCUUCUAGAUCAUUCAACCAUUCGCAUUCGCAUUCGCAGCCAAAUCUGAAAAUUGGCGUAUGCGACAAUCAGGCAUGAGUCUGAAUAAGAUUAUUCAUAAGAUUAUUCAACACCACCUCGUUCACGAGAAACAGAUCGAUAAACCAAUGCGGCUAUCAAGCAAAUAACAAAAGCAAAAAAAAAAAAUCCAAACUUUGAAUAAGUUUACCAGCCAAUUCGCCCAGAUCCUCCGCAAGUACUGCAAGACCGAGCUGAAGAGCAUUUGGAGCAGUAGGUCCAUUUCUUCGGAAGCCUAAAGAAACAUAUUUAUGUAUAAAUUAACAAGGAGUUGUAAUGGCCGAAAAUUGUAAAGAAAAAAAAAAAAAAAACAACUGAUCUUCAACGUCCAAACUAGCUUUGAAAAUGGUAGGCAUACCCAGCUGUGUACCGAGUGGCCAUACUCUUUGCAGCCAUUCUCGCUUUCUCCGCGCUCUCGUCCGAGAUUUUCUUGAGUAUAAAUCCCUCCCCAUUACAUUCGGCACAGAUACCGGAACCGCCACAAUCCUCACAAACUUUCAAAGAGCUCUGCCUACUUCAAACUAAUAUUUAGAGAGUGAAUAGAAAAAGAAAACAAACAUGGUAUAGGUGAUUUUGAAUAGCAAAUAAAGAACAUUACAGUGGCGGUUUGAGAAGCUUUUAUGUUCCUCGCAAGGAGAGUUGCCGCAGUGCCGACAGCCACCGACGCAAUAAGCACUGAUGCAGCAGUUUCAGGCAAAGCGGACGAUAAAAAGCACUUCGUUUGCCGCCUUUUACGUGAAUUGGAAUGUAGUAGCGAGGAGCGAAAGUAAAGGUCAUUUGCGCGCUGGACCUUGUAACUUGGUACUGUAACGACAUUGAGAGAUCAAUAUUUUUUUUUUGAGAGAAGGUAGCAUGCUACCGCUUCAUUCAUAAAGAGUUUGAACUUAGCAAUUGUGGGAAGCAACUAGGCUUCCACUGAACCGAACCGAAAAGCGAAAAAAUAAAAAAUAAAAAAUCUAGGUGCAAUAGGAGUCCCACAGUCCGUAGAGAGAUCGUAUAUCUGCCAACACCUGUCUCGCCGUGAGCUUAUUGUUUUCAAAAAUUGCCGCUAUGCCAGGAUGGCUCAAAUAGGCGAAUAUAUGAUAUGAUUUCAUUUCAAAGUAAGAAACUAACUUCCGAAGUGUUACUAAUUCUGAUAUAAAAAUCAGCGUAUGAAAAAUGAGAUGAGAAAUGGAGUUAUGCCCCAAAUUAGUCGGUUCUGCUAUAUGAAUUGUCAGACACACUAGUGUAUAGAAAGAGAAGAGAGCUCUUUCUAUAGGAAAUGGCUCCGCAUAGGAUUCAGCAAAUUUGUGCGUUGAUUGUAUUACGACAUUAAAAAAUAAAACUCCUGCGUAGUGAUCGCAAAAUAAAAGUUUCCUCCUGCAUAACAUAACAUAUAUAUAUACGUAGUUGAUUGUAUUGCUGUUUUAACAAUUUUUGUUCAAUUUCCAAUCGAAUUUGCACAAAAUAAACAGAAAAUACGGGAAAUUCCGAGAACACUCCUUCGUUGCUUCGUUCUCAAUGCGUGGAUUACAGAGCACAAGAUAACGAAGAAAGAGGUAAUCGAGAUCAUUCGCAGAGGCCAAAGAGGGAUUAAACGCAGAGAUCGACAAAAGGGAUAAGUAGUAAAAUUGGGGAAGUAGGGUUUUGGCUUACCAUCUUUUGAGAACGAGGGAGACGCUUGGGGGGCUAAGGGUGCAAGCUCCAUCUCUCAAAAUCUUUUAUAAGGAUCGUCUCUUUGCUUACACGAGACUAGUUUAAGUACUUUUGGCACUCCCUUAUCUUUUUAGAUAGCGGUCGAUGCAAGGGGCAAAAUCGUCAAUUCACGGUUAUUCACCUUGGAACUGGACUCGACAUCUUGAGGCGUGUCGCCGCCGAUUUUAAUUUAGAUUCGGCAAACGGCAACGUAACGGCGCUGACUUCAGCUCUUGCUUGGCGCACAUUCUUUUUUUUUUUUUUAGAUCCGUUUUUCUGGGGUAGGACCCCUAUUGCCUUAUUAACUCAGCGCGUAGGACAUGAGCUCAAAUUUAGGUUUACGCCAGACUCAAAUUUCCGACCUCGGAUCCUGAUCGGCAACUAACCACUAGUUUGGUUAUUGUUCGUACAUCUACCUAUAUAAAGUUUUUGUAAUAAUCCACUGCAAUAACCAAACGAGGCUAGAGCACAGAUCAAAUAGAAAAUUAAUUCAUCAUAAAUAACAUUAAAAGCUGAAAAAAUGGAAAAUAAUUAUAAACUUUGUCUAUGGUAUAAAUUGAAACAGCGCAAUCAACCCAAAAGAGAUCAACUGUUUCUUCCAGCACAAUAAAUUAAGCGGAAGCAUCCCUACUAGCAAAGAAAAAAAUAUCAAUAGUUUCAAAUCAUUUCGAUUAUCAUAAAUUAACUGUAUAGAUCGUCGUCAUCGGCAGCGGCACCGGAAGCACCAAACGGGUCGGCACCGGCGGCUCCGGCCGCAGCACCUGUCUCGGACCGAUCAAAGCGGAACUCGCUACCAAACCCCCUCGACUGCUGCAGAGUCUGCGCAAACGCCUGGUACUUGCGGAUGUCGGCGUCGCUCACGCUCCUGCGCGCAAACUUCAUCGACUCUUCGAAGUGGACGGCUUUGAUCUCCGCCACCUCGUCGGCAACAUCCUCCUCCAUUGCUUCCGGGUUCUCGCUCUUUCUCCUCUCCCUUUCUAUGUCCUGUUGGACACACGGGCAAAUAUUAGGUAUUGGUUGAUCAAAAAUAAUAGUUUCGAGCAUGCAGAACAAUAGGAACCUAAAGAAUACCUUUUCGAUGUUUUCCCUUAUAGCAUACUUGCACGCGCGUUGGCAAAUUUCAGUAAUAUCCGCACCACUAAAUCCCUGGGUGUACUUAGCAAGAGCGCUGAGAUCGACGUCUUUAGCAACAGGGGACUUCCUGAGGCAAGCUUUGAAUAUCUGGUAUCGAGAAGCCUCGUCGGGAAGAGGAAUAUAGAUCAGCUGGUCAAGUCGGCCGGGCCUGAGAAGAGCCGGAUCAAUGAUGUCGGGUCUAUUAGUAGCUCCGAUAAUGAACACGGUUUUCUUUGCGUUCAUGCCGUCCAUCUCUGUCAGGAGCUGGUUGAGAACUCUAUCGGCAGCACCGCCGGCAUCUCCAACGCUGCUUCCUCUCUGCAUUCACAAGGACAUAAUUAGAACCAAAAAAAAAAAAGAGAGGUGAAAGUACACUUUUUCAAAAGACACCUUGUGUUGGGGAGUCAGCCAAAUUCAUGGGGUAGUUGGUUUUGUAUUACAUAAAAGCUACUAAAGAGGGUCAUGUUUUUUGUAACUACAAGGGAAUAUUUGUAAUGCGGGUUGUGAAGGACAGAGACGAAAGUUCAGAUUUUGCAGGGAUAGUACUUGAAAAGUAGGCAAACCUGAGUUGCAAUCGAAUCAAGCUCAUCAAAGAAGAGGACACAGGGUGCAGAUUGGCGAGCCUUGUCAAAAAUUUCACGAACAUUUGCCUCACUCUCACCAAACCACAUAGUGAGCAGCUCGGGACCCUUCACGCUGAUAAAGUUCGCUUGACACUCGUUUGCAAUAGCCUUGGCCAGUAAAGUUUUGCCACAACCUGGUGGCCCAUAGAAAAGUACUCCCUUCGAAGGUGACAUACCAAACUUCUCGAACUUCUCAGGAUGCUCGACUGGAUAUUGGACAGUCUGAGAGGAAACAUUGCAAUAUAGAGUUAGUUAAUAGUCGAAACUGGCACUACAACAGAGAAUUAAGAACGUGGUAUGGUAUGGGAACUCUACCUCUUGCAGUUCCCUCUUGACAUUCUCAAGGCCACCAAUAUCAUCCCAACUGACAUUAGGCACUUCAACAACCUAUAUUCAAGAACACAAGUUAGAUUGAUUACACACCAUAGAUAAAUGACCUUCUAAGAGCAAAGAAUUUUCGUUUUAUGCCGGACAAGGGGGUUAAAGUAGCUUACAGUUUCACGGAGAGCGGAGGGAUUGCUGGAUCCAAGAGCGGUCUUGAAAUGAUCAUCAGUAACAGCCAUUGAAUUCAAUAUCUCAGCGUCAAUAGAUUCAUCUUCCAAGUCAAUUAUGUCCAUCUUCUCCCGAAUGCACUGAAGAGCUGCUUCAGUGCACAAUGCAGCCAAAUCAGCACCAACAUAUCCAUGGGUGUCCUUGGAAAUUCUCUCCAAAUCAACCUGCGUCCAUAUAAUGAAGUUAGCCAUUUCUAGUGUUCAGAAAGAAGGAAAAAAGAUUUUUUUUUAAAAAAAGAAAAUAAGAAGGAUUACAUCUUCCGCUAGCUUCAUGUUCUUUGUGUGGAUCCGAAGAACUUCAAGGCGCCCAACUUCAUCAGGCACUCCAAUAUCAAUUUCCCUAUCAAACCUUCCAAACCUUCUCAGAGCAGGGUCAAUACUGUUAGGCCUGUUAGUAGCGCCGAUAACAAUGACAUGCGCUCGUGCUUUCAAGCCAUCCAUCAAAGUCAACAACUGAGAAACAAUACGCCGUUCAACUUCUCCAUGAGUUUUCUCUCUCUUAGGAGCAAUGGAGUCUAUCUCAUCGAUAAAAAUAAUAGACGGAGCAUUCUUUUCUGCUUCCUCGAAAGCUUUUCUAAGAUUGCUUUCACUCUCCCCAGCUAAUUUUGACAUGAUCUCUGGACCAUUAAUGCAGAAGAAGAAAGCACCAGUUUCAUUAGCUACAGCUCGAGCAAUUAAAGUCUUCCCAGAACCAGGAGGGCCAUAUAAAAGAAUUCCCUUCGGUGGCUUCACGCCGAUCGAUUUGAACAGUUGGGGGUGCCUGAGUGGGAGUUCGACUAACUCACGAAUCUGAGCCAUUUGCUUGCGCAUGCCUCCAACAUCAUCAUAGCCCACCUCAUCGAGCCUCUCUUCAUCUUCUCUUUUUAUGGGUUCACCCUCACAGAAGAUCUCGGUGUCAGGUGCCACGACACAAUACUCAGCAGGAUCUGUCUCAAUCACCUUGAAUUCAACACUUCGCAUCCCUCCUCUGACAAGGAAGAGAUCGCCUCUCCGAACAGGACGGUAGGCCUCGAGGAAAUAUGCUACAAAAUAUAUAGGAAAUUAAGUUCAUGCUCUAUAAUUUUUUUUUCAUAAGCAAUAACCCUUUCUACAUGCUGUAAUGGAAAUAAAUAAAACUAUCUCAUAAGCAUAAAGCACAAUCAGUAGUGUCAUAAAAUUUUCCCUGAUUUUGUGAUAUAUUGCAGUGAUUUGAACUUUUUGCUAUUAGGUCACAUGCAACUAUCAAGUAAUUAUCACAUCAUUUAUCGCAGUAAACUAAUUCAGGACUUCUAUAUGAUGCAAAAGUAUUGACCUAGCUGCUUCUAUCACUGUCUCCAUACCCAAUUCUUUCUUAUUUCCAAAAGGUAAAACUCAUUUUUCAAAUUUAAAUCACAAAGCAUAAAUAAAAUGUUGCACUGUCCGCCUUUUUUCAGGAGAUCUAUCAAAUUUCCAGUAAUGGGCGGGUCAAAUAAACAAAAGAGUGUAUCAAUCAUGAUCAUGAGAACAAGCACAGUGAAAUUACGGGAAACGCCAAGUUUCUCAUUCCUUCCGUAUUGUUUCUGCACGCUGCCAACAUAAGGCUCACCACCAUCAACUAAAUGUCAAAGAAUAUUCCAUUGCGAACAUUAGAUAGCAGAAUAUCUCCUGUCAAUCUGUACUAGGAAGAGCAGCAUCAACACAGACUAGAGUGACCCAGCUUUCAACAGUAAGAGGUGAUAUCUUUCUAUUUUACAGAAAGCAUAUAAAAAUCACAAUAUCAUACAUAUCUUAGAUCAAGUCAAUGCAACUAGAAACUACUAUAUUAAACAAGACGUCACCAUCCUCCGGAUAUGUCUCUCAACAAACAGAACCAAGAUAAUAGAGUAAAAAGAUAUAUGAAAAAAAAACAUAAACUCCAAGAAUAGCAGUUUAAGCAGCGAACAUAACUUUAUGUUGACCAACUUGCACCCUGAGAAAGUAAAUUUAGACAACCAAAACACGAAACACGCUAGCUGAUUAUCAAUUCAAAUAGGAAUACAUAUGUGCAUGAGAUAGAGAAAGCAACUAGAGGAAAAAUUAAAAAAAAAACACAAGAGAGCAAACUUACGCUUCAGAUAUGCAUCAAAUAAGUUUCCUGUGAUGCCUUCGAUGGUAUCAUCAAUAGGAAGUAUGUGGACGCGCUUUCCGUACUUAACAUCCUGGCACUGGUGGACAGACACCACAUCCCCAAGCCUCACCCUCAGGUUCGAUCUGACAACCUUAUUCAUCCUUAUCUUCGGCUCGUCGCAUGUGUCAUCAGCGAGCGCAAUGCAGAUAGUAUCUCUCCUUUUCUUGCCCUGUAAUCAUCAUCAACUCGAAAUUAAGAGAUCCUACUCGCAGAUAGAUUCAACAAAAGCAAGCAACAACAUCGCUCAGAUCAAAUUAUCUCCCCUAAAUUACAUGCAUACGCCACUAAAACUGCUUAAUAUAGCUAUUACAGACACCAAAUUAAAAAAUCCUAUCUUCGAUCAAGCCUCGGCUUAAGAUACUAGAUCUAAACUCCCAGUAUUAAACCUUACACCGGAUCAAAACAUAGAGGAGGAACAUCAAACUCACCUUGAUGAGUAUCGUAUCGCCGCGGAAAAGCUGGAGCUUCUCCAUGGUCUCCGGAUUCAUCGAAACGGCGGAGUUGUCGUCGUUCGUCGCCUCAUCCACGACCAACCUAUUCGCCGCCUUCUUGCGCUCCAGGAUCGCCGUGCUAUAAUCUCUCUUCGUACCCCUGCUGCGAGAUUUUUUCCGAUCAAAAAUAGAUCAGCAUUAGAACCCUAACCCUAAAUCCCCACUCGAUCAACACACAAUUCAGUAGAAAGCAGGGGAAACUUACGGAUCGGAGGAGGAAGAAGCCUCAUCCUUGUUCGCCAUCGCUGAUGAGCACGGGAGCUGAGGAGAGAACGGGAUCGAAGAGGAAGGAGACGAAGAGCUUUGUGAGAGAUCGACGGGGAGGAUGAGGGUAUUUAUAGGCGCAAUGCUCUGUUACUUCAGGCUCGGGUUUAGCAUUCUUAUGUAAUACACACGAGUAUUCUUCUUCCCAAAGAAAGGGGCUCCGCGAAUCUCGGCCGUUGGAUGGGGAUCGUAGGAUUGUGGGGCUCCUGAUCUACGUGGCCCCGUUCUUUUUGAUCGGUGCUUACGUCAUGCUCCAACUGGGUUGUACCCGGAUUAGACCAAAUGGACUCGGUCGUGUCCGAGUCUAGCUCGAGUCCUAGACUCCUAGCCCCCUUAAUAAUAAUAGAUUAUCUAAAAUCCAAUAUAUUAACGACAGUACGAUUAGGACAAUAAAAUUUAAAUAUUAUAGGAUAGUUAAUAUGACAAUUUUAAAUAUGAUUGAUUUGGGAAUUAUAUUAUAUUAUAAUAAUUCUACUUAAACUUAGAAAAAUUAUGCAUCAGAAACAAUAUUUUAGCUAACCAAUAUCAUUGUAAAAACAUUAAAUUUAGUUCUUAUUGCAUUACCUAAAUAUAUCUACUUUGUACGUAGGUCAAAGUUGGUGGAAAAUUACAAUUGAAAUAUCCUUUUCAGGUACAUUAGUAAAAGAAGAAAUAGUUGCAGCAUCUUACAUUGGAUAUAGGAUAUAGGGCUGUGAUUUGAGAUUAGUGGAUAAUAAGUUAUGACAAAUAUGAGACAGAUUAAUUAAUAUAUAUCCAUUUAAUAAUUAUUCCACAUCAAGUAAAACAUUAAUAUCCCCAUAACUUAAAAAUUACUAAGUAUGUAUAAAUAAGUUAUUUUAUUUUUGGGUCAAUUCAAAAACUUAAGUUGUAGGUGAAAAAAUUUCUGCCAUAAUGCCGUUAUCUAUAAAUCAAGAAAUUUUUUUUUGAAACUAAUAAAGAUAAAUUAAGAAAAAAAAAUCGUGAUGGAUUAUUUUUGUCCGUAGGAUAUUCCGAGGGACAUUUGGAUCCAUACUAUCUACUCUAGCGUGCGCGGCCGGGUUGGUCCACGGGUUGAUGAGCCGACGCGGUAGUUACACCAAGCACGAAGAAAACGUCUGGUGAACCUUGUCCGCCACGUCAGCCGUGCACCUAUCCUCAUUUUUGUACAAUGUAGUAUGGGCAAUUGGGAAACAAUUCCGUAUUGCAGUUGAAACAUAUCUCUAUAUUUGACAAAGCCCUUGGUAGUUCAUUUUAUAUCACUUAUUAAUGAUCACCGAAGAUGUUAAUAAUAUACUUUAUUAUAUCGGAUGUUAUUAUAACUUUAUUUAAAAUUUCUCUAACAACUCUCAAAAUAUCUAAAAAUUAUGUAUAUAUAUCCAAUUUCUAAAGUUAACUUUAUUUUUGCAAUAUAUCAAUAUCUCAAUAAGUUUGCAAUUUUUAUUUAUAUAAAAAUAAUUUCAAAAAAAUAUAAUUUAAUAAAUAAUAUGAAUUUAAAUAAAAGGCUUAUUACUAUUGUUCAGAAGACUUAAUAGAUAUUUUUUUAAAAAUUAUGGGAUAUGAAAUUAAAUUAUGCUUCAAGUAAAUAUUGUGCGUGACAUAUUUAGAAAUAAAAAAAAGAGAGAGCUUGGAUGAGUGACGAGGUGGACCGGGUCUGCUUAACAAUCUCCCCAAGGCACGACCGAGCCAACCCCAGACCGGUCCAAGUCCAAAUGACGCGCUCUAGUCCGAACCGGGCGCCAUUUUUAAUCCCGAACGAAACCCAAAUCUAUAUAUCGCAUGGGCUACUCACAUCCACUGCGUUUUCGUGCACCUCCCGCCAUGGCCGGUGCACUCCUCGAGCACGUCAAUGGCGAGAGGGCCGUGGUCCUCGUCUUCGUCUCCCUCGUCGCCUUCUCCGUCCCCCUCUCCCUCUUCCUCGAGGCCUUCGCCCUCUCCCUCCUCACCGUCUCCGCCCUCCUCGUCGAGAUCUCCGCCGAGAGCUCCGCCGCUGCCCCCCUCCUCCUCCGCCGCUUCAGGACCAGGUAUCGCCCUAUCGCGAUCGAUGUUGAGGGUUUCGUGCCCUACUUGCGUUUUAGAUCGAUUCCUCGCGCGCGUAUGAGUUCGAUCGGGUGCUUAACGUAGUUUGUUUGCGAAUUGGGGUAUUAGGUUUGCAUCCUUAAGAUUUGCCUCAUCUUUAUAAGCUAGUUUCCAGUAGAUUUAGGAGGUUUUUUGGUUCUACUUCAAGUGAAUAUCUGUAUUAGAAGCUGUUUACACUGUGAUUUUGGAAAUGGAGUUUGAAAUAAGAUCUAUUGUGAAGAGGACACACAGUGGGAUAAAUACUGAGAAGGACUAACUAAGAAAAGGAAUAGAUGCAUCUUAAUUUAAUUGUCUUUUUGAAGUACGUGCCACGAGGCUCUUAUUUGAGUUGUAGUUGCGAAUUGAGCUGAAUCCAUGUGAAUUUUUCAUUAUGCUAUCACUGUGGGCUUACAUUGUGAAGUUUGUCUAUUGCGAAAUUCAUCUCAUAUCUGUUGAUUUUGUGGAGAGAAAUUCCAGGAACUUGACUGAUCUUAGUUACGCAAUUUGCUAAUUCUUAUGUUAUCUUCAUGUUUUGCACCGUGCUUUUGUGCUAUGUGAUACUUUAUGAUUAUUAGAGAAUUCAUUUUCUCUUGUAACUAAUUCAUGCAUCUAUUCUAGACCUGGCGCUUCAUCUGGGAUACUUCUUGGUGCGGUUACACUGCCCACUGUCAUGCUUUCACGGUUGAUUCAACUCUCAAGAGCACUACCAAGGCACGAUAAUGGAAUUGAAGGUAGAUUUUCUGAUAUUUUAUCUCAUUAUUCAUAGGCUUUACCCUUAUGAUUCAUAGUGUGCAGUUCAUGUAAAGCUGUUAUUUAAGAUCACUUAGUCUACAUUUUUUUAGUACGACUGUUUUCCUAAUUUGCAUUAUAGGAUAUUGGGUUUUAGCUUGCAGCCACUUUUCUUUAAAUAGAGUUCCAAUAAUUGUUUUAGCUAUACUGUAUAAAGUAUAAACUUGUGAGUUCAUUAGAAAUGUAUAUUUAUAUAUUUUUGGGUUCUUGUAAGUUAAAAUUUACUUGUAACAACUAGUUGUUCCUUCUUUUAAAAGAAAAUUGAAAUUUGUUUGGUGUGCGAAUAUGGUCAGUCAUAUAUUUUUAUAUUUGAACUCUACUUAUUGCUUACUUUCCUGUUUGCACUUUCGUAGAAAUAAAUUAAUGUUGUCAUUAUUUGUAUAAUCACUGUAAAUUAAUGCCUCUCUCCUAAUUUACUUCAAGUUUCAUCUUCACUACCCUGCUUCUAUGUCUUAUUGUUAGUCUCAUCUCUUUGGACAGAACUUUCGUAUUUGGGUAUGCAAUAUUGGAAUGUGUCUACUAGUUGCUUCGCCGUGCUAAUUUUCCUCCGUUUUCUUCUACAACAUUCUCCCACCAAUGCAAGUUCUUUUUGUCUGCGAGGCUGUCAAGCUUUAGUAUAUAGCUCUGUUUCAGCGGUUCCAUAUUUGGUUACAUGCUAUCUUGCAAUGAAAUCAAAUGAAAGUAAGUUGCAGAUACUCUUAUAUUGUGCUGACUUGUUUGGAUAAUAACUAUUUACCGCUGUACUUAUUAAAGAGUUACUAAAUAUCUUUUUCUGUAAUUUUGCAGAUUGGAUUCUGAGAAAUAAUAUGUUGUGCUUACUUUGCUAUGGAAUAGCUACUGUGAUGUUUAUACAACAUAUUCUUCGCACAUUUCCUUCAUGUGCAUCAUUUGGUUUGUAUCAAUCUCUACUUUCAAAAUGUUUUUGGGUAUCUUAACACGCAUAUGUCACUUCUUUUCCAUUGACUUUUACUGAAAUGGUGUAAUUUUUUUGGUAGUGAUGUUUCUUCUACUAGUUUAGAACUCUCACCUUGCAAACCAAUAUGUUACCUAUAUAGGUUCAUGUUCAAUAUAAAUGUACAACAGACAUUUCUAGCAAGUUGCUUAGUAGUCUCACUCCACAAAACCUUCAUAUUCAGACAAAUUUUUUUUUUAUAUUUAUUGAUCAUGUUUGCAUUUUUCGAAACAAUUGAAUUCAAAGACCUGUCCAAUUAGGAUUAGGCAGUAUGUUUGCACAUUUAAAGCCAGCAGCAUCUCCCUCUCUCUCUCCCUCUCUGGUUAAUAAUGUUCACAAUGCAACUUUUAUGAACUGCGCAGAUAUUUAAAGUAAGUAUCAUUAAAAUAUGAUUUAGACAAGAAAUUUUUUGCAUCUCUUCAUGGAAUAAGCUACAAGUGGAACUGUGGAAAGACAAGUAAUUCAGUUAGCAUGUUUGUAUACUUGAGAUAACUCUUAAUAUCCUGCAAUUUGUGUAGUUAUUGAUUAUAGAUUCUGAAUUGCAAGCAAUUAUGUAAAUGUCCAUGUCUUAUUUCAUUUUCUUAUACUCUUUGCGCGAUACAAUGAAUACAUUUUAUCAUGUUCUUUUUCUUUUUUUUUUUCCUGUUGCAGUACCUGCUAUGUUCCCAGACUAUUGAAUCUCUUUUUUUGUAAUGUUAGGGGAAGCACUUCUUGUAUCAAGUGGUCUGGUUCUUUACUUUGGUGAUAUGUUGGCUCGUACUAUUUCAAAGGUCAAUAUGGUUUCUUCAUAUAUGACUAUUUAGGGAUUUAAAGAAAUUUAUUAGAAGCAAUAAUAUGUGUGAAUAAUUUGACAGAUGGAUUUCCUCUUAUUAUCAUCAAAAAGAAAUGUUCACGUGAAUGGAGCUCGAGGUGAAAUAGCAACAGUUAUUCAGGUAAGUUCGUUUUGCCUAUCUGUAUGAGCUUUAUCAAUGGAUUGUUGAGUUUAUGUUCUUUGCAGGGAGUGCUGCUUGGCCUUUUUCUUGUUCCAGUGUUUUACAAAAGUAUACUUAGAAUUUGGCUUUAUUUUACGACUUUGGGCAAGCAAAGAAGUCAAGAAGUUGAAGAAAGGUCUAACAGAGGAAUUGGAAGUGCUAUUGUAUUUUAUGCUUCACUUUUGGUGAUGUUGGCAAUAUUAGUUCCGGCAUGGAUGUACUUCGUUCAGGAUUUUCAUAUGCAUCCGCUUCUAUGGUAAGUAUCCUUGAAACUUCUUAUAGUAUUGACAUGAUUUUUUUUCCCUCAAAUUAAGACCAGGAAUAAGUAAAACGUGUGCUUUCUAGUUGUAUAUUGGUGGCAUUUUUUUUCUUUAAGAUAAAGUAAAAUUCCUCUACUCGCAAAUUUGCCAUGUAGUAACCUUGUACCAUCGAGUCAAUUAAUUGAGCGCUGUUUUUCAUCAAUACAUUCUAUUACUGUGUUUUAUUUGAGUACUUCAUCUAUCAACAUAACUUAGCAUGGCAAUGAAAUUCUCAAACUUGUUUUGCUUUUAAAUUUCUUAUUGUUUAGUUUUAAUCUUACAUUAUACUCCUUUGUGUCUAAUUCUUGUUAUAAUUUUAAUUAUAUGAUGUGGAUUUUCACAGGGUACUCAAUUUUGUAGUCACUGAUCCUCUCAAACGAAUUGCGCUAUGUAUGUACUGGGUGUCUGUGAUCUGUGUAUCUGUUUUGAGGUUCUAUGAUAUAUCAAAAAAUAGCAAGACUGAGAGGAUUCUUCUUCGGAAGUACUACCAUCUAGUUGCAGUUCUAAUGUUUGUUCCAGCUCUUUUAUAUCAGGUAAUUUUUAAUUAAUUAAAUUGACGUUUCACAGGACUCCAAAAGCUCUUAAGGGCUAAUUUGUUUUUCUCUUUGCAGCCAGCUUUUUUGGACCUGGCUUUUGGUGCAGCUUUGGCAGUUUUCUUAGUUUUGGAAAUGAUCCGAGUAAGUUUUUACUGAGAUAUUGAUGACUUUUUUAAAGUUUUAGCAUCACACAUAUUUAUAGUCAUCUUAUUGUGCUGUUUAUAUUGGGCUGUGAUAACUACCAUACCUACAUCCGAUAUAUAAAUGCAUUAAUGCUCUGAUGGGGCUUGCCCUGUUAGUUGUAUAAAGCCUUAGGCGCAUAAAGUUGGAGACCAGGAAUAAUGAUUUCUCAUUUCUCAUACGAUCAGAAAGUUUUCCUGAUACUUCACUUCUUUCUUGUGUAUCAUUAGUAUAUUGAUACAGUCAGAUUCAGAGUGCACGUAUAGACUUUUCUGAAGUUAGAUAGCUGAAUGACUAUCUAAUCUAAGGCGUUCUCUCCGCAGCUUGCUUUUACUCUGCCUUCUAUGAUUCUUUAUGCUGAUACAUAAUCAAUUGUGCCAAAUUUUUUAAGUCAAAUAUCUGUCAAAACUUUAGCCAGCUUCUUGGAAUUUGAUGGCUUGAAUUUGUUCAAUUAAGCAAGCUAGUUGACAAGUCACAUGUCAUUGAGUGGAUUGAGUGGUUUAAGUUAAUUAGGAAGAAAUGGUUUAUAAUAGAUAACAGUUCACUGUACGUUUUUGGUGUGCGAAUAUUACGAGUACUUUUGCAUGUGCCCUUCAUUCUUCCAUUACAUUUUGGUUCUCUUCUUCUUAUUGCCAGUUAUGAAAAAUUACAGAAGUUGGCAGCUUAUAUUGUUUAGGUAAUGUUGAAAAAGACUUAUGCUCAUAAAACUCUGACCAUGUCGUCAGGUUUGGAAAAUAUGGCCUCUAGGGAACCUUAUACAUCAAUUCAUGAAUGCCUUCACAGAUCAUCGUGAUUCAGAGAUUCUUAUUGUCAGGCAUGAGUGCAUGCUCUUCCUACUCUUGACAAAGUUGUUGCCUUUCUGUUUUAUAUUUUUUUGCACUGACACCCCUUGUUUUUUCUGUUUGACUUUUUUUUUCUCUUUCGCUUUUUCAGUCAUUUUUCCCUCUUACUAGGUUGUGCGCUUCCUAAGUGGAUGUCAUCUGGGUUCAAUGAUCGACCGCUUGCUCCUUUUGCAGGAAUUCUUAGUCUAGGGAUAGGAGAUACUAUGGUAAGUGCUAUAUUCCUUACUAAGCUGGUUUUUAGGUCUGUAGUUCUUAUGUAAGCCCUGAUAAUCAACUAUGCCGGUAUCCAAAGGGGAUUAAUUUGAUUAUGCACUGAUAAUGGACUGUUGGUAACCUUCAUAAAUCAUAACCGUGACAAUUGUAGCAUUUCAAGUUUUCAACCAAAACCAUAAAACUUAUUCUGCUUCUGUUGUUUUCUUUUCAUAACCAUCAGGCAUCAAUGGUUGGCCAUAAGUAUGGUGUCCUGAGGUGGAGCAAGACUGGCAGUAAGUGAAGCUUCUGAUGCUCCCUUUUUUUUGGGUAAUUUUACCAGUAAUAUAUUAGUUCAGAGACAGUUAAAAGUGGAUCCACUUCCUUGUGGACCCUCCAGGGCUUGUACUUCAUUUCUUUUCUUUCUUAUUUUUGUAUACUUUUGGGUCUUAUUUAAUAUAAUUAUAGGCCUUUUGCCCCUAUUAAUUUUCAAAAGAAAGAAACAUAGUUGUUUUUUUUGAGAGAAAAAAGGAAAGAAACAUAGUCAAGGUCUCUGUGUAGUCUUUGAGCUGUUAACUUAACUGCUUUCCCUUUGCUAGAGAAAACUGUUGAAGGGACUGCAGCCGGCAUAACUUCUGUUUUAGCUGCAUGCUCAGUACUCCUCCCUCUCUUAGCAUCGAGCGGAUAUAUAAUUUCCCAGGUUUCAUCUCUCUCUCUCUCUCUCUCUUGUGCACCUGCACACACUCACAUGCAUAUGCCCGUGUGCAUGCACGCGCGCGCGCGUUCACACAGACCAAACAUGAGCAACUUGGUUAUUCUAGGCAUUUUGUGAGCAGAAUAAGCCUAUCAGUGUUCAAGGUUGCAUUUUGUGCCUAUUUGGCAUAAGCUUUUGGAGCCACUUAUCUACUCCAAGAAGUGAAAAUAGGCAAGAGUGUGUUGCUACUGGGGCAAGCUGAGAAUGAGCUUAUGCGUCUCAAAAGUGGAAGCUCCAAUCUCAAGCUUCUGCUUCUGCCUGAAUAGGGCAUGUGGGGAUUCCAAUGUAAAGGCUAUCAGUGCUGCUCCAUGAUUGUGCUAAUGCUUGUUCUUGUAUUUAUUAUGCAGCACUGGGCAUCUUUGCUUAUAGCAGUUACUGUGAGUGGCUUGUUGGAGGCAUGCACCGCGCAGCUCGAUAAUGCUUUUAUACCUCUUGUAUUCUAUAGCCUACUCUGUCUAUAAAAAACUAGGCCAAAAAAAAGUCAUUGUUUGCUACCAUUUUGGUGCCCCUCAUUUUUUUCUCCUUCUCUAUUUUUUGUCAACAAGUAUAUAAGAGCUUUCUAUGAGCGCAAUUUGUAUAUAGUAAAGGCCUAAGGUUUUUGUUAUUUUAUUUUACUUUUUCAUGGUGUACCUCAUUCUAUAAAUUUGUUGACUUGUUGUACCUCAUUCUAUAAAUUUGUUGUACUGGAAUAUGCUAUAAUGAUCAGAAUCUCUACUUGUUACCAAAAAUACCAUUCCCUGUUAUCAAUGUAAAUUUAAAGGCAAAUUGAUAAGCAGUAGCUUCACAAUGCAUAAAGGCUUUAUCCUACAGCACAAGAGUGUGAUAAGUGUAAAACUAGUUCUCCAUGUAAUUUUGCAGAAAUUAAUUACUGAUGUUAUAAGAAACAGAUCAGCUAUCGUAUUGCACUAAUAAAGAUGCAUGCUGAGUUGUAUGCGGUAUAAUCUGGUGAAAUAUGCAUUUUAGAUAAAACAAUGAACUCGCGGAAAUGAAGAAGUUUUGUAACAGUGAGAAUAAAGUAAGCCCAACAAUGAGUGGUCAAUGAUUCGAGAACAUUGCGUGUGGGAAAAUGUGAAUUUCAUACAACAUUUGAUUGAGGUUUGACUCAUGUAUGGUAACUUAAAAACGCUUUUCAACAUAAUCGAUCCUCCCUUAUAUUUGAGAACCAUCUAGAAAAGAGUCCUGGGAAACAGUCGGAGGACAAGCUUGAGCCAGAGUGGAUUGUCUUAAGAUUUGUGUUGAAUGCAAAGGCCACCUAAUUCUGCAACAAAAGAUGAAACUAAAUCAGAGGCCUCUAUUUGGCCACAUCAUAGGUCCUCCGCGAGCCUAGAUUGCAAGUUGCUAUGGCGUGCCACAUUACACCGGACUAGGCUGACUCGUCAACUGAUAUACUCCUUCGCACAUGUCUGCUAUUGGGAUAAGCCACUUUAUCUUAGUGCUUGUAAAAUUUGGCUAUUGAGUCAACUCAAUCCAAACGAACUUAGAUCCGACCCACUGUUCCAUUGCGAGGAUUCAUCCUGGUAUGGUAGUACAAUUGUUUUAUGCCGUAUCAAUUGGGCAUUUUUUCCUACAUGGUUUUUAGAUCCUUAUGAAUCUUUAGGCAGGGAAAAACUUGGGCUUAAUCAUAAAAACAGCUUUUGCCUUUAAAUCAUGUGUCAAACAUCUAUUUGUAUAAAACAGUGAAUCAAUUUGCGUCUCUCGCUAUAUCGCUAUACCAAAUAAACCCCAAAAUUUGAAAUAAUCAUUGAAUUGGAAGGUAAAACUUAGCGGUAACUAAUUGGCGAAUAACAAGGGUUAUAUUAAUUCACCGGAGUACAAUAAUAUAAAUCAAAUAAAUUAUUCAGUGAAACCGCCAGUUGUAAUCAUUAUUAUAUCUUUCCGUGGCAUAAUCUUGUCCUUUUUUAAGUACUUUAAUAUUAGCUGUAUCUCCAAGUCAUCAAUCAAAACAAAGUUUGCUAGAUUUUUAGAAUCUAAGCAUGUUUAAUUAAGAUGCCAACCAAUGGAGGAAACAUGAUGUAUGGUCCCAAUCCUCACAUUCUAUCCAACCACAAACAGCUGCCACCCAAUAUCCCCACUGCCUAGUAUCAACCAAACGACAAACUCAUCCCAAAUUCAGCUUCCUUGCUAUGAUAGAGAAACCAACACACAUUUCCUAGAGAGAGAAAUAGUCUUAAUAUCUAUGCAACAUAUGUGCUCAUGUGUAUCAUGUAGAUCAAGUUAAACCAAGCCACGUGCAUUGACGAAAAAAUAAUGGAGGAAGUAGAUAACAUAAAUUUUUGUUACUAAUGCACAGUAGAUACGGGGAUCUGAGCUCUAAACCUUCUUGAAAGUUGAGGGGCUUAGAACUGGCUUUGAUAUCAGUUUGUUUGAAAGAAUGAUACGACAGAAAAGGUUCAGAAAUAGUUAAGAGAGAGAGAGAGAGAGGGUAUAAAGGCUUCUUAGACAAGCAAAGUUCAAGAUAGUUCUAUGCUGGAGAGACUCUUGCCCACAGAGUUGCAAGGGAAAAAAGCCACACAGCUACCAACAUUCCACUGUGCACAUAUGUAGAUAUCUCCACAAUAAGCAUGAGAUUAGACAACAUUGACACAUCCCUAAUCAUAAUAAUCUUUUAGGAUGGGUCAGUCCAAAUCAAGGUUACGAGAGAAUAAAAUAAAUUAGCAAUAAUAAUGACUUAUUGUGGUACUUCAUCAAUAUUGAAGAACAAGCAAACAACAAACAUUGUCCUUCAUUUUUUUAACUCUCAAAUUUCAAUAAGCCCAAUGCUUUUACACUUUUUUCUUUUUUUUUUUUUGAGAGAUAUGUAGCAUACUAUCCGCCUAGAAAUGUAAAUCAACUAGAAUUCGAACUUGGGUCUCGAGUACCAACCACCAAACCCUUUGCCACUUGCUCUAGGGACGGUCGGUAAUGCUUUUACACUUGAAUAUUAAAAAGUUCUAUACAAAUGAGAUACGGUUACAUUUGCAAGACUACUUAGCUUAGCUAGAGUUUUUGUGGAAGAGCGCUUCUGAAUAAAGCUAUCGAAUAAGCAUUAAUAAGAUAUUUUCAUCAGAUUCACUCCAGAGGUUCUCACUGUAACAAAAUUAGAAGCGUUGAAUGAGAAUUCUCCCUUUGCGAUUCACAAACUUAUUUUAACCUUUUGACACAACAAGAAAUGCAUGCUCUAAACAUUUUGUUUACUGAGAAAGUUUCAGUUACUAUUGUUUCAUCAAUAAAGCCAUUACAAAGCUCUAAAAGCUUCGAUGUUUGGAUUUUUUUGGUCAAAUUUAAAUAAAGCAGGUCAAGUGCAAAACUUCAAGACAUGCCUAACACAAGACUUUCCCUCAACACACUCUCACCACAUACACACACAUAUAUACACACACACACCCCAUCACUACACCAAGGAACUUAGACAAGCAAUUAGUGUCCAAGGAAAGGGGAAAAAAAACCAAAAGGAAAGGAGAAAAAAAAGAAGAAACAUGGCCAUGAAGAGAAACGCAGCUGUGAAGAGAGCAGUGCAAGUGCUCCAAAGAAGCAUAUCAUGCUCUAAAAACAGGAGCCCAUUUCUCUCCAAUGGCAUAGUCCCGAAGGAUGUGAAAGAGGGCCACUUUGUAGUCAUAGCAGUGUGUGAUGAGAAGCCCCCCAAGAGAUUUGUGGUCUCCUUGAGCUGCCUCUCCCACCCUUUGUUCCUGAACCUCCUCGAGCUCGCCGCCGACGAGUUCGGGUUCCGGCACGACGGCGCCCUCGCGGUCCCGUGCCGACCCUGCGAGUUCGAGAGGAUCAUCAACCAGAUGUAACGGAUCAUGAAAAUGAGGAGAGGAUCAGGAAUGAGGAUUAAUGAUGAGUUUAUGUUGUAUAGAUAUAUAUAUAUAUAUAUAUAUAUAUAUAUACAUGUUCUUCACUGUUUUGAGCACAUUUAGUAAUUAGUUUUGGUAUUGAUAAUAUAUGUUCCAUGCAUGUUGCAUGGACUAGAUUAGAAAUUAUUAACAUUUUAAACUACUGAUCAUUGUAAUAGGUUAAUAUGCGCAUGACUCAAUCAGAGAAAGUUAUAUAUAUUGUUUGAUCAGUUGAUAUCAAUAAUUUAUUUUUGUUUUUAUUUUGUAUGCGUCCCCUUAAUCAGGGACUCGAUUGUAAAGUUUGAAAGAAUUAGAGAUCAAACAAAAUAUAAAAAAAAGUCAUAAAUUGUUUGGAUGUAUGGAUUGCAAUGCUUAUUACGCGAAGAGAAUUAAAAAUAUACGUAGACACCAUGUAUAUAAUUUACACUCACUUUUAAGAUAUAUGAAUAGUAUUGCUUAUUACGCGAAAAGAAUUAAAAUGAAACACCGCCAAGUAUAGCAAAUUUUGACACGAACACGUUAACUAUUUUUUUUCAAAAAUAAAUUUACAUUUAAUAGUUGUCCACACCUUUUCAACUGAUAUAAUUGAUAAUUUCAUUAAUUCUAACCAUUAUUAUCACAAAAAUCGUUAAGUUUAAUAUAAUUUUGAAUUAAUUCGAAAGAAUAACUCAAAAGUUAAUGUUUUCACAAAGUUGAGGGGUGCAAUUCAACUUGUCUAUAGGUGAGGGGGUGUCUGUAUAUUUUACAUCCCCUCUUACCCUGCGCCCACUCCCGACCUUUUUUCUUUUCCGUGGAUUUUUUUUCCCCUUUCUAAAUCUCACUCUCAGGUACGUCUUAGGGUUCUAAUCGAUCGAAAAUCUCCUCUCUACUUGCUAAUUUUUCAUAUUCGGCAUCAAACAUUUAAUUUUUACCUGCAAAAUUGCUCUACGAAAUCGAAUACUACACCUAAAUUUUCCUAGAGCGACCUAAAAUUUAGAAUCGAUUGAUUAAAUAGUUGAGAAAAAUUCUCCUUGGAGAUCCUUACUACAUUAUUUGAGUACCAAUUUGGCAAAUUUUGCAUUCUAUAAAUGAAAAAUUGCAUCCUCUUACUUAUGUUUCUGAUCCUUAGGGGAUGAGUUUUAGUUGUUGAAUACGUUUGUUUGUUUGUUAUCUUUUUGAUUUGUUAUUUAAUUAGCUCGAUUGUGAUGAAGCUUUGUUUUCUGUUGUAAAACGAUAUGAAAUAAACGUUGUUCUCAAAAACCUUAAGCUACUAACGAAUGCGUGUAGUGUGUAGAGGAGGGGAAAAAAUAAGGUGAUUUAGUCUAAAAGUGCUAAUUUUGAAAUAGACCAUUCAAUUAUUUUUCAAACUAUUCUUGUGAUGGGUCACUGUUGAUUUGCUUAAACCAAUUGAAAUUAGUAGUUUCAACUUCACUAUGUUAUUCCGAUUUGCUUCCGACCAGUAGAGAUUCAUCAACUGGAGUAUUUUGUUGUGUGGCUUAUGAAAUACUGUAAAUAACAUCUGCGACUGUAACGAUGGUCGAUUGCUUCAUUCUUGGUUAUGUAGAAGGCAAUACAUGCAUGUUAAAACUAUCAUUGUAACCAUGUACAUAAAAAUAGUGAGCACGCUCGUUGAAGUCCAUGUUUCAGAUGCACAACAGAUGAAUCUUUUUAUCAUUCACAUCAAAGCUUAAAAAAAAAAAAAGCUUGAUCUUGUCCUUCACCUCUUUUGUGAAGUGUUCCUGCAAGUGAAAAGGCAUUAAUCAUUCUUGCGUUUAUGAAUUUCUAAUGCAUCGUCGCCUUUUUCUUCGUCAAAUCCCUCCACUACAAGCCCUUUCAACGCUCCGAGCCCCUAAUAUUUUCACGAGUUCGUUAGGGUGACAAGGAACAACAAGUACCCCUGCUUGUUUGAACCCGAAUUCUUCCUCUGCCGACUCCAACACUUUGAGGAACUCGGGUUUUGAGAGGUGAGCUACCUCCACAAUGAACCUCUGAUACUUCUCAUCUUUAACGGCGUGAACUGCGAAAUGCCCUUCCUUCACAUCUUCAGGGACUCCACCGUCAGAUUUCAGGAAAACUCUUCUUUUAAGCUUUUCCAUCACAUUUUUUAGCUUGACCAUGGCUAAUAGUUGUGGAUAUUGCUUUGAGCUACCUUUUGGGUUUGAUUUGCUUCAUUCGCAAUCAAAUGGUUGUAUUUAUACUGCUGAAACAUGAAUCUGAGGCAUUUUAAUUAUCUGACCUUACCGGGAUAAUAAUGUUCACGUGGGCGGUCUAUUAGUAAAGAGAGAAUAAGAAGCUAGUAAGUGCAUCCAACGCAGGUUAGGCGAAGUUGCAUGAAAAACUUAUUGAGAUUACUUGGACACAUGCGGCAGAGUCCACUUAUGCACCAAGUAGGGGUGAUUUCGUUCAAAUUGAUGCAAAUCGGAGAAAGUAGUAAAAAGAGGUAUGAUAACACCUAAUUUGCCAAAUAAUCAUACCAUAAAUAGUGUUGUGUGGAAAAAGGGUCCUUAUAGAUGACCCAAUAAUUUAAAUGCUAAAUGCUAAAUGCUUAGUCUUUGUUGUCGCUGUUGUUGCUGUUGUAUUAAGUAGACAAUCUGAUUUCCAGCUUUAUCAUAGCUUUGAAUGGACAAUAUCUUCAAUUUUCCUCUAUCAUUGGUGAACUUCCUAAAGCUUUAGACCAAACACCAAAGUGAUAUGUCGAUUCUUCUAGUUGAGAGGGGAGUUGCAACAAUUGUCAAAACUGCUGUUAGAAACAGCUAGCAGUCAAUUAUGUAUGCUUGCUUGACACUAAUUCUUGAUUAGGUUUGCAGUGUCUCUCCUGAAAUAAAUGCAUUUGCAUUCUCAUAGGUGUAAUAACUAAAAGGAUAGGGAGAAAGUCUUUUCUCAUUAAGAACAGAAACCUUACAUGAGGGGUUCCUGAGGAGGUAGGUAUGUCGAGCUAAUGAGCUUUUCCAUAUAUAAUCCAAAAAAGUAACAUAAGCAUAUAUUCCUGCAGAAUCUGAAUCUUCAUAUGUGCCCCACCUACAUGUUAUUCAAAAACACCUUUAAGAUGAAGAGAGAUUGAAAUUCAUACUGGGAAGUUUUUUUGUUAACUGUUAAUUAAUUAAGUUUUUGAAGGGCGUACAUGAAAUUGUAGAUACGUAACUUUGCUGGGGUGUAUACAUGUAAGCAGAUAUGUACAUACGUGAUUUUGCAAGAAAGGAGGAAGUGUGAGGGCAUGAUAUUGCAGGAAAGGAGGUUAGGUUUCGAGUCCUAACUCGUCUCCAAUGUUUCUAUCUCUAUCGGUUGCUUCUUUACACUUUCAAAGUUUGAUACCUUUCAUGUACUGUAUUACUUAUGUAAGAGUUGUGCCGAUAAGUUCCCUUUUAGGACAGUUAAACCAUUACAAAAGCUGGUAUAUAUAUAGAUCCAAAUUAUAUUCAUGUGAAUGUCAUGUGAUGUGUUUAUAUCUCUACCUACAUGACCAUUGAUUUUCUUGCAUCUUAAUAUCAUCUUUACAAUAAUCUGUGCAAAUACCAGAAGAUGUAUGAACUUUUUCUUGUUAUGAACUUCUAGCACUCUGGAGUUACCGGAUGACUUUUCUUCCAAUUUCUACCUGCUUUUACUCAUUACAUCAAACUGAAUAAUUUAUGAAUGACAAUCUUGAUGCAAUUUUCACAUGCUAUGUUUUCGUAUAUCAUAUCUCUUGUACCUCUAGUAGUACAUUUAACUCUGUACAAAGAUGCAGGGAUCGCAACUAAGAUCAGAAAUAAUGCUAUCAGAGAGCAAUCUUAUCUAACCUGUUUGGCUCCACUUCUGCUUCCAUUCUCUAUACUUGUUAUUUCUAAUAGAGUGUUUGACAAACAGAAAUGUCUAUGGCAUAAAUAAGAUUCGCAGGCCCAAAAAAGGAGAAUCUUCAAAUAUUCGGAGCUUCUGAUUCUGCUCAAUAGUGCUCCUUCUAAAGGCACUUAUCGGACAACACUUCAUCGAACAGCAUUGCACCGUACAGUAGAGAAGGUAAGCAUCUUAAACACCUAGCAUUUUUAAGUUGCAUAAGACUUUUGAAUGCUCAGAACACCUGUAUUAUCUGUGACCUAACUCCAUGUGAGGGUUCUUUGAAAUAAGUAGCCAGUGUGACAUCAUUGAACUGCGCAGUUCAUUCAUUUCUCCUUGUGGGGAGGUAUUGCAUUAUCCCAGUUGGCUACCUAAUGAAGUGCUUGGCUACAUGGUGGAAACAGUUGCAACAACCAACAAACAGAGCAUGGGGCUACAUGUUUCGCGAGACGGUUAGAUCAGCUUCUCUAUUUCGAAAAGCAAAAAGUGUCGAGCAUCUAUAAAAUGAACAUUUGGAUUCGAAGUUUGAGGCAACUUUUGAAUAGACAUUAUUUAUGUCUGUUAAAAUUGGAGAAAUUGGAUGAAACUUGUAUAAGAUUUCUUCUAAGAAAUCAAAUUAUGAUUACCGUUUAGUUAAUCGUGCAUUAAUAUUGGAGUUGUUAGCGCAUAUUUUUGGCGGUAAAAUUAAGUAUAUAAAAAAGUUCAGGGACUAACUUGCAGUUCUUGGAUAAUACAGGGGCCAACCAUUAUAGUUUAUCAUGUCAUGUUACGCAAUUAAAAUUUUCCAUACUCAUUUUAUUACGCGGAUAAAAUGAGUAUGGAAAUUAAAAUCCCACUAUUAUUAUUAUUUUUGAGAAUUGGAUCUACCUACGGUCCAUUCAUCUGGGAUUUUAAUCUAAAUUUUUUUUUUAGAAUUAUUAAAUCAAAUUAUUUUUUCUAAAUUUAGCAUUUUAUCAAAAAAAAAAAAAAAUUGUUUUGUUGUGUUAAUAUGAAUUUUCCCCUCACAAUCCCAAGUCAAAGAGGUAAACCAUUCUUCUGGGAGCAGGUCACAAAAUACCGAUUCCAAUCUGUGGACCAAGCCGAACGAAUAUAAAAAUAAUAAAAUAUAUAUUUCAUUUUUUUUAUAUUUAUAUAAAAUAAUAAAAAUGUUUUUUAAAAUAUUAUUUAUCAGAAAAUCAUCAUAUUAUUUUUACAAAGUAUAAUAGAAUUUGCAUAUUAUGAUAUAGCUUGUAUGGUAUAAUUGGUUAAAAAGAAAAAAAAAAAAAAAAAAAAAUGACUUUUCUUUAUUCCGUGUUCUUAGUAUCACAAUUAAUGUAAAUUAUUGCUAUUAUUAUUAUUGGUUACUAUUAGUCCAAGUAAUUAGUUGUGAUUAUACUUUUUAUUAUUACUUAUUGCAUUAUUAUUAUUCUGAUUCAAACUCUUGCAAUUGGGUUUUUAUAGUUUACAUUUUUUGCACAUGACGUCAAACACCACCUCCCAAAACCUUAUUCAAAAAAUUUCUUUAUAUAUAUAUAUAUAUAUAUAUAUAUAUAUAUAUAUAUAUAUAUAUAUAUAUAUAUAUAUAUAUAUAUAUAAUCUUAUAUAUCCUCUUUAAGUUGUAUGAAGUUUUCGUCUCCAUCCAUUUUCGACGUUUCCGGUUCGUUCUCUCUCUCUCUCUCUCUCUCUCUCUUCUUCUCUCUCUCCCACCAAAACCCUAACUCCUCGAUCCAAAUUGAACUCUCCCCUUCGUCCAAUUCUCGUCCCUUCGCCCUACGAUCGCAGCAAUGGACCCUACGACCGACGACGAGGAGGCGGGGAUCUCCGGCGUCGGCGGCGGCGGCGUACGCGGCGAGUCGUCGGCGGCGGUGGAGGCGGCGGCGCGGGUGGUCCCUCGGCGAGCGCGAGGUCCGAUCCCUAGCCGCGCUCCGCGGCGCCUUGGUCUCCGCCAAGGAUCUCCUCCGAUCCGUGUACAACGGGAGUAAGAUCUAUCAGGUAUAAGCUAUUCCUCUCUAUUCCUUGUUCUUUGUCAUCAAUCGCCCUCUUUUUUCCCUUUUAUUCGUCGUAUACAAAGUCGGGGAUACCGAAAUUUUCUAUAAGUUCGUGUUAAUGGGAUGAUUAAUGUUGAGUCAAGUUUAUUGAGACUAGUUUUUGGUAUUGAUGGGUCAGAGAGCAUUAUAAAUGUAGGAAUUAGGUAAUUUGAUUGUUUCAUUUGAUUAUGAUUGUGAUAAUCGCCAUGCUAUUUUGGAAACAUCUUUUAAUCCUUUUAAUUCUUUCUCAAUUGUUAAUUACUGCUACUAGUUUUGUUACAUGAUGAUCCAACUGAGUGCUGUUAAAGUGCACUUUUAUAGGAAGAUUAGAUCAAAAUUUGCUUUGUAUCCGAGUCAAUCUUCCUAGAAUAAUAUGCCCCUUAUUUUUCAAUUUCAUAAUUUCAUCCCUUGAUUAUGCAGAGUAUGUGUGCCACACACCAUAACUUCGCAAUGAUAAUUUGGAGUCAAUAUUUUGAUAUACAAGGACUAGCCCCUGUUAGUCUUAGUAGCUUGUGCUAGAAACACUUUGGGCCAGUGUUUGGACUCAAUAGUUUGCUAUUAUACUAAUGGAUUAGUUUGGUUUGGUACAAUAUAAGCUUUGUCGGAGCAGUUUCGUUUGAUAUUUGUAUAGCCUAUAUAAUAGGAACGAUUGCCUGGAAGUGUUAAUUUUGUUGAUCCUACUGCACUUUUAUGAGCUUUGGGUCCUACAUUCGGUUUUCCUCAAGUCAUAUUACUAUUGUUCUAUUUCAGGCACUACAAAGAGAAAACUUUGCCAGCAAAUUCCUAGAGGUGAAUGAGAAAAUUGAGAAAGCACUGGAUGAUUUAUCCUAUGGCAACCUUCAUAUCUCUGAAGAAGUUUUAGAGCAGGUAAUCUGAAUUGUAACAAUUCUCAAGAGCAUUCAGGCAUAAGCUAAAAUCCGUUCGUUCUUAUUUCCUUGAGAAAAUACAGUUCGUCUUUUGAAAAAUUUGUGGUAAAAUUUAAUAUUUGAUCAGUUGCAUUGCAUGCCUUGUCUAACCCAGUAAUAUGUAUUCUUGGUAGUACAUGAUUAAGCUUUUGUGGAAGCUUUUGUAGUUUCGCCGUCUAAAUUUGCUUCACUGUUAAAUGGGCAACUUAUGAUCACGAAUGUUUCAUCACUUUACUAUGAAGAAUUGGUAUAUAAACUGAUAUUAUCAUUUAAUUGUACCUUUGACUACCAUUUAUUAAUUGAGAGCCAACAAAAAUUACUAUUCUUUCCUACCUAUGCAGGUUGAACUCGUGCACGCGCAGUUUCGAAGAGCAAAAGUGACAAUGGACUCUCCCGAUCCACAACUUGUUGGAGAUUUAUUUUGCGCAAAAGUUGAAAAGCCCUGCGACAAUCUUAUCCUUAAAAGAAUUUCAGAAAAUUUGCAACUGAGAACAAUGAACGACAUGAAGAAAGAGUCAGUUGCUCUACAUGAAAUGGUGAUUUCAAGUGAUGGUGUUCCAGAUGAGUGCCUUGAAGAAAUGUCAUCCUUGCUAAAGAAUCUUACGGACUGUGUAUUAGAUGAGAAUCCGACUUCUGAUACCGUCCAAAGCAAAACUAGCCCUAUAAAAAAUACAUCUCCUGUUAUUCCGGAUGAGUUUCGAUGCCCCAUAUCUCUUGAGUUGAUGAGGGACCCUGUCAUUGUCUCCACUGGACAGGUAUGCAAUACUUUUAACUUUUAUGCAAAUUAGAAUGCUAGCUGAACUGGUGCUCUGGCUCCCUGAGUAGAACUGCCUGAGUAGAACUGUUUUGAAAAUCUACUAGUAUCUUUUCCAUAAAGAUCCUCCUGACAGUUUCAUGCUGCACUAUAAACAGAAGGUUUAAGCUGAAGCUUCUGCUUUUGAGCUCAAAGGCUCAUUACAGAUUUCAGCCAUGGUAGAAGAUCCAGAUUCCAGACUAUUUUGUUUCUCAAAAGGCUGUUGCUUCUCACUGUAGAGAGGUUGUUCCCGAAGUUAGGCCAAACAGGCAUUAACACCUAAUGGAUUUCGUUUUCCUGAACAUGGUGUGCUAAGAAUCAUUUAAGCCCUUCACUUACGUUAGGGUCUUAUAAGCCAACAGCCAGAUGGUUGUAGUACCUGUUCAAUGCUCUGUUCUAGAUUUGUUCAGCAUUUUUUUGUACUAAAUAUAGAUGAAUUUUCUACAGACUUAUGAGAGGUCCUGCAUCCAAAAAUGGCUCGACAGCGGACACAAGACCUGCCCUAAAACCCAACAACACCUAUCCCACAGUGUCCUCACACCAAACUUCGUGUUGAAGAGCCUCAUUGCGCAGUGGUGCGAAGUAAACGGCGUUGAACUGCCGAAGAAUAAUAAAUCAGGCCACCGAGACAAGAAACAGGGGAAAGCUCCAGACUGUGAUCGUGCUGCUAUCCGCUUGCUAAUGCAGAAAAUAGCAAAUGGCAACAGCGACGAGCAAAGGGCGGCCGCAGGUGAGCUCCGAUUGCUUGCAAAGAGAAACGCAAACAACAGAGUAUGUAUUGCAGAAGCCGGUGCAAUCCCUUUAUUAGUGGAACUGCUCUCUUCUCCCGACCCAAGAACCCAAGAACAUGCCGUCACGGCCCUCCUUAACCUCUCAAUCAAUGAGGAUAACAAGGGUAGUAUUGUAAAUAAUGAAGCAAUACCAAAGAUAGUGGAAGUGCUUAAAAAUGGGAGCAUGGAAGCGAGAGAGAAUGCUGCGGCUACCCUUUUUAGUUUGUCUGUUGUGGAUGAGAACAAAGUAACUAUUGGUGCUAAGGGGGCGAUACCUCCGCUCAUUGAUCUUUUAUGUGAGGGCACCCCUAGAGGUAAGAAAGAUGCAGCGACAGCGAUUUUUAAUUUGUGCAUAUAUCAAGGAAAUAAGGUGAGAGCAGUGAAAGCCGGAAUUGUGGAUCACUUGAUGAGGUUUCUGGCAGAUUCGAGCGGUGGAAUGAUCGAUGAGGCACUCGCGAUUUUAGCGAUUUUAGCGAAUAAUCCAGAAGGGAGGGCCGCAAUAGUACAGUUGCGGCCUGUCGGCAGCUUGGUUGAGGUGAUAAGGACGGGAUCGCCGCGGAAUAAGGAGAAUGCUGCGGCGGUGCUGUGGUCUCUGUGCACGGCAGACGCGGCGCAGCUGGCCGCAGCGAGGGAGGUAGGGUCGGAGGAGGCGCUUAAGGAGUUAGCCGAGAUGGGGACGGAGCGCGCCAAGAGGAAAGCUGGGAACCUUUUGGAGCUCAUGCGCCAAGCAGCGGAGGCUUAAGUGUGCUCAUGCAUGGGGCAAAAUCAAGCAAAGCUGUUUGAUUUGAUUCUGUAGUCAAAAUGGAAGAGAAUAAAACUGGCUUGUAUAUGAUAUUUAAAAUACUGUAGCCUGAACAAGCUUCGUAAGAUUUGUUGGUGUUUCGAGAAAAGAGGAAUCAUAGAAUGGGGAAAAGAUUGUGUAAUAUAGAUUGUAGUGCGUAAUGUAGAUUUGGUUAUUGGUUAUGAGAUGUUGUAUGUAUAUGUUAUUUAUUGUGAGAAGAAGAAGUUACUAAUUCUCGGAGCAGAUUUCAAUUGUUUAUUAAAAACCUUUCCAAGAAAAUGUUUGAGAAGUAGGCCUCCUGAUGUCUGUCCGUGAAUUCAAUUUUGUAAAUAAUUUAUCUUCGAAAUAUUCUUUGCUUUGUCCUCUUUUAGUCACCAAAAAGAUUCACCCUUCUACCCAUGAAAUAUUUUGAGAAGAAAAUUGCUACUUGCACAAACAAACAUAAAGUGGGAUAUAAAUUUAGAUGUUUUUAUAUUAGUGUAAAAUAUUAGUCCUCGAAUGAAACAAGUAAUAUUUACACUCUUUAGAUGUUUUUAUAUAGAUGUGGCAAGAUACAGAUAAAGAAGAUACAUACGAUACACACAGAUGACGAGGUAGUCUGAUACGAUACGAUACGAGACAUAUAAAUACGCGCCAUGAAAAUCAAUCACCAUGACGCAGGUAUAUAACGAGCGAACAUAACCAACUCACCUCAUUCUCUCUCUAGGGAGAAGGAAGGAGAAGGAUAGAAAAAGGCUCUCACUCAUGCAACCCGGCCUUGCUCCUGAGAUGCUCCUUGAACUCCAUAAUCCCACCCUCCCACCUCGUCACCGCCUGGUUCGCGCACACCCAAAUCUCCUGCGCCACCUGACUGAUCAGCCUGAAAUCAUGGCUCACCAGAACCAGCCCCCCGUCCCACUCGUUCAGCGCCUCCGCCAGCGAGUCGAUCGUCUCGAUGUCCAAGUGGUUCGUCGGCUCAUCCAGCAAAAGCAGAUGCGGCUGCCGCCACGCCAGCCAAGCAAAUAUCACCCUGCUCCUCUGGCCGUCCGACAGGUUCUUCAUCGGCAUCACCUGCGCCUUGCCCGAUAACCCGAACUUCCCUACCGCCGCCCUCAUCCGCUCCUCCCCGUUCCCUGGGUAUUCCUUCAUCAUGAACUGCAAGGCCGACAUCUCCAGGUCGAGCUUCUCCGCCAAGUGCUGGUGGAAUUGCGCGAUCCUGAGGUGGUUAUGCCUUCUAACCAUACCGUCUAAGGGAACCAAGUCCCCGGUCAUAAGCCUUAGCAGAGUGCUUUUCCCCGCCCCGUUGGGGCCCACUAAUGCGAUUCUGGAAUCUAAGUCGACACUGAAAUCGAGGUCCUUGUAUAUAAGGUUAUCGGGGGUGUAACCGAAAGUUACGCCGGCGAACUGAAGGACGGGCGGCGGGAGCUUGCCUACAUCGGUAAAGCGGAAUACUAGUACUCUGUCCUUCACCACCUUUUCAGUGAGCCCGCCACGCUCCAUCUUCACUAGGGUCUUCUCCUUGCUCUGCGCCUGGCGCGCUAGCUUGGCGGACCCGUGGCCGAAGCGGGCGAUGUACCCUUUCAUGGAUGCAAUCUGUUCUUGCUCCCAUUUGUACUGCUUCAUCUGGUUUUCUUCGAGCUCGGCUCGGGUCUGGACGUAUUGGUCGUAGUUGCCGGUGUAGAGCUUCAGCUUUCUGUUCUGCAUGUGGAUGAUGUUGGUGCACACGCCGUUCAGGAAAUCCUGCGAGUGGGAGACAACAACGAGGAUGCGGUCGAACUUCUUUAGAGUCUCUUCCAACCAGACACAUGCUUCCAGAUCUGUAACCAAAAGAAAGAACAAAUGAAUCUAAGGUUUGAGUAGUUAUGGAAAGGCAAUAGCAAACACCGAAAGUUCUAACAGGAAAACAUAUUUGUAAGGCUUUUCUCCAAACAGGAAAAUGAUCCUUAUUUCUGCAGGAAAAUCAAAGAGUAGAGUGCAUGUCUGGAAUGGUAAAAGUGAUGCCAUUAGCAAUUUCUAAACUGGUAUGAGAAAGAGCAAUUCACGAGAAAUAAGAGAAGGUCAAAACCUUAAUCUCCGAGGCACCGAACUAACCUAAAUUUAAGAAUUGAGCAAAAAUUUACGAUUUUAUUGUACUCAUCUUUUGCUUGGCCCCAAUCAGUAUGAUGGCUUCGCCCAAACAAGAGAUGGUAACAACCAGGUCAAUCUCAACCUUACAAGUUCAGAAGUUCAUAUUGCAACAAGCAAAGCUGCAGAACAAAAAAUGUUUCCCAUAUUAACAUGGAUGACUCAAAAAACUCUUACCAAGAUGAUUUGUAGGCUCAUCGAGCAAAAGGAUGGUCGGAUUCAUAAAGAGUGCUCUCGCCAAUGCAAUUCUCAUACGCCAACCACCAGAAAAAUCUCGAGUUUUCUUUGCUUGCAUUUGCUUACUAAAACCAAGCCCGUAGAGAAUUUCAGCUGCACGCUUCUCAGCAGUUGAUGCAUCGAUAGCUUCUAACCGCUCAUAGACCCGAUCCAAGGCUUCUCCGCCACCAUCUUCCUAGAGAAAACAGUAUCAAAAGAAAUCAGAAAUGUUCGAAAUGUUUGAAUGCUGCUUUCAAACAGAAAAUUUUGCCGAGAUGCAUAAGAUUUCUCGUUCAAACAAAUGACUAAAAUACGACCUCAGCUACUAAUCUCUCAGCUUCUUUUUCCAAUCUCAGCCUCUCUUCAUCACAGCUGAUGACUGCUUGGAGAGCGGGCAUGUCCGAAGCUUCAAUCUCCCUGGUAAGAUGAUAAAUAUCCAUGUGUUCAGGAAUUGGGAGCUCUCUGCAUCCGAUUGCUGUGAGAAGUGUGGACUUCCCACAGCCAUUCAAUCCAAGAAGACCAUACCGUCUGAAAUUACAGUAUUCGUAAAAUGUUAUGAACAAAAUGGAAUUGAACUCAAAUGUAACAAAGAAUGGGUAAAUGUGAAUGUUAUACCUCCCGUAGUUGAGCUCCAGUUCCGAAUCUACAAUGAGAUCAUGCCCGUGGAAGGUCAAUGAAAGAGACUCUAUCUGGGGUGUGCAAAAAAUGCAGAGUAAGAUCAGAUGCUAAGAUACAAUCAAAAGAUUAGAUGAUAAAAACAGAAUAUAUGAUAAAAGCAGCAAACAAAGGCUAGAAUAACAAAAUUCAAGUUCUUGUACACUACUGAGAUGUGAAUCUCAACGUGUCAAUAGCCACUAUUCUGCAUUGUGUUCCUGAGUUUACUCAUAGAGCUGGUCUACUACACUGUUCCAUACAUGUAACAAGGGGAUCCCUAUAACAUCUUGACAUAUACAUAUCAGAUAAAUGAGUGAUCAAUGAGUCUUAUUCUUCGGAAAAUCAUCAUUAUAUAAUAUUUAGAAAAAAGAUCAUGAUAACAUAUCAUGAAAUUUGAAGAUUUUCAUUGCAAAAUGAAAAAAAAAAUAAAGAUUUUACCAUAUCUGAUUCCGUGUCAUUCGCUCAUUUGUUUUAGAAACUUGAAGCAUCAAAGGCAAAGAAUUUUUUACUUAAGAAAAUAAUCCCAAAUUCCAUAAACUGAGCAUUAAUACAUUAGAAUUUUACAUCCCACAAAACAAUCAUUUGCUUUCAACUUCUACAGCAUAACACCUCAAAUUUUAACAAAAUUCCUAAAGCAUAACACGAAAUAGAGUACAAAAAUAUAUAGAGACUAACAUGAAUAUCUCUAGAGAGGGGAUGGGAUGCGAGAACUCCCGUGCAAGUGCGAUCCGAUAGCUCGAUCGAUCCAAACCCCUCUGCCAAAUUCUCCGCCGCGACGCCAUUCGGAGCCUGCGCGGCGGCCUUCGCCGACGCCGCCGCCGCCGCCGCCGCCGCUUUACCACCCCUCUUCGCCGCUGCCGCCGCCUUCUUUGCCGCCGCCUUCUUCUUGCUCGCGUCCGACACCAUUCUCCUGCUCACAAAACACACGAAUCGAUCAAAAAAACACUCAAAAUCACUUAAGAAUUCACCGAUCGAAUCGAAGGCGAUCGAGAAACUGCAAACCCUAGAUCAAAACACCUGUAUCGAAGGGAAUUACGCAGAAAAUUACCAAAAAAUGGUACGAAGUCCGAGAGGAACUUGGCGAGAAUCGAUUGGGGAGCGUCGCCAGCUAGGGUUCUAACGAAUCUCUCCAAAUCCCUUCAAUUCGAUUUCAAAUCGAACAAAACUACUCUCUUCCUUUUUCCUAUUUCGCUUUCUCCAACGAGAGAGAGAGCAGAGAAAGAGAGAGAGAGAGAGAGAGGGAGAGAGAGGGAGAGAGACCAACGCGAGAGAGUUCGCUCGCUUUGAGAAACGGGAGCGAGGUCGCAUAUUUAUAACUCUGGGAUUCACUUUUUCGAAAAAGCCCCUCGUUUUUAAUUAUUUAAGUUUACACGUGUCUCUCGGGAUGACAUUCUAUGGUCCGAGUACGCGCAUAGGAAGUUAUGCUGCGGUAGAUAAUCUGAACCGUCGGAUUUGUGCGGAAGCGGAGGUAUGGACGGUGGAUUCGAGAGGGCGCAUAGGGAAGUCGGUGGAAUCGGGGGGUUAGGUCGGUUAGCGGUGUGGUUACGACUUACGAGUGUAUUAGCCCACCUGGAGUGUUUGUGGCCGUUGUAGACCAGUAUAAAGAGUGACAAAGUGACUCGUGACUCGUGAGAACAUAGGAUUUGACUAAAAAAGAUUAUGUUAGGGAUUGAGUGACGUGCACGAGUAUUCAUGAAGGUUUUGGAUUGGAAGUGAGGGAUUUUGUUGUUUGAACUCUUACUUUGAGGGCGUGUUUGCUUCGCCGGAGCCAGAAAAGGUCAGAGGUUACUGCCCUUUACACAACGACAGAACUAGAGCAUUAGUCUAAGAGGGCGCCGCCCCGUCCUUAGCAACUUGUAGGAAAGAAGAUCUUUCUAGCUCUUGACUAAAAUGUUGGGACUUUAGGAGAAACUAGAUCGUAUCUUUUGCCAUAAUUUUGAUUUCUGUACCCGAUUUAUAGGCAGUGAUCCUUGCUCGUGGUUUGUUCUCGUUCGUGAUCUGCAAGAAGACGGAACGUUUCGAGUCUAAUUCCCUUAUCUCCGGAGAUGGAGCCGUCACAAAUAAUUGGAUUAGAGUUAGACCGGGACUCCCGUAUAUUACAUAUUUAUAUAUAAUUUAAUGUAAGGAUAUUAAAUCACUUCCGUCCAUCAAGAACGUGUCCAGAUACAUCCUAACCAUAAGAUCUAUCGUAUUUUUAUAAAUCGACUUAAAUAGAUUGAUUGUAUCUUUAUGGAUCACCUUGAAUAUGUCACGUUGGCCAUAUUCAACAUAAAAUUUUCAAAAAGAUCUCUCAGAAAGAAGAUUUUCCACACUUUUUGAGUAUGGUGAUAGACAAAAGUUGGAAUCGGUGCUUACAGUUCGUACAUCUCCUGCUACUCUCCGCCUCUGAUCUCCAACUCCAAGCAGAUAGGCGAGAUGAAUGAGUUUUGCGACAGAAAUCUAGCUAAACAAACGCGCUCUAGGGAAUUGGAACCUAGGUUGGGUUGCCAAGUUGGGCUUACAAUGUAUAAAUAGCUAUUUCAAAAUUAGUUCUAGCAUCUUUCAAAAUGGGCGGAGCCCAAGCCCAAUAUUUGCUCGGGUGUCCGUUUUAAAAUCCUUAAAUUUGACCAUGAGAUUUCAAAAUUUCAGAAACUUUUAUUUUACUUAAAAACAAAAAACUACUUGCAUCCAGUUUACUUUUAUGUAUAUAUAUAUAUAUAUAUAAAAUUGAGUUAGAAUAUUUUUACAAGUAUUACCCCGAUGAUGCUAUUAGGUUUUUAGCCAUUGAAUCUACUCCUUGAUUACUAAUAGCCCUUGUAUCAAACACUAUUCCACCUACCACCACCUACUACCAUCAUCUCAACCUCACAUCUCUCUAUCCAAUGGCUAAAAUCUCAAAAGCAUCACUCACAUAAUACUUUUACAAGUAUUCUACCUCAACUCUAUAUAUAUAUAUAUAUAUAUAUAUAUAUAUAUAUAUAUAUAUAUAUAUAUAUAUUCGUGUGCUACAUAACAAGAGGCGCUUCGCGGCCUAACUUUUGUAUGUUUGAUCCAAUAGUAGAAACUAUUUUUGAGAGCGAUGAGAAUAAAAUAUGUCAGAUGGAAACAAAAAGUCUGACAUACACAAUGCAAUGAGCGUGGAAAUGAGGAGAUGCACAAGUUCUAGGUUGUACCUUAAUUAUUUCUCUCAAAAGUAAAUGGAAAUAAAGAGCUGAAGGAAGAUGAUUCUAAAACUUUAAUAAGAGUACGUGAACGCAAUUUAUUAGACUGUUUUGUAAUUUUACAAAGAUGAAAAUACAAAUAGUGGCAACUCCAGGGGGUGUUCUGUAUAAUAGCCAUGUCACAUAACAAGCCAUUACCCUACUCCUAUACAUGCAUGCUUUACAUGCGCACAUACAUGCAUCCAUGAGCAGGUUCUCUGUCCCCGCUCCGAAGCGCUACGUGCUCCGCCUCUUCAUCUCACUCAAGUACGUCACCGCGAACGUCGUCGAUCGCCGGAGCGGCCGAGUGGUGGUCACGGCGUCGUCGGUGGAGAAGCCCCUGAAGGAGAGCCUCGAGCGCGGCGGGCGCGCGUGCAACGCCAAGGCCGCCGCCGCCGUGGGCGAGGUCCUCGCCGCGCGCCUCGCCGUCGACGGCCUCGCCCGCGAGCCCAUCUACGCCGACGCCUCCAAGGAGGUGGAGAAGAAGGGGUUCCGGAACCGCACCAAGGUUUGGGCCCUCCUCAACGCUCUCCGAUCCCACGGCGUCAACCUCCGAAUCGAUGACGAGGAUCAAACCCCGCCCCGAUAAGUUUUUUCCCACCUUUUUGAUGAUUUCGUGCUUUAUUUAUGUGUUCGGGGAGAUCGAGUGGUAGGAGAAGUGUUAUAUUAAGUUGAACUGAAGGUGUUUGAUGAAAUGCUUGUGAGGCGUGGAAGAGAUAAGCUUGUGUAGUAUGGUUUAUUUUACGCUAAAAAGUAGUAUUUCUUUUUUAGGGGGAUUUUGUGCCAUAUUUAUGUGUUGGGGGUGAUUGAGUUGUUGGAGUAGUGUUGUAUUAAGUUGAAUUGAAUGUAUUUAAUGAAAUGCUUGUGAGGCGUGGAAGGGAUAAUAUUGUGUAGUAUGGUUUAUUUUAUGCUAAGAGUAGUAUUUAUCCUAUAAUUUUUUGGAAUAUUUUAUUCUAUCUUACAAAUUUGUUGCCAUUAUAAGCCUGUUGUUGUUUGUUGCAAGUUAAGAUGGAUUUUGUUAUCCUUUGCUAAUAUGAUCAAUUAGAAAUAUGAAUAGAAACUAUAUCUAGAAUCAUUGAAUGAGGUACUUAUUGUGAAAGAUGAGUGGAUUGAAGAUGCAGGAUUGUGCCACAUAGAUGAAUCAUAUGGACAAAUUAAUAGUUUCUGAUUGAUUCGUUAUCUUCAUUUUAUCCUCAUUCGUAUUCUAUGUAGGUGUCUCAAUGAAACAUAGUUGCAAAUUUUCCAUAUUUUUUGUGCUUUUUUUGCUAAAUAGACCUUUUAUGGUUAAUGAGAUGGUUUUGUUUGGAUGAGACUUGGAAUCAUCAUGAUGUUGCAUUUGAUAUUGGAAGCCACUCUUUGAGCAAUGCUGAGAUAGAUAAAUGGUGUUUAAUUUAGUCCACGCAAAAACUUUUUUCUCAAGGGUAUCUACACUCUUCGAAGUUCUAACUUUCUUUCAAAUUAAAUUUUAGAUGUCAGAAAUCUUUGUGGAAAAAUGUUUAAUGAACGUGCAGGACACACCAACCGUAGAUUACUCUAUGAGUGUAAUUGCUGCAACACCAUAAGGCAGAUUGACAAGAUUUAGAAUAUAGGUUAGUCGUGCUUCCACGAGAUACUGUAUUUCUAGCCAAAAGAGAUGAUAGUCUACUUUUACAUUGUUAGUUAAUUAUAAUACACCUGAUUGUGAUUUUCUCUUUAGGCUUCCAGGUCCGUUUAAAUUUCCAGUAGAAACUGAAAGAAAAGGAUGGAGAAAGGAACAAUGCUAAAACAUGGUCCCCAAAUAUAAGAGGUAUUCUGUUUUUCAAUAAAGUUUCGGAAAUUUUUUAUAUAGUGGUCAACCUCGCAAACUAGAAAGAAGUUGAAUCAGCUUUUGGAAUAGCUAUCCAAUUCCUGAUUCCUUUAUUUUAAAUUCUUUUGCAGAGAUGAUAAUGGUAACAUAGUAUGACCAAAGUGAUGAUAUAUUGCAUAAACAUGCAAAAUAGUUGAUAUUCCCAAUAAUGAACAUCAGAUCCCCCAAUGUGAUGCCAUAUUUGCAACAUACACUGAAAUUGCUUAGCAGAAUACCUGAACUAUUCUAAGACUAGCUCUAUGGCAAUAAGCUAAUGAUAUAUAAAUGACUACGGGAUAAUAUCAAACCUACUAACAUCCUUUUUACAUAUACCAUUUAUGAUAUUGUUUAUUCUUUAUAUUUUUACUUGCCAACCUUGCAUAUACAUUUGGGUUGGCUCCUAUUUCUUCUGACCCUACAUUAUGAUGAUCUGGAUAAAUGGAAAAUAAAAACUAGCAUGAGAGUCCUCAGCUUUAGCUGAUUCUUUUUUCUAUUUAACUGCAGGGAUCUCUGUCUUUCUUAAUUGGGGACAAAAGUGCCGACACAACCGAACCCCAUGAUGAAGAAAGCUCCGGCUUGGAAAAGCAAGUAGACGUAGAAGUGAUCAUGGCGGAACAUUAUAUUAUAGAUCGCACAGUAGAAGAGGUAUAAUCCCAUGAAUAACUCCAAUACAUGGAUCCUGAUAAUUAGAAGAAAGAGUAAGGUUAGCAUUCGAAAACCUUAUUAGUAUUCUUCUGUUUUGCCUCUAGAAUAUUGAAAUCUACUUAAACCACAAGAGUUAAUCACUUUGUCUCAUUUAGUAGUGUUUCAUUGAGCAACUUCUUUUUCUUUGACGAAUAGGGUAAAAUGUAAGUUUCAAAAUUUUAGGCGAGUGACUAAAUAAUGAUAUAAUUUAACCAUUAGUCAGUACCUUUCUCCAAUGCGAGACCGCGGUCUUCCUAAUUUAGUGUUGGGCUUUGGCUUUCCGGUAGUACCUAGUUUCUCAGUGACGACCCAUUCAUUGACACGGUUGGCCUCUAGAAGCCCAAUAAUCGUCGCCUUUGCUCGAUGUACAGACAUGACAUUCUCAAAGAGGAUCCAAAAGAGCAGCAAAUGUAGGGAUCUGUGCCCAAGAAAAGAACAUUAGAUUUAGCCAUUAUACACUAAUUCUUUAGUGCGUUUUAAGCAUUUGUUCGUGUAUUCCCUGAGGGGCUACUUAUUGCUCUUAUUGUUUGCAACUGUAUUUUUGCUGGUUUUGUUUGACAAAAACCCGAAAAAUAGAGGUAACUUUCUUUUUCUUUUUUAAAUAUUUUGGUAAAGAAAGAUAGAGUUACAUAUUAUCGAACAAUAACAAGAAUUGAGUGAGUUCAUCCUAGAUGCCUUCAACAAUACAAAAUUCAAGAAAAAUAGAGUUACAUAUAAAGCACACUAAGAAGGUAACUUUCUUUUUCUUUUUUCAGUUUUUUGGUAAAGAAAGAUAGAGUUACAUAUUAUCGAAGAAUAACAAGAAUUGAGUGAGUUCAUCCUAGAUGCCUUCAACAAUACAAAAUUCAAGAAAAAAUAAAAACAUAAAAAAGAAAGAAAUUGCCUAGUGCACCUUAGAUUGUGUCAAAUGUUCAUGCUUUUCUUUCUCGAGUAAUUUUUGUAAGCUCGAAGAAUGUAAUGCUAAAACCACAACUUACUAGUUACUGACAGGUUAUCAUAAACAAAGUAUAUAUAAAGCACACUAAGAAGGUUGAGAGACUUAAUUUUGAAUCUUAUUUGUACCUUGGAGUGCAAACAGCAUUAAGGAUGGUGAUGGUCGACGGCACAUAAAUGGCGAUGAAUUUGGGAAGAUGAACUUCGGGGACCAGCACACACGCAGGGAUAACAAUGCAGUAGAAGAUGGAGGUGACGAAGUGCGCGACUAUCUUCCUCACGAAGAAGAAGGCAUAUAUCACGUGAAAUUUCUUCCACACCGAUACCCUCUACAGAAUGCGAUAUCAUUCAACAACAAAAUAUGAGAUAUGUAAAACGAAUUGUUCUACUAGUAAUUAGUACUUGUAUGUUGCUUUAUGUUUUACAAUUUAGCUUACUUUGCAGUUGAUUAUCUCCUUAAACAUCUUUCGAAAUAAAUUCGCAGGACCGCAAGACCACCUAUGUUGCUGGUAUCGGUACGCUUUGAAUGUGCUAGGUAGCUCAUUUUUCACCUGAAGUAUUAUAUAUUUCUUAGCAAAACUUUGUUUUAAGUUUGAUGAUAUAAUUUUAAGUGCUGUACUUACAGAUAAGUCACCGACAAAAACAAAUUUCCAUCCCUUGAGACUGGCUCUAACAGCUAAAUCCAUGUCUUCGACAGUUGUCCGAUCCUUCCAUCCGCCGGAAUCUGCAAGUGCUUGAAUCCUCCAUACUCCAGCAGUUCCUGUUUAAGCAAAGUCAUUUAAAAGUUAGAACUUUUGCAUCUGAACAAUUUUAUAGAAAUGACCUCCAGUUUUUGAGAAAGUGACCAUUGAAUCCAAAGAACGAAUAUGUGGAAGAUCCCACUUCCUGCUCCACACUGAAAUGAUAAUCCAGAGACAUCUCUUGAAGUCGAGUUAGCAGACACUCAUCGGCAUUUACUGCAUUCAAAAAAAAAAAAAAGAUCAUUUCAUUUGUUUCGACAAAAUUUGGUACUGCUUUCCUGUUGAGUUAAUAUGUACGUGCGUGUGCAAAUACUGAUGCAGAUCCGAUACCCGCCAAAAGUCGAUAGCAUCAUAGAAACAGUGAUUAGUGUACCGUAGCCCGACUCAAAGAAAUAAUCUACAAAACUCACCGAAAUUCCAUCGAGCUUGAACCAAGGCAAGUUCGGGGUUACUGAGCAGGAAAGGGACAGUCCUCCAGAGGAAGUCAGGUUCCGGCUGGAAGUCGGCAUCAAAGAUGACGACAUACUCGCAUUCCCUGACGUAAUGCUUCUUCAAUCCGUCACGCAGUGCCCCGGCCUUGUAACCGUUUCUACUAUUCCUUGUUUCGUAUUUCACGUUCACUCCUUUGCUUGCCCACCUCUCACACUCUAACUCCACCAAUUCCUAUUAUUUUGCAAAAUAAAAUAAAAAUCUUAGUAAAAGCAAUUUUAUUUUCAGAAAAAUUGAAGAAAUGAAAACAUUUUCGCAGCACAUUACCCUGAGGAUCAUGUCGGUUGAAUCGUCGAGAACUUGGAUUAUGAUCUUGUCGGAAGGCCACGAGAGACCGCAUGCCGCUCCGAUCGAUAACCGGUAAACCUGUCACAUUUUAGUUGUUUUCUUAAGGUAAUUUUGUUCAUUGUGCAUAAUUAUAAGUUUCUGUUUUUGAGUUUGUGCAUGUAUUUGUAUUUGUUUGUUCAUGGCUAUAGAAGAACACAAAAUACAUGCAUGCAUUUGUACAUUUUCCCUUCCACUUCUUGCGUGCUAUAAACCUGUGGUUAUAAAUGAGUUAAUGGUUUAUCACUUGAAUGGAAUUUGUUUAAAAUAUAGCUAAGAAGGAAGAACUUACAAUAGGCUAUAUAUACUGUACAUUUAUUUGACUUAUUAGUUCGCCUAAUUGCUUUUACUUUUGUUACCAAAAUAUGUAAAUACUACAAAGGAAAACAAUCUUUACCCUCAGCUGUACUUGCCGACUUGUGCUUAUAGAUAGGUUCGCAUUAAACAUUAGCUUUAAUCGCGAGUUGAAUGCGACAAGAUACAACUGUCGGGUAUGCGACACGUUCGAGGGUUAUCAGCGCAAGAAACCCUGAACUCUUGCCAGCUAAAACGAGGUCGUGUCAAAAGGCCGAGGGAUCAAAAACACUUGUCUUGCUUUUAGGUCCUCACUCUAACAGAAUCUCUUUGGCUUCACGCAUCCAUUUUAGAAAGAAAGAAGAGAGAACAACUCGAAGCAAAUUUAGUAAAUAAACAAGAAUAACAAUCUAUGUGCAUCUUAUGUUUAAGCAAAAGGAUUUGUUUGCAAAAGUGUCUUUAAACCAUGAAUUGAUCAUCAACAUACCCUUUUAGUGCCAUCACAUAGCCCCUGUGAGUUGUGAGAUGAUUUCACAUGCAAUUACAUAUUUAAAGAUAAAAUCUCACAAACAAUUUGACCAAAUGUCUCCUUUCUCUAGAUAUAAGUGAUUAAAAGAACCGGUGCAAUGUAACUUAUUCAAAGGAAAAAACUAAGUAAACAUGGACAAUUUCCUUGUUUGUUCAUAAUGACAAUUAUUAGGUGGAAUCUGACUUUUAAAUAUGAUUAUAUUUAGGAACUUUGAGGAAACUAAGUAACUUUCUGUGGCUUUCAAAAAAGAAAAGGAACUUUGUUGGGAGUUUUAGUUGAAAAAAGGAUUAAACUAGGAGCCUUUACCCAAUUUUAGUGAAUCUUGACCACUUUGCUUGUAGAAAGAAUGUAAAAGGUGUUUACUUUAUAUAUGAAAUAAUCAGUUCAAGUACUUUUUAAUCAUAGCUCGUAAUCAUCUUUCUUCUAGCAUGAGUUAAAUUCUACGAACUUUUUAAUUUUCUUUCUCGUUUUUUCCUCUUUUUUUUUGUUUUGCAAGGUACAAACUUUAAAUUGCAUGUAAAAAGAUAUCUGUAUAUCAUGUUUUGUUGCAUGCAUGUAUAUUUCAACUGGACUAUAGUACUACUAAACAUUGAUAAUUGUUCUGUAGUAAGCACUCACAAGAACUCAAAAAAAAAAAAAAAAAUGUUGUCAUAAACCUAAAAAACUUCUACAAUCUUAAUCACUUGCAAAGUUCAAAAACUAUGCAUCAGAAUUAUAUCUAAUCCAUGAUGAUUAAUUAUAAUACCUCUUUUUCGUUGUACAUGGGAAUUUGCACCAGGACCAUGGGGUGGGUGUUACUAGCCUCGAGCUCUUGCUUCAUGGCAUCAAGCUUGUACUUGGUGUACCUCUUCCUCCUCAAGAGCUUCACACAUAUGAUCACCGCCGCCAUGUAGACGCGCUCGACGAAGAGCAUCAGCGACAUGGCGGCGCACACGUAGACCGCCACCUGCAGCAGCGGCGCGACGAUCGGCGCGCGGACCUGCCUCCAUGCAAGCCUUAUGUUCUCACUCACCACUGCUCCAUCUCCUGAGCCACCAAUUAGUACUGGGUCCUUCAACACAAGGUUUCUCAUUGAAUAGAGUGUUGGUGUUUGUGUUUGUGUUUGUGUUUGUGUUUGUGUGGGGAGUGUUGGGGCUUGUGAGGGGUGGUACACAGUUUUAAGGAGUGGGGGUGGAUGAACCAAUAUAUAUAGGCCAGCAAAUGGACAGUGUUUGAAGAGAGAGAGAGAGAGAGAGAGAGAGAGAGAGAAUAUUGCAGCUGUACAUGCUGCACCAUGUCAUUCAAUGCACUGCACUGCAAUUAUUUUUUUUCCAUCUUUUAUCUUAUCUCAUACUUUAAUUUUUAUAAUACAUAUUAUUGUUUUCUAAAUUUAGAAUUUGUUUGGUCCUGUAGUAGAGCAUGUACAGUAUGAUUCGAUAAAUUGGUGCUUGAAUAAGUCAACUAAAAAAUACACUCUAACACCCCAAUAAUCCCACAUUGGAUAAUAUGAGAGAGUGUGACGGGUUUAUAAAUGACGGACACACUAAUAAUAGUAACUGAGUUUAAGUAUUUUGAAUCGCUGAUAAGAAUCUAAUGAAUUAUUAUUACUAGCGAGUUUGAUCGUUCGUACCAAAUUAAUCAACUUACGUUUUUCUUUCUUACGAAACUCUUUAUUAGAGUCUACUAUUGCUAUAAGCAAGAGCAAAAGCAGGACUAAGCAGGUCAGUAAGAGUUAAAGUAAGCCGAGUCAAAUGCUGUGGAGCCCUGAAAUGGCGCAGCGCACGGGAUGACGUGGUGCACCAAGUGCAUGUCAUAAUGACUUAGAGAGAGAGAGAGAGAGAGAGAGAGAGAGAGGAGACACGCUUUGCAUGCAGUGUCAAGGAGCUAGGCUAGGCAUUGCGAAACAAAUGUGGUAAUUAAAGGUGCAGGGAUGUGUGCAUUUUAAUUCCUGCUAACUGAAUCACUUAUUAUCCAAGACUCCUUUUGAGAGUUCCCCAAGUUGUAUUCACACACCCACUCGUUUCCAUUCCUGAGAAUCUCUCAAGAUUGUUAAAUAUCUUCAGUAAAAGAUUCUCAGAUCAUGUGUUACUAGCAUUAUGAAACGAAAUAUUUAGUUUCCAAAUGCUUUCAAUAGUAUAGAUCAAAUCUAACGGAGUCGAUCAUCGAUUUGGAAGUGGCAUCAUUGAAAACAACUUAGUAGCACGGAGGCGUCCGUGCUACCGAUAGUAUAGCAGCUUAGCUAUAUAUAUAUAUAUAUAUAUAUAUAUAUAUAUAUAUAUAUGAAAAAUUUUAUUAAUGAAACUAAGGUAAAAAUAUAUAAACCCUAAUUUUUUUUUUUAAAUUUCUUACGUUUUAGGAUGCACGCGGAAAAAGAAAGUGACGUACCAAAGAAAACAUUCUUUUUUCCAACAAAUAUAUUUUAUUUAAUUUAUUUUACAAAUUAUUGGCUAGACAAAAUACACAGAUUAGUUGUACGGCUCGGAGAGGGCUUGUUUUUAUCCACUUUGUUUUUUAAUAAUGAUUUAAUUAAUUAAUAACUAAUAUUUACUCCACCCAUGGUGACCAAAAAUAAAUAAAUAAAUAAAUAAUAAAAAAGGCACUGAAUCUUAAAUAAUUUUUUAAUAAUUAAAAAAAGGGACAAAAAAAUUAGAAAAUGGUGGGGCCCAGCAUGCCGAAAGGGACGCGACGUUUUUGCGUGGGCAACGAAUAACUGAAAAGGGUGAGCANUAUAUAUAUAUAUAUAUAUAUAUAUAUAUAUAAUUGAGCUAGAAUACUUUUAGAAGUAUCACCCACUUGGUGCUAUUAGCUUUUUAGCUCUUGGAUCUACUCAUUGAAUACUAAUGGUUUUGGAUCAAACACUAUUCCAUCUACCACCACCUACCACUAUCAUCUCAAUCAUACAUUUCUCCAUCCAAAGAUUAAAAAUUCAAAAGCACAAACUUCUUGGUACUUUUGAGAGUAUUCUAGCUCAACUCUCUCUCUCUCUCUCUCUCUCUCUCUCUCUCUAUAUAUAUAUAUAUAUAUAUAUGGUUUUACAACAUAUAUUAAGGGGUCAAAGUUCAAAUUGUUAAGUGCAAAUUGAACCGGAAUUUUGAGACUCAAACUUGGGAUUUCCACUGUGUUUUAUUAAUGCAUGCCUUUUGUGCUUGAAAUAUAUUAAGCUCAGUCGAAAUUUUGGGCAAUUUAAUAUAUUAAGGUUGGGUGAUUAUUUACAUUAAUAGAUGCAGAGCUCUCGAAAACAAUAAAAUUAGCUUGUUCAAUUUUGAUGUUUUAAUAUGAUUUCGUAUUUUUUGGUAGAUCGAAUGUUUAAUGCUAUAUAUUAAAUUCAUUAGCUUUGUCAAUUUUAGAAGCUUCUAUCGUGACACAAUAGUAAAAAAAGAAAAAAAAAAGAAAAAAAAGGGGUAGGCCACGUUUUGCCUACAAAGUAACAAACCUAGCAAAUUAAUCUUAAUUGAUAUUAUUAUGUUAAUUAAAAAUUUUUGUUAUUGAUAGAUCAGGUAGAAUAUAUAUAUGAAUAUAUUUGGUAACAUUUACUUUUCGUGAAUUAUAUUAAUUUUUAAUACAAACCACAUGUCAAUGUGUCAUCAGCAAAACAUCAUUCUUAGUAUCAGCACCCCAAUCUAAGCUCAUCUUUGACUCAUCCUCUGAAACUGUCACCUUGUCUCAAGAGAUAAUAACCAAUCAAGCAUUUGACAAAUAAAAAUUUUAAAACUUGUGAAGCUUUCAAAGUUCUAUCUAAAUUAGCAAUACUUUAGCAAAAGCUUUAAUCAAGCUAAAUAGGUUACGAAGCAUUCUUUUGAUGUAGAGAACAUCUAUCUAAUGCUACUGAACCAAAAAAAAAGUUGGGUUGAAAACAUGAAGAGAUUUGUUUUUCAAUUUUCUUACAGUAACCGAACAAAUGCGAUCUAUACAUGUAACGCAAACUUUUCUUACUCCGAAAUGUAGCCUAAGAGGAAAAAAUAAGGUGUUUUUGAGUAAUCACAAAGCCAAAUUGGGUAAAGUGAUGGCUAAAAGUAUCAUUUUUAUAUCAUAUAAGGUUUAAAAAUUUUAAAACUGUUUUUAAUCUUUUCUUUCUUUCAUACUAUAAAAUUAUAAUUGUAAUCGCCAUUGAAGAAAUUAAGCAUCUAGUUAUAUACUUCUCGAGGUUGCAACUAUAAGUUUAUAGUAAUAAACAAGAAAAAUAUUAUAAACACUUUAUAUUUUUUAGAAAUAUAAUAUUUUUAGCAUCACAUUAUCAAACUACACCUCACACAGCACAAGCCUCACAACUUCACAACUUCACAAACACAGCUCUCUCUCUCUCUCUCUCUCUAUAUAUAUAUAUAUAUCUCUCUCUCUCUAUAUAUAUAUAUAUACAUAUCUCUGAGUUAACAUAGAGAGAGAGAGAGGACAAAAAAUGGGCUGUGCUAUUUAAGGAAGCAUGAGUACAUGUCAAGCUCCGAGAGUAGCUGCUAGGAGAAGCCGCGCUGGCAAAACUUGUCUCCUGCUUCUGCUUUUAUUAAUUGCAUACAAAUUCCUACAAAUAUAAUAAAUUAUAAAUAUAUUUUUAUAAAGUUCAAUUUUUAUAUAUUAGUUUUAUAAAAAUCUAAUAUUUUCAAAUAUAUUCAUCUGAUUUGUUGCCGAUAGAGAAUUAUUUAUAUUUUAACAGCAGAUAAGUAAAAUAUUAAUUUUGUCAUCACAAAUAUAUCCUUCCAAAAGCCACAACAGCUAUAAUCAAGCAGAAGUGUCCUCCCAAAAAAUUUUCAAUGGCCAUCUUCUUUCUUUUUAAAAUAUAACUCAUUUCAUUAUUGUUGCAACCUCUUUUCUCACUCAUUUUUUUCUAAACCUUUUCUUUUGAGUAAAAAAAAAAAUUCAUAAAGAAAAGUGAAUGGAAAAGCAACACGUGUUUGAUAUGGAGGAAGUAAUACGCGUCGUGGAUUAAUAUAGACGAAAAAAUUCUAGUUAUGAAUUCGAAACCUGUAUAAAAAAAAGACUAGAGGAAGAGGAAGAGGAAGACGAAGACGAAGACGAAGAAGAAUCCCACUGUUAGGAUUUUAAUUGAGAGAAAAGGUAUAAUAAUAUAAGAGGAGUAAAAUUAUCAAGUUACCUUAUUGACUAAUUAGGAUUAAAUAUUUAACCUAUGGUUAGUUAAAUUUUUCUAAUGAAUUCUAACGGCAGAAAUAUAUUUAAAAAUAUUAGGACUUUUUGCAUGAACAAUAUAUGAAAGUUUCAAUGAAUGAAGCGGAUAGCAUGUUAUCUUUUUUUCAAAAAAAUAUAUAAAAGUUGAACCUCGUAGAAAUAUAUUUAUAAUUUAUUAUGUUUACAUAGAUCUGUACAUAAUUAACCCAUUACAUAUUAAAAGCACUUUUGUUGCAACUCAAACUCCCCCUGCAUGCACAGUGUGUUACAGCUCAUGCAUGGCUUGGAGAUGUGAACAAAAUGGAUGAGAACGUACGCUUCGACUAUUCUCUUUAAUACACUUAAACCCUCUCCGCAAGAAAAGAUUUGUCGCAGCACCGAAUGGGUUGACCAAAAAGUUCAACCAAUUUCAACAUAUUUAUUUAUGUAUGCGUAUAUUUAUAUACUAACUUAGUAAUCCAUGCAAUACGAGGAAUAAAUAAUUAAAAAAUAUAUAAAAAAAAUAGUAAUAAAAAAAGCGAUAAUGAGGGAUGGGAUUUAUCUUGCCGUUGAACGAAAGUAACAGCGAAAGAAAGAGAAAAAUGAAUAACUUGAGCUGGUUCGAGAUGGAGUCCACAUUCAACUAUAAAAAAAAAAAAGUUAUCAUGUGGCAAUUUUGAGAUAAAUAAUGUAUAGAUAUGUAGAAUAUAGAUAUAGAUAUAGAUAAUUUGUUUUUCAUUUUGAAAACACAAUAUUAAUUCUUUCUUAAUGACGGAGUAAAUAUAUGGAGCAUGUUUACUAUUUAAUUAUAACUAUACAAAAAAUUUGAUCAGAUUAAAUAUAAUUAUUCUAUCAAUAAUAAAAACUACUCUUUUAAUGUCAUUAUGAUUUAUUUAUAAUAUGUAUGUAUAAAGCAGUGCUACUGUGCUAUUAGGAGCACAGCAACUCUUGUGCUUCUAAUUUUAUAACAAUCCAUCAAAUUUGAUGGAUGAUUAGAAUGAGAGAGGGAUGAGAUAUUGAAGAGAAAUUCAAGGAUAAGAGAAAUUGAGACACUCAAUUUAUUUAGAAAUAAACUUAGCUAAAAAUGUGAAUCAAUUAGAAUUCGAACUUAGAUCUCGGGUACUAAUCAUCAAAUUCUUCGCCACUUGCUGUAGGGACGGUUGGUGACUCCUUUUUUUUAAGUUAAGCAUGUAAAAGAUACAAUACUCGCCAGUUUACUCGGGGGAUCUUUCGGUGUAACGCUUGAUGCCUCACUUUCCAUGGUGUGCUUAGCACGUCUUCAGUGUAACGCCUAUAUAUUUCGUGGUCAAUGUGUUUGACAAAAAGAUGACACACACACAAAUAAUUAUCUCAGAAAUUAAUUUAUUGAUGUAAAUUGCACCAUUACUCCUUGAUCAGCUUUAACUCAAGGAUAAUUUAAUAUUCUAAUUUUUUUAAAGUAAUUUAUUGUAUAUAUAUAUAUACAUAUAUUAUUACGAAAAGAGAAAAAAAAAUGUUGCAUGUAAUGUAAAUGGUUCAAUUAUAUAUCAGUAAUUGGGGUACCAAUCAACUGCACUAGAUAUUUUCUUUUGAAAUGCUUAUAUCGAAGUCUAAAAUUCGCAAAAAUAGAAAUUAAAUACUCCAUCACUAAUUAAACGUGAUCAUGAUGCCAUAACGAAUAAGAUGCGUAUAUAUGGAGACUAUUUAAUUACCCCUAUAAAUGAGAUAAAACCCUCAAAUAAAACAACACUUUGUAGGCUAUUAAUUAAUUAAUUAGCUUUACGUGUUGAUUUAGUUGAGAGGAAUACUAAAUGAUGCAAUGUUCUUAUUCCUCUUAAUCAUUUCUUCAUGUGAGAACACAAUUCACAUGCAUGGGAAUAAGCUCAACACAAGUUUGGGCACAAAGUGUGUGAGCCAUAGUUUUUUUUUUUUUUUUCCUUCCUAUUUUUUAAUUCUUUUCAUAGGCUAUUGUAUCUGCUAUAGUUUUUUUUCGAGAGAGAGAGAGAGAGAGAGAGAUAGGUAGCACGCUAUCCGUUUCGUUUAUUUUAUUUAGAAAUAAACUUAGCUGAAAAUGUGAAUCAACUAGAAUUCGAACUUAGGACCUCGAAUACCAACCACCAAGUCCUUUACCACUUGCUGCUAUAGUUGGUACUGAUGUCUUAAAUAGUGUGGGUGGGUUCCGUGCCCUUAUUUAGAUGCUUGAAUAACUUAUUCAGUAUCUACCAACCGUCCCUAGAGCAAGUGGCAAAGGAUUUGGUGGUUGGUAUCCGAGACCCAAGUUCGAAUUCUAGUUGAUUCAUAUUUCUAACUAAGUUUAUUUCUAAAUGAAAUAAACGGAGCGGGUAGCGUGCUACCUAUUUCUCAAAAAAAAAAAACUUAUUCAGUAUCUUAAAUAGUGUGGGUGGGUUCCGUGCCCUUAUUUAGAUGCUUGAAUAACUUAUUCAGUAUAUCUUGUUAAUACAUUUUUUAGGUUUCAAUUUAUAACUUGUACGAUUCUGUUUCAGAUUAAAUUUAUUUAGCAAAAUAAAUUUAAAAAAUAAAAAAGAAUAGCAAGUUAUUAGCAAAAUAAAACCAAAAAUGAAAAUGCCAAAAUAAAUAAAAUAAAAUUGUUGGUACCUUUUAAAUUUGAAUUUAUAACUUGUGAUUCGGCUGCAGAUUAAAUUUAUUUAGCAAAAUAAAAAAUAGCAAACUAAAUUAGGUAUUAAAUUUGAAUUAUUAUCAUUUGUGAUUCUGUUAGAGAUUAAGUUUAUUUAGCAAAAUAAAUUCAAAAUUAAAGAACAGCAAACUAAAAUUGAAAAGAAAAAUUAUUUAGCAAAAUAAAUUCAAAAAUAAAGAACAGCAAACUAAAAUUGAAAAGAAAAAUUAUUUAGCAAAAUAAAUUCAAAAAUAAAGAGCAGCAAACUAAAUUUGGGGAAAAAAAUAUUUAACAAAAUAAAUUCAAAAAUAAAAAAUAGCAAACUAAAAUUGAAAAAAAUAUUUAGAAAAAAAAUUCAAAAAUAAAAAAUUAGCAAAGUGAAAUUGGAAAAAAAAAAUUACUUAGCAAAAUAAAUUCAAAAAUAAAAAAUAGCAAACUAAAAUUGAAAAUAAAAAAUCCGACCUGCCGGAUUCGAACCAGCGACCUAAGGAUUUAUCUGCAAACACUACAGUCCUCCGCUCUACCAACUGAGCUAAGGUCGGUUUUGAUUUAAUUUUACUUAUUUAAUUCUAUAUAUUAAAUAAUAUUGUUAAUUAAUUAGGAUUCCUAAAACAUGGAUUUAGGGCUUUUCUCAUCUAGGUUUUUAGUAAGAUAAAAAGAUAUGUUUAAAGUACCUAAGGUAUGAACUAUUUUCAGUACCGGCCAAGAAAUUAGUAAACUGGGAUUUUUUUUUUUUUUUUUAGAGAUAGGUAGCACGCUACCCGCUUCGUUUAUUUCAUUUAGAAAUAAACUUAGUUGAAAAUAUGAAUCAAUUAGGAUUCGAACUUGGAACCUCGGGUACCAACCAUCAAGCACUUUGCCGCUUGCUUUAGGGACGGUCGGUGUAAACUGGGAAUUUUGAUGGACUUGUUUUGAGAAAUGAAAACAAAAAAGUUUCAAGUGCUUGUGAGAGGGAUUUUACAGGUAAAUUUGUAAAAAAGGAAAAUUGUGCUUAUCAUGUAGCAGGUCUUCACUAGAGAGCCUUUCACUACAAUCACUGAUCACAUAACAAACUGGGAGACCAUAAACAUUUGCAUGUUGAGUUGCACACUUAAAUGUUCACAUGGUAUCAGAACCUCUCUAGUUUGAUACAGAAAAAUAAAUGUUCACAUGGUAUCAGAACCUGUCGACGCACUUAAUUCAAUAUACAUGUGGAAACCUGUUGAAGAUAUCGAAUCUAGACUUGUUUAACAGCUUCCAUGUUCCAGAAGCAGGGUGAAGUAGCGCGGGGCGAAAUAAACACCAUGUUUGGGAAACCGUAUAGUUCGCUGUAACUUCCUUACUCUCGAAACUAACUGAAUAUGCUUUCUUCGUGCUAUAAUGGGAAGCUUUGUAGUUUGUAUGUAGUGUUGACUGAGGAUAUAUAUUGCAGUUUCUAAAUCCGCCCUCUUCAGAGUUGAGUCUGGGGCAUUAAAUAAUAUGACUUUUCCCAAUAUGAUCUUGACGAGCUCUACGAACCUAUUCAGACACAGUUUGACAUCUGCGAAUGCUUCAACAGGAACCUUCUCUCUCCUCUUAUCUCUUCUUUUUAACCUAAAGACAAUGAAGGUCGAUUGUGAAAGCGAGCCAGUGAAGCCUCUCAUGGAAGCAAAAUAAUUUAAUGAGUAGAUGAUAAGAUCGCAAUCAACAGUAAUAGAUCAUUUUUGCGAGCUAUUCUCUGAUGCAGUUGAGCAUAUAAUGAUCAAAAACAAGAAAAUGUUGUUGGGUCACGAAGACGAAGGUUUCAUUGAGGAUAACAACAGUUGACUAAUCUACAAGAGGAACAUUUGGCAGCUGUGAAUAUGAUAUGAAAAGCUUCCCUUGAUCAAAGUAUGAACAAAAGAUAGUUUACAAUAAAUCCUGUAUCAACGCAGAUGAGUUGAACCGGGCAUUUUCGUAAAUUUUCUUACGAAAAAAAAAAUAGUCAAGGACAUAGAAAUAUAGAAAAAAAAAAAAAACUUGCAUUGUAAUAACCAAAAGGAAAAAGCUUACACUUGAUAAGAGAGGCUGUUUGACUAAUCUUUCCAGGUUAAGCUAAGAGACCACAAAUUCCUGCAAAAAAAAAAAAAAAUUGUAGCUCUCUUUGGUUUAAAGUAAAUCCACAAGGAGAAGACAGAAUUUUAAGAUGUGUGGUAUAAUGAGAUAAAAACCUGUGCAAACAUAGCAAAUUAGGGUUUAUCCUCACAUAGGAAAUAACCUUCAGUUGGAGCAAUCUUGGCCCACCUGCAUGAGCAUUUGUUGAUUACAGUGCGCUACAAUUUAACUUUAUACUAAAUCCAAUAUAACUACAACUUCUAAAAGAAAUCUAAGAAGCAUAAGAAAUAGGCUUGAACUAGAGAAGCACAUAUACAUUCUCAUGAAGCUUAUAAUUAAUUAUGAGUGAACUAAGUUCAACCAGCAUAACAAACAAAAGAACAGGAAUCCUCAGACAUAUAUAUAUAUAUAUAUAUAUAUAUAUAUAUAUAUAUAUAUAGAAUUGGGCUCUUAUGCUUUUAAAAGUACCAAAUUAUUAGUGCUUGUAGAUUUUUGGCCAUUGGAUUAAGAGAUGUGCGGUUAGGAUGAUGUGGACCUCCUAGGGUUGAGUAGGUAGUUGGUUGAAUAGUAUAAUCUAACCGAUGAAAAUGAUCAAAGGUGUGAUCUAAUGAUAGAAAACUCGAUAAUAUCAAGAGUUGAGUGCUUUUACAAGCACCGUAGCCGGACUCUCUCUCUCUCUCUCUCUCUCUCUCUCUAUAUAUAUAUAUACAUAUAUAAAGCAGCUUGAAAUACUUGCUCAAAGAUGUAGCACCUAGGAAGAAAGUAGUCAACGCGGUUAUCCAUAGGAGUUGCAGGUAACAUGUCAUCUAUGAACUUCUCCCUUAACAACAUAUUGGCUUAUAGUUAAAUGUCGCACUGACCUGUUAUUGUUAUCAAAAUAGUGGGUCGCCCAUAUUUAAUCCAGGGAAAUGAUCAUUCAAGCAAAAAAUUUAUAGUUAUCACAAUAUCUAACAACAUACUGACCAUUCCUAUUUAGAGGUAUCGUGAUGUUUUAUGGGGAAAAAAAAAAGAUUACUAGUGUCUGGCUUCCACAUAACCUUUAGUUCAGGAUUCUUUGGGUCGUAAGAUUUACUGCUAUUAAAAGGAUGAAUGAUGACUCAUAAAAAGGCCUUGACAAACCCUAUCAAUAAAAUUCCAAAUAGAUUAUACAAACCAAAUAGCAGACUAUAUUAAGCUAGCUGUUUUUUAACCACUAUCGCUUCAUUACACUCAUCUAUUGGAGAUGCAGUUUGAAGAAUCAAUACCGUAAAAUGUGAAGCAUUCAAAGAAAGCUUACCCAUCAUAUCAGCACAUAAAACUGAAAGCUGCAUCACCAGUUGUCUUCGCAAGAGCAUAAUCCAUGCUUUAUUUCAUGAAACCUAAUUCCAUCCCUUACAGUAAUCUCCCUAUUAAAAAUCUUCGAUAGGAGCUUAAAAGAUGAAUGGCAAUCCGAGCACAUACGAAGAUUCGUAACAAUUUUUACUGGUUCCUCAGCACCUAAGUUUAUCAACCCAAAUGCUAAAGCGACCUUCUCACUGUGAUAAGGAACUAAACUACCCUUUUUAUCCUUACCGACAUUGUAAAGUAUUUGUUCAGUAACCGUAUCAUAUCCUGUAAAACUCAAUCUCCUCGAAAUUUCUUCAAGCAUUAUACUUAUCUCUUUGGCCUGAGGGUGUGAAUUCAUAUUUGCUGAGAAUUGGUGCACUGUCCCAUCCCAUUCGACAUAGCUGUAGCCAGUUCGCCUACCAUUAUGUCUGUAAUUUAUAAUAUCUCUCAACUUUUGAGCAUAAUCCCGUCGCUUGACAUCAGAAAAUAGGUCAGAUAAAAGAAAAUCUCUCUCCUUAUAAUUACAGUCGAGUUGAAGAAGUUGUUCUUUCGCAAGUUCUCCAAUCUCAGCAUUCCUAUGGAUUCUACAUGAACGCAACAGAGCUGACCAGAUCACUGAGUUUGCUUUAAUUGGCAUCUUCUCGAUAAAACUGCGUGCCUCAUUCAACAACCCAACUUGCCCAAAGAGAUCAACCAUGCAUCCAUAAUGUUCAAUCUGUGGUUUAAGUCCAUACUUCACCAUGGAAUCAAACAAUUUCGUGCCCUCUGAAACCAAGCCACUGUGACUGCAGGCACAUAAAACACCUACAAACGUGAUCUCGUCAGGAACAAACCCUAGUGAUUCCAUUUCACCAAAUACUGCAAUUGCUUUCUCACCAAGUCCAUGUUGAGCGAGUCCCGAAAUAAUCGCGUUGAAUAGCUCUACUGUUUUUAAUCUGUAAUCAACUUUGUAAAAUAUAUCUAAAGCUUCUUGUAUGCACCCACACUUGGCAUAUAUAUCCACAAUUGCGGUAAUUAUUCUGGGGUUUCUAUUAAGCAACCCAUCGUCUUCUACGUAACCGUGAAGCUUCUUCCCCAAAUCAAGGGCACCCAAUUGAGCACAUGCUGAAAGCACAGUAACCAUGGUCACUUCAUCAGGUCUAAGUCCUUCCUUCUCCAUCUCCAUAAAAAUUUCCAAUGCUUCCCUGUACUUUCCUGAUCGAGCGCAGCCACUAAUUAACGCUGUCCAAGCUAUCAAAUCCUUUUGAGGCAUUUCACUAAACAGUUUACGGGCAGUACCAAUGUCCCCACAUCUAGCAUAACCGGAAACCAAAGAACUCCAUGCCUUGACAUCCGCACUAUCGCCCAUCAUGCGAAACGCUUGAUUGGCCAAUCUCAUCAUCCCACAUCUAGAGUACAUGUCGACAAGUGCGGUAACUAUAUAAUUACUGAAUUUGUCAGAUCCUAUAGUUUUAUAAGCUAGCAAAUGAACCAUCUUCCCAGUUCUAGCAUCACCCAAUUCCGAACAGAGAGAAAGCACGGAGGCGAAUGUAGAGCUAUCCGGCUUAGAAUCUGAAUCCAGCAUCUGCUUAAAAACACUCAGGCCAUUAACCGCUUCACCAGCUUUAGCAUACCCAUCCAUCAUAGUAUUAAACGAUACAGCAUCCCGUUGAGAACACGCAUCAAACACCUUGCGUGAACACGGCAUAUCACCAAACGAAGAGUACAGAUGCAUAAGCGAGUUCAUAACGUAAGUAUCCGAAUGAAACCCACAUUUCACAACGUGGCAAUGAACCCCAAAACCCACAUCGGGGCUGGGAAGCUUCGCGCAGGCGUUGACUAUGAAGGUGAAGGUGAAGUUGUUGGCGAUCAAAGGAGCGCCGUUGGAGACCAUGGACUUGUAGAGGAGCACGGAUUCGCGAGGGGACUGGGCGCGGGAGUGGGCGCGGAUCAUGGCGUUGUAGGCGAAGGCGUUGGGGCGAGGGAGGUGGGAGAAGAGGAGGCGAGCGUGGACGAGGUCGGGGGGGUCGGAGAGGGCGAAGAAGGAGACGAGCAUGGAGAGGAGGCGGCGGCGGCGGCGGAGGAGACCGCGGAGGAGGAGCUGCGCUGUAACCUGGAGAGCGUGGUGGGGGUUGAGAAUGGAGGCUAGGGUUUUUUGGUGGGUUUCGUGUAGCAUAGCUCGGAUUCGGAAGAGGAGGAGAGGUGGGGAGUUGGGCGACGAGGGGGAGCGGCGGAGGAAGGUGACGACGAUGAGGGUGAGUGCUUUAAGAAGUCGUCGUUUCGAGACGUUUCGGCGCCGAGUUUCUCUGAAGUGGGAAACAUUUCGGCAGAGUUUGCUGUUUCGGCACCGGCUUUACAGUUUGGAGAGCAUUUUAGGCCUUUGUUGGCUCCAUAGCCAAAAAUAGUUGCUACCAUAACAGCUGCACUACAUACAAUAUCUUCUAAAUUAUUUAUUACAACAUAUCGGAGGACAAAGAAUUUAAUUAAUUUCAUAGUGAAACAAUAUUUUUUCAAAAAAAUAUUAUUAUAUGUAUUUCUAAUGUGCUUUAAUUGAAUAUUAUUAUUCUCAAAUAGAAUAAUUGCCAUAUAUAAAACUUUCUCAACAUGGAUACACCACUAUUUGGUAAACAGUUAUUUAAAUAAUUUUAUUAGAAAACUGAUAUAUUAUAAUAUUUUCUACAGUAAAAUUGGAAAUAUUAAAUUAAUGCUUUUGGUUCUUAGGGUUAGAAAUUUAUAUUUAUUUUGAGCUACAGUAUAAGCUUCAAAUAUUUUUUUUUAAUGCUAACAAAAUUAUUUCUAUAUGUACCCGCUUUGAUGCUCAUAGCUUUUGAACAUCAACAAUAUUUCAUGAACAGAUUGUAUUGUUAUUUUUAUUGAUCAACUUUAUAUCUUAGCUCAUGUGUGGUCUUUAUUAUAAAGUAUAAAAUUAAUAGGUGAAAUAUCAUUUGAAUUGUAUUAUUGUAUUAAUCUUUUCUACUGGGCAAACUCUCUACUGAAGAUAUUAUUAUUGAAAAUAAAAGUAGAAAAGAAGCUAAAUAGACACAUGGACUUUAAUUAGCAAUUUCACCACAUGUAGCAAUUGCACUUUUGCCACAAUAAUCAAAGCCAAACUCUAUAUCAUUUUGAACUAAAAAGCUAGCAAUCUCGAACACAAAGUCGGCACUAGGGUCCCACUCGUCGACGAAUUGAAAAUACGAGAAAGGCAAACUCCAACCAGCUACUACGUCGCCGUAUUUGCCACAAUAUAAACUCGGCAAAAGGAGCAGACUGGCCACCGACUUUCAUUCUGAAGCGACUCGGAUAUUUCAACAUUACCGUACUCUUCCUCCCGCGCUAUUCAAGCGAUCCUUCGUGGGGGGGAGCUCACCUCUCUCAGGAGGAGGGAGACGACACGAAGCAAGGGCGAGUCUCCUCUCCACACUUCGCUCUCGAUCCGCCAUGGAAGGAGCACCCCUCUUCAGCUGGGAGCUCGAUGCUGUAGGAGGCGGCGCCGGUAAGUUUCACCUCUUCCCCCUUCUCUCGAUGCUGUUGUAAUGGUUAGGGUUAGGAUUUUGUUCCCUUGGUUGCUUGAUGAGGACAAUGAUGGUGUUGAUUAGAUCUAGUGAUUUUGGUAGGAGAAAACCCGAAAUUCGGGAGAAAUAAGAAGAAGGGUUUGAUCGGGAGUAAGAGUAGGAGGCAGACGCUCUCGGACAUCACGAACACAGGGAGGAACCAAGAAAACCCUAACACGACGAUCUAUCCCGAUUCCAAGGAUCUGAUCGAGCUAACGAAGGUUUUAAAGCAUUUUAAUCCUUAUGUUCAAACAUUACCGAAUUCCCUUUCUAAUGCCUAAAAGGAGUGCCCUAUUCUUUUGGCUCGCCGAAUCCCAGGGAAAAAGUGAGCUACUGAAGCUUCUCGGAGAGAGAAAGUAUGCGCAUUCAUGGAGUAGAUUUCCCUUAAUUUUAGGUCAAAAGUUGAGUUUUUGUUAACUGGAUUGGGUGGGUGAUGAUCUUUGUUUAUAGUAAGACUUUCGAAGAGAGCAAUAGUGAGUUGCAGAAGCUUCGUGUCGCGUUGCACAAAGCCAAUCAGCAAAAUAGGGAACUUGCUCAGGCCAACUCUCGGAUGCUAAUGGUGCUUUUCUUUGUCCUUCUCCCUCCUCUUAUAUCUUACUUUUUGUCGAUAAGGAAAAAAAAAGGGAAAAUUCUUAUCUUUCUCUUGCUUUGAUCUUCAGGAGCUCAACUCGGGGAAAGAUAGAGUGAGUCCAAUCUAUUUUUAACUGGCCUAUUAGUUUGGUGGUGCUUUCUUUCGCCUAUUCAGGUGAUUUAGUUGUUGGCUAUGAAUGGACUUUUGGCUCGACAGGAGCUUUUGUACAAGUUCUAUUUGGUAGGACUAUUUAGCAAACCCUAAUCAUUAUAAUUCUUCAAAUAGCUUAAGUUGCAGCUAGAAGAAGAAGCUUCAUAUGCAAGCUUCUCAGCUAGAAUCUCUGAUUUUUUUGGUUUGUUGAAGUGCCGAGUUUGUGCUUCUUGAGUUUGGAAACUGUUACACAAGCUGUGGGGGAAAGAGCUGUGAAAGCAGUUCCUGGCUUUAGUAGCGCCAGAGUUUUCUUUUGUGUGUGAUUGCACUCGUGCUUGUCAACUUGAAUCUGAAUUCUCAUAAUUUGGUCAUUUGUGGGUAUACAGCUCAAAGAAUUGCAGCAUGAGCUUGGAUGCACAACAGCAGUCCUCAGAACGAAGACUUUGGAAAUGGAGGUAUGAGAUUAUCAGGUAGUUUAUAAGUAUUCCUAUUUAUACUGUGCUGAGAGUUUUUUCCUAUUUUUCCGAUUAAUUUUAGGAGAAGGACAAGUUGAUUAAAGAACUAAGUAAGAAGAUUGGGUUCGAGGUAUCUAUGAAAGCAAAUUUAAUAUAUAUGCAUCUGUAGUUACUCUAUGGCCUCUAUUUUCCUCUUUGCUGAUAAUACUUCUCUUUUUCACUGCCUAAAUGCUAAUGCCGGGCAUGCUAAGAUUGUUGCUGAUGCACCUCACCCGGCUAGUGCUCAUAAGAAACGCAAACCCAAUAGGAAGCACACAUUAGAAAAUCAAGGUAAUUUUUUUGCCCUCAACAUUCAUGAAUUGUAGUCAUUGUUUCUGCAAAUACCUGUCAAUAGUUCGUCUUUAUUCGUUUUGGGUCAUGUAUUUAACUUCUUCUGUACUGCAUUGUUCCAUGAAGCAGCACUGCAGGGAAAGGAUCACAGAAGGUAAUGGCUAGCUUUGAGAUGCCACCACUACUAUUUGUGACUGAAUAAAUUGCAUCGAAGGUCCUCAAACUUCUAGUAUAGUUUCAGUUUCGUCCUCACAAUAGAGUCCUUAAACUUUGCCUUCAUAAGUAUCCAAGUACUCGCCAUGAAACCACCAAGCAACUUUGGACUUCUCAUUUGGCAGCUAUGUAGACGUUCCUGCUAAAUUUAGGGAAUUUAUAAGAGAGUGCUAAAAUCGGGGACCCAAUUGUGAAAAUUGAGGGCCGGUUACCAAAUGAAAACCUUAUAAGGUACAAUUUAUCCCUUUCAUAAUAUAAGCAAUAAUCGAGUAAUCACUCUCGUUUAUGUUCAAUCAGGAGGUCCUUAAGAAGGAGAUCUAUCAAAUUGACAUCUGAAUCAUCUGAACCUUCUGAAGACUCCUUUGAGAUUGAGGAUACCAAGAUUUCAGUUUGCUCACUUACCGGCAAAGCCUCCGAUGAAAACUCCUCUUUUCAGCUUGAAAAUUCCACCCCUGGUUCAAGUGCUUUUCACGAACAAAUGAAGAAUGAAUCAAACAGUGAUUAUUCAAGUGGGUCUUUGAAAUCUUGCAUUCAGGAAUUGAAGAUAUCUUCAAAUGGAAGGCCUAUGCGGAGGGCAGCUGAGAAGGUUCCUUCCUACAAAGAACUCCCUCUGAAUGUCAAGAUGCGACGGCCUUGAGCGGGUUUUCAAAACUUAGCAGAAUGUUACUAAAACACAGUUCAGCGCGCCAUCUGAGAGAUGGUCAUCUCACUCUGUAAGUGCAUGUUUUUUUGGUGUAAUCAAACUUUUUCUGUAUAGUUACUGUAGUCUUGGUUCUGCAAGCUUAUAUCUGUGAUGCGGAGUAUCUCCCUAUAGAUGCUGUAUGUAAAUGUUUUUGAAGGUGUAUUCAUUUCGAAGGCUGCGGUGGAACUGUAGGAGGAGCUGCAUUUCUAACUUUGUGGUGCAUUUUAUCUUACUGCAAUUUGCUAUAAAACUUAUCAUUCGCCUUCACAUUUAGGUUUGCCAUCUCUACCAUGCCAACAAGAUUGUCUAGGCUUUGAAAAGUCAUUUCUGGGGUGCAAACCGGAUUUUCGAGGCCCAAGCCCGGAUUACCCAACCCAGGGUAGCUUCUUGGGCCCAAAGCGUGGCGCCACAAUAGUUCUAUAUAAAAUGAAAAAGAAAAUCUUUAAUAUCAGUAACUGGACUUUAACAUUUUGGGUUUGUGUUGAGUCUGAUGAGUUGUUAGUGUUAGUGAGUUGGAUCAUUAUACUUAGUGUUAAAAUCGAUUUAUUCGUCGAAAAUAUAAGAUAAAUUUCACAUUGCUUGGAUUGAACCUGACGAGAACAAUAUGGUCUCAACAGGAGCCCCAGAUGGAAAAAGUAUUGGGUUUAAGUAUUUUGGACCAGUAAUUUGUGAGUUACUAACGAAUUGUUAUGAAUAAUGGGCUGGAUCACUACACAAAGCCCGGCCCAUUAACGGCCCAUAGUGCUGGAGAAAAGGGUGCCGAAUCCAGAUUCCGGGCGUAGUCGGUUGUCAACGCAAAACGGCAAAAGGCAGAGGAAAGAUUCUGGUAACCCGAACCUCCACGGUCCCCCUUCACAACAAAACAAAACCAGCGGAAUGGACGUGCUAAAUAAUGCCCCCAUUUUUCAUUUUUCAUUUUUUAUUUUUUUUUUUAAAAAGAAAUUCGUUAACUCUGCUUAUCAUCUUAUCUCUCGUUCGUUAAUUACUGCCCCGCAGUAUCAGCCACCUCCCUCUCACUCCUCUCGAUUUACUCCUCACACCUACUCACGUUGAGAGAGAGAGAGAGAGAGAGGGAGAGAGAGCAUUAAUGGCGUCGAUUAAUCUCUCCUCCUCUCCUAUACUCCGAAUCCCCUAUCUUCCUAACCAAUACCACCGAAAUAGGCCAUUUCCCUUCACCCUCCCCUCUUCUUCUUCUCCUCUCUCUGUGGAGGCGACCGAUUCGAGCCACUCUAGAAGCUUCCGCCGCUCGCGGCGGUGCGCCGCGUCGUCCUCCUCCUCCAACGGGCGCGGCCCCGAGGACGACGCCGCGAAGGAGGUCGAGAGGCUUCGAGAAGAGAAGCGCCGCGCCGAGCUCGCCGCGCGCAUCGCCUCAGGCGAGUUCACCGUCCAGCAACCCGGGUUCUCUUCUCCUCUCUCCUCUUUUUUUUUUUUUUGUGCCCUAAUUGACUAUUCUAGUAGUCGUUACUGAUGCUUCUACUCCCUUCUACUUCUCGUUCUUCUUCUCAAUAGAAGAUGGGCUUCGUCCGUGCGGAAGCUCUUGGUGGGGCUCGUCUUGAGAUGGGCCAGCGAUUUUGGCCCCACGGAAGGUCCCGAGAUCCCGCAGGCGAAGGGGUCGAUUCAAGCUGUUGGGGGGCAAGCCUUUUUUCUCCCCCUCUAUGAUCUUUUCCUCAGUUAUGGAGGUAUCUUUCGCCUCAUCCUUGGUCCCAAGGUAAGUAAUUACGAAUCUAUUUUAAUUUCUAUCUUCUAAUUGUGGUGGAAACAUGUUAAAUUUUGCAAUUUUGGCAAAUGGGUAGUGUUAAAAUUUUGAUUUUUACUCCUUUUUUUUAACCAGUCUUUUGUGAUUGUCUCGGAUCCGGCCAUAGCGAAGCACAUUUUAAGGGAGAAUUCUAAAGCUUACUCCAAGGUUUUGACUCUUUAUCUUCAUGUGUAGUUGACAUUUUAUUUACUUGUUAUUGAACUCGAGAGUAAAGAAGAGCAGUGUAGUAUGGUUAAGUUGGUAUUGGUGAUUGCAGGGCAUAUUAGCGGAGAUUCUGGAUUUUGUGAUGGGAAAGGGUUUGAUCCCAGCUGAUGGUGAGAUUUGGCGUGUUAGGAGGCGUGCAAUUGUUCCGGCAUUGCAUCAGAAGGUAAUAAAUUUUGAAAAUUGGGGAUUAAUGAGUAUUUGUCUUUGAUGAUUAGAGUGUAAUAUUGUGGGUUCCAUGAAUUUACUCAUUUGAUUUCAUCAAACAGUAUGUGGCUGCCAUGAUUGGCCUCUUCGGAGAAGCUUCAAAUAAGCUCUGCGAAAAGUUAGAUGCAGCGGCAUCAGAUGGAGAGGAUGUGGAGAUGGAAUCUCUGUUUUCUCGUUUGACUUUGGAUAUCAUCGGCAAGGCGGUUUUUAAUUAUGAAUUCGAUUCAUUAACACACGACAACGGGAUUGUUGAGGUCUUUGUUCAGCUACUUGUUUUCACAUUUUGGAAUUGCCUUUUCUUUUCCUUCAUUGCUUGAUCUUUUUUGCUUUAUUAUGCCUUCUUCCUCCAUGUUUCGAUCAGGCGGUAUACACUGUCCUGCGAGAAGCAGAACUUCGGAGUACUUCUCCAAUACCAACUUGGGAAAUUCCGAUAUGGAAAGAUAUAUCCCCUCGGCAGAACAAGGUUAAAGCAGCUCUUAAGUUGGUCAAUGAUACCCUCACUGAUCUAAUUUCUAUUUGCAAGGUAAACAAUCUGUUCCCAUAAGAUAAUGGAUUUGGAAUUCAUUCCUCAAACAAAACAGUAGUUGAUUCAGAAGUUGAAUAUCUUUGUUUUUGCACAGAUUAUAUAAUAUCACAGAAUUAGUCAAUUUUGACAUUUUCUUCAUAACCGUAGAGAAUGGUAGAGCAAGAAGAGCUGCAAUUUCACGAGGAAUACAUGAAUGAGCAAGAUCCUAGUAUUCUUCACUUCCUGUUGGCAUCUGGAGAUGAUGUACUAUUUCAGCCCUUCACUUGUGAACUUAUUGAAACUUUUUGCAUAUUUCUGAGGAAAAGAAAAUAAUGGUUUUGCAACUCAUACUAAGUCUUACUAAUCUCUUCCUCUUGUUAGGUUUCUAGCAAGCAGCUCCGAGAUGAUCUGAUGACGUUGCUCAUAGCUGGCCAUGAGACAUCUGCAGCAGUACUGACGUGGACCUUUUAUCUUCUUUCUAAGGUAUGUACAGUGUGGUUCGCUAGUGAUUAAAUAUAGUAUUCCAUGCUUGUUUCCUGAAGCAUUCUACAGAUUUGACUUCUUUCAUGCAGUUGAAUAUGCAUUAUUAUUGUCUGCUAUUUAUGUUCUUUGAUUGGUAUUAUGUAGGAACCGAGAGUUAUGGCCAAACUUCAAGAUGAGGUAAUUUAAGUUUUACUGCAUGAUAAAACUUUCAGCACAUGACAUUUGUCCACGCUUAGAAUGAACAAAAUCAUAUGAUGCUAUUUCUUUUUUGAGAUCCUCAGGUUGAUACCGUUUUGGGCGAUCGCCUCCCAACAAUAGAGGACAUGAAGAAACUCAAAUAUACAACUCGUGUGAUCAAUGAAGUAAGAACUCAUAUGUGAAUUGCUGUAAUUGACUAGAUAAGUGAUUAUCAGGUAUUAUACAUUCUUUUUCCUCUUUCUUCUUUGUUGCAGUCAUUGAGACUUUACCCUCAGCCACCAGUCUUGAUUCGUCGGUCACUUGACAAUGAUGUUCUUGGGAAGUACCCCAUUAAAAGGUAACGGUUUCUCAUGCACAUUCAUGAUCUUUUGGGCUAUUUUGAGUAUUAUUUUGUGAUUUUAUUAUCUGAUGGUUUAAGAUACGAGGUUCUAUUUCAAAUGGUAGGGAUGAAGAUAUAUUCAUUUCAGUAUGGAACCUCCACCGGUGUCCUAAGCAUUGGGAUGAUCCUGAGAGUUUCAAUCCUGAAAGAUGGCCUCUAGAUGGACCAUCACCUAAUGAGAUAAAUCAAAAUUUCAGGUACACAUUCUUAUCUAGAACCAAAUCUACUUAAGAUAGACACCCGAAAAUUAUAUUUGGAAUAUGUGCCACCAAGCCUGAGCCUAAGCCCAAUUUGAUGAAAAAUAGAGCCAUUCCUGUCUGCAUUUUUCUGUUGUGAGAUCCAGAUUUAUUCAUGAUAAAUACGCUUGGGCUGUGAACAUUAUCUUUUUUGCUUGUUUUCACUGCAAAACCACACUGAAUCCUUUAGGUGAAGUAAUUAAACAAAUGAAUUCUUAAGCAAUAUUAGAUAUUUUUCUGGCAAGUUUACGCAAAUAUUCGUUAUAUAAGUUAAUGAUGUUAACAUUGAAUGUCGCAGCUACUUACCGUUUGGUGGUGGGCCAAGGAAGUGUGUUGGGGACAUGUUCGCUACUUUCGAGGUAGUCUUCUUUUGAGAUUUCUGGUAAUUUUGUAUGUGUGCAGAUAACAGAUAGAUGCAUUUUGACCAAAACGUUGGGAUAUAAGAUUACCAAAAAUUACUCUACUAAUGGAAUAUAAAUACAAAUCGUAUGAGACAAUAUGGACUUUUGUGUUCACCUAAUUGGCAUGUAAUCAUCAAGAUUUUUUUUUUAUGCUUUAGACCGUCACAGCAACUGCGAUGCUUGUGAGACAAUUCAACUUUCAAAUGGCCCUAGAUGCACCCCCUGUAAGUCUUCCAGCUUUUCCUAAAAGCUCAUUUAAUUAAGCCAUUUGGCAACUCCAAAACAAAGCAUUUUCUAAUAUUAGAAAGAAAAUCAAAUUCAUGUUUGCAGGUGGAGAUGACAACAGGGGCCACCAUCCACACAACUGAAGGCUUAAAAAUGACUGUUACGCGAAGGACACGACCUCCCAUAAUCCCAAACUUGGAGAGUAAAGUAGUCAAUGUUAAUUCUGUUCCCACAGUUGUUUCAGAAGGGGACCAACAAGGUGAAGUCUCUACAACAGCUCAUAUUUGAUUAAUAGCAACCCUACAGUGUUAUUCAAAUACACUUUGAUUCAACGGUGUGGAACAAGUGUUUUUUUUCCCCCAAUUUUUUUCCCCAAUUGUUGAUCUAUCUUUCGCAUGCUGGUCAGUGUAAGCUGUCUUAGUUAUUUUUCCUACACCAUGUAGUGCUGUAAAUAUCAGAUAAACAAAUUUGUAAGCCAGAUUUGUGGCUGUCUCCUCUGUAUCAACUGGCUCUUAACAGUAUCUUAAAUUCUCUGUUCAAGUGGAACUAUUUUAGGUUGGUUAUCAUGUGACAUGUUUAAUAAUUGCUUUUGCACCUCGUUCCAUCUACUAACCCACUUGAAUAACUUGUUUUGAGAAAACAACACUUUAAGCAGAGGAUGUGUAUUCCAUGAAGACAUGCCAUCUAUCGUCGAACCACAGGUUUGUUGCACUAGCAGAAGAGAAUGUUUUAUUUGUUUUUAGCUCCUGAUUUACAGAUCUCGAGUUUUGGCUGUCCAACCGUACUUUGUACAUAUUUACAGAUAUACAGUGCAGUUUCGAACGGCAGUCCGGUAACUACACCAGCAAGGCUUCAAGCCCUCGCAGAACAUCGGUGCGCGUAACUAUACCUGCUUAGCACAGAUGAACUUGUUAGAUUCUCAAUGUUAGGCCUUCAAUAUUAAUUGCCUGUUAGUCCUGAUCUAUAGAACUACUCCAACUUCAGAAGCAACAGCAGCUAGGCUGUUGGCAAAUAAAAGUAUCUUAAUGUUUUUGCUGUAGAAGAAAGCUGAAAUCGAGUUUUCGGAGUUGGAAAGUAAAAAACUUUAAGUUUGAAACAUUUAUUUCUAAUACUAAGGCAAGUCGAGAGAUUUUGAUGAAAAAACUAUUGGCCAAGUAACGUCAUAAUAACAAGUUUGAUCUCUGUAUACAUACACAAACUCACCUAUGACUUGGUUUGAUUUUGAUGAAAAAACUAUUGGCCAAGUAACGUCAUAAUAACAAGUUUGAUCUCUGUAUCCAUACACAAACUCACCUAUGACUUGGUUUUUAUCAUUUACUAUUGGUAUCCUAUGGAUCUUCCUCUUGAGCAUUAGAGCUGCAGCAUCUGCAUACAUAACACAUAAAGUUCUUUCAAAACCAUUGUCAAAAACUACUGUAAAUUGUCACAUGAAGCAAACAUGCAAAAAAUUACCCGUGACAGUUUUCUCAGCAGGUAAAGUGAUUACAGGAGUUGUCAUCAUCUCACCAAUUCUUGUUCUCAACUGUUUAACAAAUGAAAGUAUGUAAGUGACCUUCCUUCAGUUUUGUGUGUGUGUGUGUGUGUGUGUGUGUGUGUGUGUGUGUGAGAGAGAGAGAGAGAGAGAGAGAGAGAGAGAGAGAGCAAACCCCAUUUGAGGCUUUAGCCUUGUCUUUCUUGGAGAUGAUUCCAACACAUUGCAGCUCGCCGUCGACCACCGGAAUCCCCGAGAUGCAGUCGAAGUGAUGGUUGAUCUCCUCAAGUGUCUGCUCCGCCUUAGCCGUCCAUACCGGACUCGACAUGACCGAACUAAGAACCGCCAACCGCCGCGACUGCCCAUGAAAACAAGAUCACAAUUACGAAGGAAUUCGAGAGAUCACAAACGAGUAAGAAAGAGAUCAAAGGGCACCUGAUCAUUCUCACUUGGGGCCUGGGACUCGAGAUAGACUCGGAGGUCAUCGUAGCUGAGGAGGGAGAAGUUCUCCGGCCAUUCGCCCGAGAUAAUUCCCUCCGGAUUCUCGUCGAGCUCCAGCCGAAUACUCCCGGUCGGAAACGCCGACGCUCGGCUCUUUACCGAUGUUUUGGUACGCGAGUGCGGCGUCGCGGAGCUCGGGUUGCUAGGGUUGUACUGAUUGAAAUUAAACGAGGGGGAGGUGGAUCUUGCACAAGGGAAAUGGAAUGUGGUGGUGCACGCCAUUUUUUGGGGGGAAGGUUCAGUUUGCAUGUCGCUCGUAGUGGCGAAUGAGAAUAUAUAGACACACAUUAUUUUUGAUGAACCGGGUCUACGUUUUCAAAUGGUGGGCCCUGGGUUUGAUCUUUGAGUUAAACGACCACGACUGGUAGCAUAGGUGUUGCAAUUAUUUUCGUCGUAACAUGCCCUGACGUGGACACCUGGCACGUCCUGAUUGGGUGGCGUGAUUCUUCAUGGCCCCCACCCCCCAUGGGGGUGUGAGUGGAUAAGGUUUGAGAACAAAGUGUAUGCAUAUCCACAGUUAGAAUAGAAGCUGGAAAAUAAUGCUAGAGCCAAGUCUGAGACUGUGAGUGGAUGGUGAAGUAGCGUUUUGGCUUUGAGCAUGCGCAGCAGAGCCAGUUGAACUUGCCCACUUAAUUGUUUACUGUUCAGUAUUCCGGCGGCUACCUAUCGAAACAGGCGGCUGAAAGGAAAAAAAUAUCGUUUAUGAUCAAUAACUGGACUAUCGUGAACUAAGACCUACAAAAAGUUAUUAUUCCGUGUCUCAACAUCAGCUGGUCAUCCAUCACAUUUCAUACACAAGUUAUGUAAUUUCUAUGCGGCAUUAAUUUUGUUUUAAAAUUUUUUUUAAUAAAACAAAUUGGAUGGUGAUUAGGCCCAGAUCCGAAAUACAUAUGCAUCUAUUUGGGCCUACCCUUGGCCCAAACAGAAGUGUAGUAGUAAUAAUGGGCUGUUGGGCUCUGAGCCUUUGUGCCGUGUUUAAAAAUACUCGGGCCGUGUUAGAGCCCCAACACUACUUAUCGUUCACACGAAAAUGCGAAUCUCUCUCUCUCUCUCUCUCUCUCUCUCUCUCUAUUCCUCUCGACGCCUCUGUCGCUCUCUUCUUCUUCUUCCUCUCCACCACCACCUCCACCUCCUCAAGCUUAUCCAUGGCCACCGCCGCCAUUGGAGCCCACCUCCUCCCCCUUUUCCCUCGCCCUAGCCGCGUCCUCUUCGGCCACCGAUCCUUCGCCGCCACCCCCAUCCCCGCCCAUCGCGCGUCGCCAUUAACGCAGCUUCGGAGGAGUUGGCCCUCCAAAUCUAAUCCCUCCUCGCGCUUCUCCCCUGUUGUUGCCUCCCAAUCCAACUUCUUCAGAGGUUCGCUUCACUUGCCCCCAAUUUCGUUCCAUCUAUUCCUCUAAUUCGUUUGCUUCAGUAGGAAUAUGGUUUUAGGAUGGGGCUUUUUUAUAGUGUCUUUUGUGUUUGGUUAGUGACCUUGUAAGAGAUUAUUGGUUCAGAACAAAGGGGAUCGGUUUGAUCCAAACAUUUAAACCUUGCUUAAAUGUUUGGUGUUUGAGCAAAAUAAUGGUACUAAUAUAAUCUCUUUAGCUAUGUAGUUCUUCACAUUUUUGUAUCAAAAUGGACAUGGCGGAUUGCGAAAGGCCAUUUUGUUUCAAUUGGAUUAAAACUAAUUGAAGGACUUGGAUGUGUGUGUGUGUGUGUGUGUGUGUGUGUGUGAGAGAGAGAGAGAGAGAGAGAGAGAGAGAGAGAGAGAGAGAGGUGUUUAGAAAACACGCAUCUUAAGAGUGAUGAAAUUUAGUGUGACUCACGAUGUUAAGUACUACUUAUUAUUCAGAUUUCAAAUAUAAAGCUACCUCUUUGUUGAUUUAUUAGCUUUGUAAGCUUAUCUCACAGUUUUGGUGAUCUUCUUUCUAAAACUUGUUUCAUUUGUCUUUUAAGGCAAUUAGUGCCACCCAUUUCCGCCGUCUAACUUGCGCUUCAAUAUUUCGUUAGUUGUUCGGGCAGCAUGGAGGGUCAGUAAGGAUGUAAUCGAGGCAGGAACCAGUUUUGUGCCUGUACGUUUUUGCUUCCGAAUUCCCACUUUCCGUUGCGUAUUUAGCACCUACUUUUGGUCAAGAAUUUGUUUCUGUUUCAAAAGCACUUGCAAUGAGUUUUACGCACUUGCGCUUUUGUGGCAGGCUGCAGUUCCAAGACCAGUAGCCAGGGUUAGUGUUGCUGUUGUUGCAGUAACCGUUGCCCUCUUUCUACUAAAAUCGUUCCUCUCCACCGCGUUCUUCGUAUUGGUAUGUACUCUUAUCAUAAAUUCCUGAGAAUUGUAAUGGAUUAUGUCAAGGAUAUCAUGCAGCUCUGUUCAAUAUUAGUUGUAAUUCUGGAACUCUUUCAUUUGAAUCGGAGAACUGUUAUGCCUAAUUUCUGAAACAUUUACAAGUGUGUAGCACUUCCUCAUUGAGUAAUCCCUCUGUGAAAAUAAGCAUUUUACUGGUCUUUAACCUUUUAAAUCGGCUUCAUAGACUUUUUCUACUUUAAUUUUUGUAUAAUAACAAGUGACUUCGAGUAGUAAUUAAUGACCACGCUUAUGACUCAUGUUCAAUGUCAACAUUUUUCUCCCUAAAUGUUUACGUAAUUUGCGAUGUGAGCCCCGAACUAUUGCAUACCAAAGAGCUACUUUUGAGUGUUGAUACUUUUGUAGGUUUUUAGGUUGGAGACAUGAUAUUCUUAGUUAAUACUUUGCGGAGAGAUGACUUUUUUUAAUUUUUGGGACCAACAGGCUAUGAUGGCACUCAUAUAUUUCGUCUUCGUCGCAUUCAACACUGAUGAGGUCUCGGGAGGUAGUGGUGGAAGUGAGAGCACAACAUCAACCGAAGAAACCUUGGAAGAAGCUCGGCGUAUAAUGGAGAAAUACAAGUAAAUUUGUUAUAACUUAAUACCAAUUUUAUCGUAUUUUAUUUUUCUUAUCUGUUGUACUUGUAUUCGGCAAUUUGGUAGAGAGUAAGUCUAUAGGCGUAUAGUUGUAAAUGAACAUAUGGAGAAUGGAAAGAUAACCACCUUUUCAUCUUAUCCUCUUUUGUUGUUAAUGUGUGCUUUCUAGUGUUUUAUUAUUGAAUUUAUUAACAGGGCUUCUCUUUUAUUCAAUCAUCCAAGCUAAAUGUAAGUAGAGGCUUCUGCAUGACCCACAUAUUUUUAAGUUCGCGAAGUUGGUCGUGUUUUUGUUAUUUAAAAGAUUGAAUUGAAUAGCAUAAGAUGAAAGAUUAAUGUUGGGAGAGACGAGUACGGGGCAUUCAUGGCAACACAAUGCAUAUGAGUUCUAUGAAGUUGUAUGGAAAUUCUCUUCCAUCACUCAAUUUGAGGAAUAAUUAGAAUUCGCAAGCUUUGAAACUUAAUGCCUUUCAACAUGCAUAACAUGUCUCCCAUAGGGUUGAUACAAACAUAGUUCCUAGCUGCUUCGCUCCUGUGAAGGAGAUUAUAUGCAGAUUUUAUUAGUAAAGCCUUCUUCUAAAGUAACUAUCGUAUCGAUAGCUUUGCGUCGCAUAUUCAACCUAUCUAUUCAUCUAAACUGAUGAUGCAACGAAGGCCUUCGCCGUUGAUCAUGUAGUCAAAUGCCUUGUUGAUAUCUGAGAACGGCAGUCUAUGAGUGAUGAACUUCUCCACUUCCAGUUGCUGCAGACGCAAGAGAGAAAGAAACUCUUUGUGGUCAGCCGACACGAAAAUCACAAAACGAGAAGGCACUAACACUAAAAAACACCCCCACCUUCUUCAUGUACAUAUCGACAACUUUGGGGAGAUCUGUUCGAGGCUUGUAGUUUCCAAAGAAGGUUCCUUUCAGAGUCCUCUCGUUCAGGAAAUUUAUCGGCUUAGUCUUGAACGAGUCAUCUUUGCUGGGCACUCCGACAAGUACAGCAACACCCCAACCCUGCAUAUUUUAGGUAUCUCACAUUAAUUAGCCUGUAAUUCAAAGAGAAGAUUUUCGUAAGCCCAAUGAAAUAAAAAGCUUAGAACUCUGGUUGAGAACUAGAUAUCAGGCAAACAAAAAGUCUAGAGUUCUUGUUGGAGCGGAAAGGUGAAAUGAGCUUUCGAACGCUUAAAAGCAGAAGCUCAAUUUUGAAGUUUCUGAUGCUAUUUUCAGCGGAAAGCUCUUAUAGAAACCAAGUAGAGAGUUAGUGAUUCUUCUUUAAACUAUCCAUUUUGCAGAAGCAGCAGGCGAGAAACAAAACACUAGCCAAGUUACAUACAUCAUGAACACAUUCAAAAGCAGAUAUCAUUGCAUUGAUGUUGCCCGUGCACUCGAUACUCCUGUCAACUCCGCCAUUGGUCAUCUCUGCAAUGACCUGUCCAAAGAAUAGAUGUUACUAGAAGUGGAGAACCUACUUAUGAAUAUGUUGCGGUACACAUUAAACAAGAACAAACCUCUUGCACAGGUUUGCCAUGAUCCUUUGGAUUGACGAAAUCCGUGACACCAAAUUUCUUGGCUGAAACCAUAGUAGAAGACUUAGAAGGAUAUUUAGCAUAAGGAAGAAGAUCUAAAUAAAGAGUGGUUAUAAUAAAAGUAGUCAACACACCUUCGCUGAAUCUGUUGGGAUUCAAAUCAACACCGAUGAUUCUAGAUGCUCCAGCAAUUCUUGCACCUUCCGCAGCCUAUAUAGUAGCAGCACAUAUAACAUUCAGGAACGGAACCUACGAUUGUAAUACUCGAGAACAUUAUAUGGAGAUAUUAGGUACUGUUUCAAUCAAACUUACUGCAAGACCCACAGCUCCCAGCCCAAAUACCGCGACUGUCGAGCCCUUCUUUGGUUUAGCAACAUUCAGAGUAGCCCCCAAACCUGAACAAUACAAAGAAUAUACGAAUGUACUCUACUAAGAAUAGGGCAUUCAUCAGUAAUCGUGCUCAUUUUAUUGUCCUUAUUAAAGCGUCGCUCGAUCGACAGGUAAAUGAUUUGUUCCCUUAAGAUUGGGAUUUUUUGCACACAUACCCCCUCAGUACACAUGUUUUCGCACAUAUACCUCAACUAAACCUUGGAUCAACAAAGCUACCCUCAGUAUAAUCGAUACCGCACAUACUGAUGAAAGGGCAAAAAAGUAUGGAUUGGGGCAAUGUAGAGACCUGUUGAUAUGCCGCAGCUGAGAACGCAGACUUUGUCGAGCGGAGCGGAGGGGUCGAUCUUGGCGAGGCAGCCGGAGUGGAUGACUGUGUAUUCACUGAAGGUGGAUGUGCCAAGAAAGUGAUAUAUGGGACUCCCGUUCUUGAAGAACCGUGCAUUGCCGUCGCUAAGCAUCACGCCCCGAUCGGUGUUGAUUCUAAGAAGGUCGCACAUGUUGCUCUCCUCCGACUUGCAGUGCGCGCACUCCUUGCAUUCUCCGGUGAAGACGGGAAGUACGUGAUCUCCCUUUUUAAGAUCCGUCACGCCUUCACCGACACUCUCCACAAUUCUGUGAUUGGAAUUAACAAAACACGAUACCGAAAAACCGUGGGAGAUAAAAAUUCGUGAAGGAUCCUUCGACAUCUCGACGAUGAGUUGUAAAAUAGAUCAUGAACAGCGUAAAAUGAAUGAAACAGGACAAGCCAGAGAGUUCAUGUGAAGAGUGAACAUACCCUGCUGCUUCAUGGCCGAAUAUGCGCGGAAAUAGUGGAUUUUGCCCCUGAAUAUCAUUCAAUGAUAAAUUCAAUAGAGAAAACGGAAUUGACUGAAAUGCUAGGUUAACCAAAUAAGAAAUUAGCACAAUCGUGGGGAUCGAAAUAAAUGAGUUCAGAAUUAACUCCGAUACUAUGUUACCCACAAGAUCUAAAAAGAGUUGGGGAAUAUAUUUAACAUUCCCACUCACACGUAUGGACAAAUUUAAUCAAAUAGAUGUUAAAGGUAUGGAUCAAACUAGAAUCAGCUCUGAUACAAUGUUUUGUCUCGAAACUAAGAUCUUGUUUAUAUAUCAGAAUAAUAAUAAUAAUAAUCUGGUAGGAUAGUAUAUUUCACUUGCGCGUAACAUCUAGGAAUCAUAAUAGAGAAUCAUGGUGAAAAAUAAAAGAGAAUAUCAGUAAAUAAGAAAUUUGUGGGAACCUUGGCUUCCCAGAAGUAGAGAUCGGUGUGGCAGAGGGAGGUGUACUUGAUCUUCACCCUCACCUCCAUCGCCUGCGGCGGCGCCACCUCCACCCGCUCUAUCACCAGCGGCUUCCCCGCCUCCCACGCCACCGCCGCUAAUAAACAAAAAUUAUUCACCAUUCCAAAAAUUCACCACCCCCCCAAAAAAAAACAAAAAACAAAAAAACAACCCCACUAAAUUAUUCGGUUAAACAAACAAAAAAGAGCUACAAAAAAAAAAAAAAAAAUAUACCCUUGCAGGGAAUAACACGUCCAGCAGUGGCCGCCAUGGCUGGCUAUUUUCGGAGUCUCCUUCAAUGGCGAUGAAACGAAGGUCGAGGAGAGAGUGGAAAAAAAAAAAGAAAAAAAAAAAAGGGAGUGUGGAGGGGAAGGGUGGUGGUAUUUUUUUUGAUCGAUGGGCGUAGUUUUGGUCGAGUAAUUCGUUCGUGGUUUUGUUAUGCUUUUUAUUAAUUAAUUAAUUUUGCUUUUUGAUCCGUGAAACCUUGUGUUGAGUCUAAUCACAGUGUAUACGACUAUAAUACGGUUGGGAUGGGAAAAUGAGACGUGGUGACUCACCAAAUGUUUGGCCCGAGUUGUUUUCUUGGCGUGGGCCCCACCAAUACGUGAUGCUAUUAUUAUUUUUACUUUUACAAAAUUAAGCAACAUUUCAAUUGGCUUUAACUUAAAAAAUCGAUUUUGGAAGAGACCGAGAUCAUUUGGUUAGAUGUAAUUAUAAAUUCAGUACAGUUAGAAAUACAUACAGUUAAAAAUAUAGCAGUUGUAAUUAUAUAUAUUAUAUUUAGUUGGAUGUAAUAGAAAGCGCUGUAAUUAUAAAUAAUUUAUUUAGUUACAUGUAGUUGAAAAAUAAUUUUUAAAAUUUUAUCAUUUUAUAUAUAUGAUGAUGAGAUUAGUUUCAAAAUAAAAAAUUUUAUUUUUUACUUAAAAAAAUAAUUAAGAAGAUAAGCAUACCAUUUACUCUCUUCAAUUAUUACAAUUGAAAUUACGGCUAAUUUAAGCUUAGUUCAAAUUACUGCAGUUGGAUCUUCUGCUGCAAUUUACUGCAGUUGAAUCUUCUUCUGCAAUUCUUACUGCAGCAUUUGAAGUUAAAUAUAUCAAACCAAACACGCAAGAUAAUUUAAGAAUAAUACGAGCUCAUGGAGUUCGAUUUUUAUGCCUCAAAACAUGCAGAGCAUGUUAUUGCUCAUAGAGUGAGUACAAAAUUACAAACAUAGUUCCAGAUUUGCUUCACUCCCGUAAAGGGAGAUUAUAUGCAGAUUUUAUUGGUAAGCACUUCUAAAGUAACUCUCGUAACGGAGUAACGAUUACUUUUUGCGCCGUAUAUUCGGCACAUCUAUUCUUCCAAACUGAUGAUGCAGCGAAUGCUUUGGCCCUUGACCAUGCAGUCGAAUGCCUUGUUGAUCUCCGAGAACGGCACUCUGUGAGUGAUGAACUUCUCCACUUCCAGUUUCUGCGGACGCAAAAGAAACAAGAUCGGGGACUCUUCACGGUCGGUUCAACACGAAAAUCGCUAGAUGAGAAACCACUAACACUUUAAAGACACCCACCUUCUUCAUGUACAAAUCGACGACUUUGGGCAGGUCCGUUCGCGGCUUGUAGUUCCCGAAGAAGGUUCCUUUCAGAGUCCUCUCGUUCAGGAUAUUUAUCGGCUUCGUCUUGAACGAGUCGUCCUUGUGGGGCACUCCGACGAGCACAGCAACACCCCAACCCUGUAUAUUUUCAGAGCUUCUUGUUAGAGUGAAAAGCUGACAUAAACUUCUCAGAGCUGUUCGUUGCUUUGCUCUAGAGAAACUUCAAGUGAAGCGAGAAACAAAAAGACUAGAAUUAUCAAUUACGUACAUCGUGAACACAUUCAAAAGCAGAAAUCAUGCAACCGAUGUUGCCCGUGCACUCGAUGCUCCUGUCAACUCCGCCGUUGGUCAUCUCUGCAAUGACCUGUCCAGAGAAUAGAAGUCACGAGAAGCGGAAACCCUACAUACAUCAAUCGAUCAAUAUUAGGUAACCACACUUAUCGAUCGAGAAUAAACCUCUUGAACAGGUUUGUCGUAAUCCUUCGGAUUGACGAAUUCAGUGACACCAAACUUCUUGGCUGAUAUCACAGUAAAAGAAGAAUUACAGGGAUUUUAGGUGAAUUGAUGUGCACAUAACAAAGAAUGCGAGAUAUUCAAUUACCUUCCUCGAAUCUGCUGGGAAUCAAAUCGACACCGAUAAUUCUAGAUGCUCCGGCUAUUCUCGCACCUUCUGCAGCCUAAAUGGUAACGAUAAAACUAACAUUCAGAAAUUGAAUCGAGGGCCGCGAACUACAAAUGAUAGAUGAAGAUCUUAGGUUCUGUUUCUAUCCAACUCACUGCAAGGCCGACAGCUCCGAGCCCGAACACCGCAACCGUCGAGCCCUUCUUCGGUCUAGCAACAUUCAGAGUAGCCCCCAAGCCUGACAACAGAAAGUGUUACAUCAACUCAAUUCCGAUCAAGCGCAGCAUCAAAUAAUCUGUCUCGUUAGGAUCUUGAAUGUUGAGCCGGUGUCGAGACCUGUUGAUAUGCCGCAGCUGAGAACGCAGACUUUGUCGAGAGGAGCGUAGGGGUCGAUCUUGGCGAGGCAGCCGGAGUGGACGACUGUGUACUCGCUGAAGGUGGAUGUGCCCAGAAAGUGAUAUAUGGGAGUGCCCUUCUUGGAGAACCGCGCGUUUCCGUCGCUGAGCAUCACGCCACGCUCGGUGUUGAUUCUAAGAAUGUCGCACAUGUUGCUCUCCUCCGACUUGCAGUGCGCGCAGUCCUUACAUUCUCCGGUGAAGACGGGAAGUACGUGAUCUCCCUCUUUAAGUUCCGUCACGCCUUCGCCGACACUCUCCACGAUUCUGGGAAUUGGAAUCAACAUAAAACGAUACCGAAAAACUAUUAAAUAGAUCAUGACCGGAGAAAAAGAAAAUGAAUGAAUCAGGGAGAAGUCGGAGAAUUCAUGUGAAAAAUGAACACACCCUGCCGCUUCGUGGCCGAAUAUGCGGGGAAAUAAUGGACUUUCACCCUGAAAAAUCAUUCAACUACGAAUUCAAUAGAGCAGGAUUAUGGAUUUUGAUAAAAUGUUAGGAGAAAGCGAGAAACAAUUAAUCUGAUUUGAUGCAGUGCAGAUGACUGAUAACAACAUUUUCCCAAAUGGUUCAUGGGAGGAGAUGCAUCAUCACGUGUUCUCCUAAUUUGUGGAACGACUCUUCUCACACAGACAAAUAGCGUGAUUUAUAAUAUAUUAUGUGACACAGCAUAGAGAAUGGUGUUUUUGUUAUUUAUAUUAAACACUUUUUUUUUUUCGCUUACUAAAUUUGAAUAAAAUGGGAGAAUAUUAAAUAAUACUUAAAAUCUGGUGAAACUCGAACUCAUGAUUUCUUACUUUAAUAUCAUAUUAAAUUAGCCGAUAGUUUACACUUUACUUUUUUGUAGUUAAAAACAUAAAUUUAACAUAAAUUUAAGUGUUAUGACAUGAAAUUGCUGUGCGUAUCGGACUGUGUAGAUUAAUGAUGUGCCAAUACAUAAUGUCAUGAAUUAUUUAUUUUUUUUAGCAACAAAAUUUUUUAAUUGCUUAUUAUAUAUCUUUAUCAAAUCUUUUAAGUUUUACUGAGAAAAUUAAUUGUCAAAUUUUUAAAAAAAUGAGCUAUACUAUUGACACGGGACAGUAUUAUGUCGAUAUCUUAUUAGCACGACAAAACUGCACAGUGGAUACAGUUCGUGUUGAUGGACAUUUAAAUUCUUGGUUUAUGAAAUUUAUCACUUUACUACUACGACAUCUAGCGAUAAGUUCUAACGGUUGAACAAAAAUACAAAUCAUAAAAUAACGAAAUAAAACUUUUCAACGACAAAUCAAAAAUACGCGCGAAAUGGUAAGUAAAGUUUACCCGAAAAAUAAAACCAUCUCCAAAGAGAAAAAAAAUAGCAAAGAGCAGUAGUACAUGCCUUGGCUUCCCAGAAAUGGAGGUCCGUAUGGCAGAGGGCGGUGAACUUAAUCUUCACCCUCACCUCCGUCGCCUGCGGCGGCGCCACCUCCACCUCCUCUAUCACCAGCGGCUUCCCCGCCUCCCACGCCACCGCCGCUAAUAAACAAAAAUCAUUUACGAAAAGGGUAAAUUAUUCGAUUAAACAUAUAAAAUAAAAUAUAUUACAAUGAUGAUGAUGAUGAUGAUGAUACCCUUGCAGGUGAUAACACGUCCAGCGGUUGGCGACAUGGUUGUAAAGAAGGUCGAGAUGGGGUGCGGAAUUAAUGGAGGAUGCUUGGAGAGGUGAAGCAGAGGAGGGUGUGGAGCAAAAGAGAAGCAAAAGAGAAGAUUAAUGGAGAGUGGUAGUAUUUUGAAUAGAUGGGAGAGGAGAGUACUCGUAGCUUUACUGACUCUCUCUCUUGCAUUUAUAGGAUUCUGACGUGGCUCGAACUCAUAAACUCCUGAUCAAAUACCAUAUGAAAUAAUUAUUGUACGAUAAAAUUUUAUAUUUAUAUAUUUUUAUAUUUAAUAUUUUUCAACAAAAUCUCCUUGAGGAGUCUUUACUUCGCUACCAUGCAUCGGUUUUAAUUAUAUUCAAAAACUAUAAUUUUCUCCUCCAAAAUUUAAAUCAAAAAUUUUAAAUUUUAAUGUUGAAAAAACUCAAUAAAUAUUUUUAAUAAAGAUAAACUGAUACGUUACAGUAAAUUAUAAUUUUGUAAAUAUAAUCCUCUAACUUUGCACUGAAAUUUUAUCUGUAUUUAUCAUACUCUUUUAUUUAUUUAAUUUCGCAUUUCUUGGGCGGUUGGGGACUUGGGGUGGAGCUGCCAAGUGUGGAGACUCUUUUUCGUCGCACACCGCACGUGUAAUGCAACGUUAGCAGUUUGCUGAACAAAAAAAACAUUAAAUUACUUUUAGGGGAGAGAGAUGGUGAAACUAUUUUGUCUUUUUUUUAAUAUAAGGUAAUUAAAAUUUUGAAAAUUUUAUGUUUUUUUUUCUAUGUGAUUGAAGGAUAGUAGUUUGAUUUUGAUAAUUUAGAAGGUCCUGACAUUUGUGAUUUAAAAGAAUAAUAAUAGAGUUAUCAAUUUUAAAGAUUUGAAUAAGUAAUUUGAUGAUAUUAUUUUAUAUGAUGAGAAUUUUUUUGUGACGUAAAAGUUUAAUUUGUGGUCGAUAAAAAUUUUAGCAUUCAUAGUUUGCUAGAAUAGUGCAUUACACAUAUAAGUUAUUACGUUCUAAUAUUUGACUAUAUUCUUUUAACCUCUAAUAACAUUACAAAAUCUCCAUUUAUUUCAAAAUCUAAACAUGUAGGAUCUAAAUCAAAUAUGUAGCACAACCAGCUAAGAACUCGAUUAUUGGUAUACUUGUGUUAAAUAUAAAAAUGUUUAAACACCGUUCUCUAACCGCUUAAAUUUCGGUUGUUUCACAUGGUAUCAAAAUAGCAGGUCCUGAGUUCGAGUUAUACCAGACUCCUAGCAUAUUAAUUUUCUCCCAUUUAAUUCAAACCCACGUCAUGAGCCAACAAAAAAAUUUCCGAGCCCAGAUGUGAGGGAGAAUGUUAAAUAUAAAAAUAUAUAAACACCGUUCUCUAAUAGCUUAAGCUUUUAGAAUGCAAUGAUUGUUACACAUGGUAUCAGAGAAGAAGGUCCUGAGUACGAGUCACGCCAGGCUCCUAGCAUAUUAAUUUCUCUCAUUUAAUUCGAGCUCAUGUCAUGGAUCGACUAAAAAAAUUUUUGAGCCCAGACGUAAGGAGGGGUGUUAAAUAUUAAAAAAACCAUAUUCAAACUUAUCUAAAGUUAGUAUUGUUUUUGUGAUUAUGAUUAAUGAUGAAUGGCGCAUGUCACGUAGGAGACGAUCGCACCAAAUUUUUGAUCGUUUCGUUUGGACGGUCCGAUCAUCCUUGAUACGUGUCCUUCUCUCCCUCGGGAGUGCAAGAGCUGGCUCGGGCGCGUGGACCAGUUGGAUUAAAAACUUUAUACUUUUUAUUAUUUUAACAUAAGCCCAUCGACACGUAACAGUUGAACCCGAGAACCGCUCCCAUAGUUUUCGAAAUAUGUAAUAACACUUUUUGAGUUGCCUACCAGGGUUUCUAACACUACUACAGAUCCAACCAAAAUUUCAUCCUUUUACAUUAGUAUUACAUUGUAUAAAUAACUUAUUUACCUCACUUCUACACGUCGUGCUUCAAUAGCAUUAAUUUUUAAGAAAAAGUUAAAAUGUACCGAGGCUGAAAAUAUAAGACCAUCAGAUUUUGAAUUUAAAAUCUCGAAUACCAACUAUCGAGUUUUUUACCAUCUGUGGUCAUAUGUUUCGGAUGCUUGGAAUGCCUUCUCUUUACUACUACAAAAUAUUUUUACGCCUCCCACUUACUGUCCCAUUAGAGAAUAGAAUUGGUUCGAAAUAAAACCCGGAAAAAAAAUUCAGAUUCAUUUGCAGAUUCAUUUGCAUCCUUAGUGCUCACGGCCUCGCCCCAAAUUUCCUUGGGCCACGGUGACGAUGGGUCUCAAAGCGCUGUUUAUUUAUCUUUAUUUGGCCCAACCCAAGUACGUUAAUGGGUAGGGCUUUGAGAGAGUUGAAACCGCAUUGGGCCGCGGCCGACAUUGGACAGCAAACAGGAAAACUUAGAGAACAAACGGGGCGGAUACGGAGGCGUAGGGGUGGCAAUCCAGAUCGCUGCUCGCGAGCCAGCUCGUGUUCGGCUCGAAAUGAGCUCGAGAUCAGCUCGCUCGUUUAGUAAACGAGCCGAACACGAGCUGAAUUUUUCAGCUCGUUUAAUAAACGAGCCGAACACGAGCUUGGGUUAGCUCGCUCGUGUUCGACUCGAUAACAGCUCGAGUACAUAUAUUUUAUAUUUAUAUAAUUUAUUUAAUUUAUAUUUUUAUAUAUAAAUAAUUAAUUAUAUAUAAUAUAUAUUUUUAUUAUUUAAUUUUUAGCAAAAUAAAAAUAUAAAUGCGAGCUUAAUUAUAGAAAGACUUCAUUUAUAUGUAAAGUUUCAACUAUUAGAUCAAAGUCUAAUGUAUAAAAUUUAUAAAAUUUUUUUUUAUACAUAUUUAAUCUAAUUCUUUUUAAUUUAUUGUCGUUGACGUACAGUUCGUGAGCCAGCUCGCUAUCGGCUCGUUUAUUAACAAGCCGAACAUAGACUGAAUUUUUCGACUCGAUAUCUUAACGGCCGGCUCAUGUUCGGCUCAAUUAAUAAACGAGCCGAACACGAGCUCGCUUGUGCGUGUCGCUCGUUUACACCCAUACGGAGGCGGAGAGGAAUCCUACCUGCCAUCCAUUUGGGGAUGGGAAAAAUAAGGGAUUAUUUCCACACCUAUUCCCAAACAAAAAUAAAAAGUGAAUAGCUAUUCCAUCCUUAAAUUUAAAUUUUAAAUUUUAUAUAUUUAUAAUUUAUAAUCUUAGAAUUAAAAUUUUAUAAUUUUAAAUUCUAAAUUUAAAUUAAAAUUUUAAAAUUUUAAAAUUUUAAAUUUGAUAUUUAGAUUUUAAAUUUAGAUUUAAUUUUAAAUUUAAAUUUUGAAUUUUGAAUUUUUUGAAUUGGGAUUUAAAAUUUAAAUUUAUAAAUUAUAUAUUUAAAUUUUUAAUUUUAAAUAUUUAAAUUUAAGUAAUAAUAAUAUAAAGGAUAAUAUUAUUAUUUUUUAUUUAUAACUAUUCAUUAUUCUUUUUAUUUUAUUUUAUCUUUUUAAAUGCUAUUUUUUUAUUUUUUUAAAAUAAUUUAAUUUUUAUCUAAAUAUAAAAUUUGUCUAUUUUAUCUUUAUAUCUAAUUUUUUUUAAUCCCCAAUUUCAUUUGGAAUGGGUCAAAAGUUCAUAACUAAUAAAGAAUCUGUCAAAUGCGGGUACGAACAAUACAAGCGUCAUAAAUGACGGACGUACAUUCCCAAUUUCCGAAGCAACAAAUUAUAGAUGCGGCGCGCUUUUGUAGCGGAUACACGCCAGUGUUCACACUUCACACUCUAUUGUAAGAGGAAUUCUAUACUGUCAUAUUUGUACCACGUCAUCAAUAAUAAGUUAAUUAUAUAUUUUUUUAAAUAAAAGUAUAAUAAAAAUAUUUUUUUAUAAUUAUGAUGGGACAUAUAUCUUUAAAAGUAGAUAUUUGAUUGAUUUGUUACGCCACGUCACUAAUAUAUUCGUUGCAUUCUAGAAUUUUUUCUAUUGUAGAUAUUAGUUUUAACUGAUCAAAACAUACUUGGUGUCCCUGGAGCAAGUGACUAAGGACUUGAUGGUUGAUAUUCGAGACCUAAGUUCGAAUUCUAGUUGAUUCACAUUUCUGGCUAAGUUUAUUUCUAAAUAAAAUAAAUGAAGCGGGUAGCGUGCUAUCUAUCUCUCAAAAAAAAAAAAAAAACAGAUCAAAACAAAUAAAUAAAAUAAAAAUAUAUACUAUAUAAAAAUUAGUAUAUACUAUUAAAUAAGAUGUGCUAAAAUUAUUAUUAUUAUAUUUUGAAAUAGAGUUUGGGUAUAGUAUUUUUUAAAAAUUCAAGCAUUUGAUAUUUGUAAAAUUUUCACUAUUAGAUUUAUUCUUUUAAUUAAUUCUGCCUUUUAUAUCAUGCUAUUCUAUCAAUCAUCCACUCAAUUCUAUCAAUCUAUAAACACCAAUAAGUUGCCUCUUUUAAAGAACCCAAUUUUUAAAGUAAAUAUUAUUUUUUAUCGUGCUUUCUUGCUCUUCUGUCUAGUAAUUUUAAAUUUGAGUUAAGUCUCCAUCUAAUUCUUAUAUAUAUUUUUAAUUAUAAAUAUUUGAGGUAUUUAUACAAAAUUUUUUUCUUUUUCGUAGCAACUAUGUACAUAAGAGAUACUACAAACCACACUUUCUGUGUCAUAUGAGAAAAUAAAUGAUCUAAUUGACCAUUUAUAUAAUAAUAAUUUAAAUAUUUUUUUUUGUUUUUGUAAUUUUGUGAGAUAUGAAAAAACUUGUUAAAUAUUGCGUGUGUAUAUGUAUACUGUAUACAUAGAGAGAGAGGAUAAGUACUCUCCUAUCGUCCCAUGUGAUCAUUUAUUAUCCAUUUAGAUCUCCUCACGGAACCAGUUAUGCGUACAACCGGACUCUGACUAUUUAUGCUGCCUCAUUAUUACAGGCUACUACUUUUGGUGCAUACACACAUCCCACUAAGGUGACACGUGGCUUCAUUUUAUACGCCUUCCUAGCUCCCCGCCAUAUUAUGAGAAAUUUUUGGCUGGACCGGGCUCACCUUCCAACAGUGGACCAUCUAAAAUCACCUUCUACACAUAUGUAGUCCCUUUAAAUCAUCACCGUUUAAAUGGUCGUUUUUCAAUUUUUUAAAAGGAUUAGAAGUUUAGUGGACGGCUGUGGUUCCGACGAAGAACGGUCCAUCGAUGACGUGGUGAAUAUAGUUUAAUGAAAAAUAUCAGUGUAUAAUCAUUGAAAAGCCGAGAAAAGAACCAGCGGGAUAGUUUAUCCGAUGGCGUACACGGUACACGGUACACCCUAUCGUGCGGCCGCAUAAUAAAUAUUUAUGCGUGCGUCUGAGGAUGUAAUCCUCGUAGAGAUAUAUAAACGCCCCAUCAUCGAAUCCCCCGACCAUUUCCGCCCGAGUAAGCGUGUGAAUCUCUUCAUUGUCCAAAUAAUAAUAUCUCCCUCGCCUACGAGGAGAAGCGGCGCGAGAUCGAGAUCGAGAUCUCAGAGGAAUCGCGCGAUGGAGAAGGCGAUCGAGAGGCAAAGGAUCCUCCUCACCCACCUCCUCCCAUCAUCAUCAUCAUCAUCGUCAUCUUCGAUUUCUCCGAGCGAUUCGUCGCUUCUCGCGGUAAUCGAUCGUUUUCUCCUCUCGUUUUCGCUGUUUUUGGCUUGGAUUAGGGUUUGGUUUUUGUUUGAUCGGUCGCCGAGGCUCUGUUCCUGAUUGGUGAUUCCGAUCCUCUGUUUACGGAGAUUAGGCUCGAGUUAUUUAUUUAUUUAUUACGAUUUUUCCCUCUUUUGGUUGUGAAUUGGGUGGUUUAUGAGAGGAUUUGGAUGCUUUCCACAGGCUUCGGUUUGUGCUGCGGGUGAUAGUGCUGCUUACCAGAGGAGUUCUUCGUAUGGAGACGAUGUCGUCGUCGUGGCGUGAGUAACUUUACAUUUUUUAGCAACUUUUGUUUUGAUGGAAAAUUUGGAUCUAACGGGAUCAAUAAUUGAUGUUAACCGUGUGCUUCCUUUGGAAAAUCCAGGAUUAAAUUAGUACAAAUAUGAGGUCCAUGUAAAUCUAAGAAAACUACAAAAAUUUAGAUAUUUGUAGUGGGAGAAAGAUGGUUUUCUCUUUUACGUUUUAGGCCUAUUAUUGAGACUCCACCUUAAAGAAGUGAACGGAUAGCUAACCCGUGUCAUUUUCGGUGUUCACUAUCAAUCAUCAGUUAUGCGAAAAUAUUUGUCUUGUUUGGGACCAAAGCAAAUUCAAGGUUAACAUUGCGGCAAUCAAAUGUACUGGUUUAUCGGGCACUUUUUCUGUUGAAUUCAAUGUCCCUGGGUUUAAGUUUCAGGCGGCUUUUCCAUGGUUCAUGCUUUAAUAUUAAUGCUCUUUUUGUAUUAUAUGUGCUCUGAUGUAUAUAAGAUUUGGCAAACACUUACCUUUUCUUCGUUUAGUUCGUGCUCGUUAUUCUAAUAUCUUAUUGUUAUUAUACUAUCUGUUAUAGCCAUCCAGUAAUAUGAGUUUCUGCUGUUAGCUGAAUCUAUUCAUGGUAAGCUAUAUUCCAUCCUGGUCCUGCUAAUUUGCCCUCUUUUUCCAUUCUGCGGUGCCAGUGCUUACCGAACUCCUAUCUGCAAGUCCAAACGAGGGGGUUUUAAGGAUACAUAUCCUGAGGAUCUUCUAACUGCUGUUCUCAAGGUCCAGACUUUCCUGAUUCGUUUCGUUUCGUUAUAUUUGUUGUCUAUAGAGUUUGUUUACUUCGACUGGUAUGGUUUUGUAAUUUUUUUUUUUUCUAACCAACUUCUCUUGUCCCUUCAAUCUUCGCUUUUAGGCACUUUUGGACAAUACUAAACUGAAUCCAAGUGAUGUUGGUGAUAUUGUGGUUGGCACCGUCUUGGCACCAGGUUCCCAAAGAGCAACAGAGUGCAGGAUGGCAGCUUUUUAUGCUGGUUUUCCAGGUAUAGUGGUUUCUUUUGUUGGUAUAAGCAAAGAACGGCCUGUUAAUUGUAGUACUGAUUGUUUUCCUUUGUCAUGCUAGAAACUGUUCCUGUUAGAACAGUGAACCGCCAAUGUUCAUCUGGUCUUCAGGCAGUUGCUGAUGUUGCUGCUGCCAUAAAAGCUGGUUUCUAUGACAUAGGUGAGAUUUCAGUCUGUUAUUAUCUGCUGUAGUUUCAUGGUUAAUUAUCUAUAAUCUCCUGUACUAUGGUCUUCUAUGCAGGAAUUGGAGCUGGACUAGAAUCAAUGACCAUGAACAGUGUUGCUUGGGAAGGAUCAAUAAAUCCGAAAGUAUGCUUCUCCUUUAGUUUGUCCUUAGAUCCUUAAAGCUAGCCCUGUGUUUUUGUGAUUCGAUAUUGAGUUACCGCUAAACGGAUUCAUCCUUCUUUGUCAGGUUAAUGCAUUCCAAAAAGCACAGGAUUGUCUUCUUCCCAUGGGAAUCACUUCUGAGAAUGUUGCACAUCGGUUUGGUGUGACCAGACAGGAACAAGAUCAGGCUGCUGUGAGUUUCAAGGAUCUUAAUUACUAAGCUUCAUAUUUUGAUGCCUCUUUCGUUCGGAAAUACGUAAAUUUCUUCCUUCACUGAUUGUCAGGUUGAAUCUCAUAAGCGAGCAGCUGCUGCAACCGCUUCCGGUAAAUUUAAAGAUGAGAUAGUUCCAGUGACAACAAAGGUAAAUGACUGAGCCAGAUAGUCUAUAGUGAUUAGAAAACUUUGCAUAAUUAUUAGAUGGGGAGCAAAUAUCCAAUUUAAUAAAAAGUAGGUGGGUGGUUCUGUUAGUUUUGCCACCACGGAAUAAUAGAAGUGAGAAGUGUAGAAACCUCAUUGAUAGCUAUAUAGAUAAUCAAAUAGGAAAAUACAGUUCUUGUAGCAGCUUCUCUAACUUCAAUUGACAUUUUUGGCCUCAUUAAUAGUGUAUGUUUAGGACUUAAAGUUACUAAGUUUGGUAUAAUUGAUAUCUCUUUGCAGAUUAUAGAUCCAAAAACUGGAGAAGAAAAACAAGUUACAAUUUCUGUUGAUGAUGGAAUAAGGCCAGAGACAUCGUUAUCCGGUCUGGCAAAGCUCAAACCAGUAUUUAAGAAGGAUGGGAGCACGACUGCUGGUAUUAUGGCACACUUCUCAUGUUUAUGAAGCUCAGACAUGUACAUUGUCUGUUUCCUUAUAAUAUUUAAUUGUGUAGGCAAUUCUAGUCAAGUAAGCGAUGGUGCUGGAGCAGUCCUCCUCAUGAGGAGAGACGUAGCAAUGAGGAAAGGAUUUCCUAUAUUUGGAGUUUUCAGGUUUUACUCUAUCCUGUCAUAUAUAUCUCUAUAAUCUUAGCAUUAGUAACUAGCGAUGCUUUUUGGUUUUUUGAUAAACAUAAUCCCUUGCAGAGCUGCAUCAGCUAAGUGGUAAAUUUGUUAAGAAUAAAAGUUUUUAGGACCCUGAUCUUAUUGUACUGUUCUUUUUUUCUGAUGUUGUGUGGUUCCAACCUCCAUUACCUUUUCUUUGUAUCAAACAAAUCAUUGUCUUCUUUUGCUGACUAGACAAUUGUGUCACUUUAACAUAACAUUGCAUCAUGUUCCCUUCCAGUUGAAAAGCAUAAGUAAUCCACCCCCACCCCUUGAAAAAACAAAGAAAUAAAAAAAAAAAUUUAAAAAAGAAAACUCCCCGCUAAAAAGGAUAAAAAUUGGGUGUUGGUGGUUGGGAAAUUGCUCCAUUUGCUCAAGAUUACUGGUGUAGAUGAUGGCAUCGUUGAGUUAACUGAAUUGAUGGAGAUCAGGGGAAUAUUUAUAGGAGCUUAUUGGUGUAGCUGAACUAUUUUCUGGCUUAUUCAGGAGCUUUGCUGCCGUUGGAGUGGAUCCUGCUGUUAUGGGCGUUGGUCCUGCUGUCGCAAUUCCUGCUGCAGUAAAAUCUGCAGGUCUUGAAAUUGGAGAUAUUGAUCUUUUUGAAUUAAAUGAGGUAACAUUCGGCUAAUAGUGGUUCUUAUCCUUCUUGUAAUCUUGUUUGUUAUAGUUCUAAAUGUUUCUAUGCAUUUUCUGUAGGCUUUUGCGUCUCAAUUUGUAUUCUGCUGCAAGAAGCUGCAGCUGGAUCCAGCAAAAGUAAAUGUGAAUGGAGGAGCAAUCGCUCUUGGGCAUCCUUUGGGUGCAACAGGUAUUUGCGACUGAUAUAAUGCUUAUUAAGGGUCUUAUAUAUGUGUUCUAAGUGUUAGAAAUUGGGUUGAUUUUUUGAUGCCUUAUACUGUUGUUAAGUUGUUGAUUGGUGCGAUAUGUAAACAAACAUAAAAUUGCUGUGUUGUGGUACUGGGAGAUUUUGCAGUACAGUGCUUUGACUUAAAAAAUGCUAGCCAUAGUUUUAGUAAUGUCCCCAGAAUAAGAAAAAUGAUACGUGGAGAUUCUUAAGCAGAAUUUGCCUUCUUUCAUAAUUGAGGUGCUUCAUUGGUUGUUCUGCCUUUGUUGUAACUUAUUAAUGUGAUAAUUGAAUAUGGUGGCAUUUCCUUCUUAUAGGAGCCCGUUGUGUGGCCACUCUGCUGAACGAAAUGAAGCGUAGAGGAAAGGAUUGCAGAUUUGGUGUUGUCACCAUGUGCAUCGGUCGGUGCUCUCUCUGUCGCUCUCUCACACACAUAUUAGCAUAAUGAUUUUACAUUUUACCCAAUUGUCUCGUGUAAAAUGCAGGAUCUGGAAUGGGGGCUGCAGCAGUUUUCGAAAGAGGUGACGGUGUUGAUGAACUCUCCAAUGCCAAGAAGAUCGAAUCCCAAAAAUGGUUAUCGAAGGAUGCUGUGUAAAGCCCUUCAUUUUAAGUUUUGCAAAAGCGUUUUUAAUAAAAAACCAAACUGAGAAAUUAGGUAAAUUAUGGCUUGGGGCUGAUAUGAAAUAUGUCUAUAAGCCCAUGCGAUGGACUCGAAUAGUACAUGAAUACACCACUCAAGUGACCGAACAAAUAACCUUCGUGAUCUUUACUCAUAUGCAUUUGUUAAGGCACAUGUAGAUGCCUCGAUUCUACUCUUUGUUUAUGCACUGCUCAAGCAUAAAUAGCCAUAAGUUUCUUAUGAAGGUUUGAAUAUACCUUUUUUUUUUUGGUUUGAGAAAUAGUAGCUUGCUACCGUUUCAUUUAUCAAGAGCUUUCUUUUAUAUUACUAUAUACCGUCUGUUGGGUGUCUGUUCUGAUGAGAUUUGAUGAGUUUACACUUGGUUUCAUGAUCUAUAUAUUGCCUCCGAUGUGACUCAGAUUUUCUCUCUAAUGUGAAUGAGGCAUAUGAUGAAUCUUGUUUUUAAUUUUUAAAGGUUUUCGAAGGUGACUUGAGCCAAAAUUUGGGACGUAUGCACGAUGGUCCUUCUGGGAGUGUUCGUCUGAAUGGUAUGGUUUCCGGAACUUCUUCUUUUGGUAGAAUGAAUAAGAUCAGCAAAUGCUAUGUUGUGGAAAGUUUCAACUUUGUGGAAUGUUUGAAAAAAGUUUCCAAGCUUUGAGAGGGUGAUUGAUAACUAGAAAUACUUUUACACUUUUACGGCCAAUUGCCGUGUAUCUUUUUUAGCAAUAUUAACACAAUCCAAAUAUAUAGUCAUAUAGAAAGUCCCAAUGCAUAAAAGCUGGUGCUCUUAGGAAUAUACCAACACAAUCCAGAUUUGGAUCAGGCGUGCGCCAUAAAGAUGGACCAAGUUUAGCCCAUCCUACUCUAACAUUAUAGAGUUUGUUAAGGCCCAACUUUAGCCCAAUAUGGAGGAUUCUAUUGGCCUGGGACAUCUAAUUGGGUACAAUUUGUCCUGGCCCAACCGGUUGAUACCUUCCUUUGUUAGCCACCUAACCGGAAUUUUGUCAAUAAAUUGACAUAGGUAUAUUGAUGAUAAAAUUAAGAAAAUGAUAUCAUAAAUAGGCGGUUCUCAUUGAGACAGUUUAGAAAGCCAUAUAAUUCAUCCCGCACCUUAAUAUUAAAGAUCUGCUCCAACUCAAAAAUUUACCUCUCAUAUCUUACCACCGCAACGCGCGGAUUUAGAAGUGACCAGUAAAUUGAAUAAAGUGUUUUCACUUUGAUAUGUAAGUAUAUAUCAAGCCCAAAAGUUUACUAAUGGCAAUAAUUAAGAAGGAAUCUAUGAAUAGUGUUACUUCUAUGUAUAAAUUUGUUAUGAGGACGGAAACUAAUAUGUCUAGAGCAAUUUUUAAUACAAAAACUUGCUUAGAAUAUAUUAAUUUUAUUGGGGAUUAUCCAUAAAUUCUACAAUUUACCGAUUUCUACGUCAACAAAAGGCAAAACAUAUAGUAAUAUAUUAUCCUUACUUUUAACUUUUUAAAAAUAUAAGUGAGUUUAAGGAUUCUCUAAUAAUAAUAACAAGAACGUGAUCUAUCCCUAGGCACAAAUCAAUAGUCCCCUAAACCUCUUGAUUUGGGCACGUAGCCACUCUAUGCUCCCUAUUUUCAUUGUGUUUGAUGCAGCAUAGCUUAGGCUAUAAGAAGUACAUAUAUUCGUGCGCGCGCGCACACAUACACAUAGACAUAUAUAUAUAUAUAUAUAAAAUAAAAGUGAAGGUGCCCAUUUGAUUUUGACAAAUACAAAUAGAGACCUCAAUUUGAUAAGAGCGAGGGUCCAAUAUAGAGUAGACAAAAAGAAUAUAUUCGAAAUGGACUGGUAACUACUUACUCCCAUGAUUCUCUUUUAUGGUCCAUUUUGUAUGAAAUCGACCUAAUUAAAGCCGAAGCUUCAAAUUAAAGUUUCUACUUCUUUCUAGAAUAUAAAGUUUAUCUCAAAAAGAGAAAAAAAAAAAAAAAACUUUUCGAGUAAGUUUAUUCAAGUUGUGGUUUUGCAAUAACCUCCCAUGGGGGGCUACAUUGGUCCUUACCACAUUUGAGCUCUAUUUAAGCUCAUUUUGCUCCUCUAGGUUAAUAAUAUCAAUGUAAUGAUUUAGCUUGUUAGGUUCUUUUAGUUGGAAAGCACUUCCUAAACAAGCUUAAAUAUCCAGUGUUUUUACUCUGGAAUGGUGAAAUUUAAGAUCCGUUUGAUAUUGAGAGCUAUCUAACAUUUUUAGAUAGAAAAAAAUUGAAGCAAACUUGUACAAAAAUAUUUUUUUACACAUUUUAAUAAAACAGCAAAAGUUAUAUCGUAAUUAAAUCAAAACAAUCUAUACAAUGUAUCUGAAACAAACAAAAUAUUUUUUUCUCGUACUUGCUUCCUGUAACGGAUGCUCAAUUAUAAUACUUAAUUCACGACCUUCUAGAUUCUAAAUUCAAAUCUCGUUAUAUUCCAAAAACAAAAAACAAAAUUGCACACUUGUAGCCUACAUAAAACCUUCAACAAAAAAGAGUGGAGAAAAAAAAAAAUAAAAAAAAAAAAUAUAUAUAUAUAUAUAUAUAUANUGGGGGACCGUUAUUGGCCCGGGACCGCUUCCCCGCGCGCAUCGAGCGACAACCCCCCGGGGGGGAAAGUGGGCCCGGGCCCAGCACGUGAGCAACCAACCGUGUGGCGCAUGCCACGUGGGCCGACACAGGUUCGGCGAGCGUGGACUCCCGCGUGGUGGGGCCCAUCCUCUUCCACUGGACGGCUCAGAUUCAGCUUCGGCGCACGAAAAUCAACGGUGACAACUCGAUUAUUAUUCCGUGUUAUUGGCAUUUUCUCAGCUUUUAUUUAUUUAUUUAUUUAUUUAUUUUAAUCUAACCUGUAUUAAUUAAAAUUUAAUUUAUUUUAAAUUUAAUUGUUCCUUUAAUUAACUAUUAAUCUCUAAUUAUUCUGUACAGAAAACAAAAGCGAAAAUCCAUUUCAAAACGUACGAAGGGUUUCCAUAAACUAUUCAUUACGUACCUUAGGUAUCACAGCGGAAACCUUAACCACCGUCUGAUCAUCGGCGAACGGUGUUCCUCCGACCGAUCGCAUAAACAUGUUUAUGCGCGUUGUCGGACGAUAACGACGAGGCGGGUUGGGAGUCCGUGGGGUCGCCAUCGAUGGUGCGGACGGUGUUGCGGGGGAGGGGGACAGCGCACCGCCCAGAUGCUGCGGGGGACCCGCAUAAAAGGAGCGGUGCGGGAGGGGUGGGGGAUAUUCGCUAUGAUGAGCUCGAGAUACGCCAUAAUUAAUUAUCAUUUGAUUAAUGUAUGUUUAUUUAGGUGCCCGAGAAAAAAUUAUAGCCCACAUUUUUAGCCUUAUAUAUAUAUAUCAUACACAGAGAGAGACAGAGAGAGAGACAGUGACGUUACUAUGUUAUCAGAAGCAUGUGAGCCUUCCGUACUUCCAGCUCGUUUUCGAUAUUACGACUUUCGAAUCGUCGAUCGGCUCCACUAAACUUGAUCUAGAGUAUAUGAAGUACCUAGAAAAUAAAUUAUAUGAUUUUUC
This 101307-nucleotide long non-coding RNA is filed under the name Ananas comosus (pineapple). RNAcentral describes it as "long non-coding RNA (ACOM_LNC032020)". The stretch from base 9178 to 9306 matches the Rfam family "mir-172 microRNA precursor family". Lineage: Eukaryota; Viridiplantae; Streptophyta; Magnoliopsida; Poales; Bromeliaceae. The record is from RNAcentral.